Molecule: long non-coding RNA, 101262 nt
Filed under: Vitis vinifera (wine grape)
Lineage: Eukaryota; Viridiplantae; Streptophyta; Magnoliopsida; Vitales; Vitaceae
Description: long non-coding RNA (VVIN_LNC003217)
Source: RNAcentral
AGGAGAUUUUCGCCAUUGCUAAGCUUGCUAAGAGAUGCCUAAAGUUGAAUGGGAAAAAAAGGCCAACCAUGAAACAAGUUGAUAUAGACCUCCAACAACUGGGCAGAUUUCAGGGGUUGUCUUUGCAGAAGACAUGGAUUCAAGAACCUUCCUUGCAGCAGCAAACAUGCGAGGACUACUGCACGGUAAGUGAAACAUCCCAUUCCUACACAUUUGGUCCAGUUACAGAAGAAAUAGUUCAUGACGAUGAGGACUUGCUUUCCUAAGGAAUACAGUAUGGUAGCUUGAAGUUUCGGUUAAAUAACGGGAUGUUUAUUUAUGCUAUUGACUUCUGGAAUAAUGAUGUAAUGAAUGACUCCGAACCUUGUUUUACUUUGUUUAAUUUGUUUCAAGUAUGGUAUACAUAUUAUUAGGGUCCAACCGGGGUUGAGGCUGGCUGACAGUCAAUCAAGGUCAACCUCUAUAUGCACAUGAAGUUCAUUUGCCAAAGCCAACAAUUCAAUCUAAGCUGCCUAAACUAUUUUCAUCAACCGCCUAUGACUUAAGAAAUAAUAAACCAAUGCUAACAUUCAUUGAACUAGUAAUGAAUCCAGAACUUGUGCAAUAUCACUCUCGCAAUAUGUAAAUUUAGAACAUUUAUUUCUCAAUUAAUCUAAACAGUGGGAUGGCCUUGACUAAAAUAAAGAUAAAGACCAUUACAUAUGAUUUUAGGACACUUCUAAGUAAUUUAAUUCUAUGUCAACCAUCAUAGUCUCCUGAUACGAAUACCAACCCCACAGGAGAAUAGAUCUCUUUAAGAAUCUAAUUCCCCCAUGUUUCACCUAGUUGCAACUUCUAUAUAAUUAAAGUAACACAGUAAAUAGAAGUCAACUACACUACAUAUAAGUGUAGCCUAAAUAGAAUUUACUUGCAUAGGAUUCCCUCGAAUCUUAAACUCAUAUAAAUUUUAAAACAAUUAUACAAUUAAGACGAGCCUACUACCUAUAAAAUGUCAUAAAUUUCUUUCCUAUCAUACAUAGGAUAUUACGAUUUUAAUAGGCAAUAUUAUUUUAUGAAUGAUCACUUACUUAUCCAUCUUGUUACGUACUCAUUACAAGUACUGUAUUAUGAACCUAUUCCUUUUUCUCCCGCGUAUCAUAUCUCAACGUGUGUUUUGGCUCACUUUUUUUUUUUGUCCUUUUCAAUUUUAAUAGGAAAUCUAUUUGAUGAAUAAAAUAUAAUAUUUCUUAUUAUGUAUUAGUGUAUUUAUAAGAAAUAAAAAAGAUUAUAUAUUUAUUUUAGGUAUAUGAAUUAAGGAAAAGUGUGUUUCUUGCACUCAUAUGAAAAAAAAAACCAUAAAAUAUGAUGAAGUCAAGUUUAUAACAUCCAAACUUCAAACCACCAUCUGAAAAUAAUUAGGAUUUUAUAUUUUUUUUAUCACAAUACUAUAUACUACAUUUUAAUAAUAUAGUAUUAUAUUUUUAUCAUCUCAAGUACUAUCGAAUCUUCGAUAGUGAAUGCAUAAAAUUUAAAUUAUUUAUAGAGAAUUAUAAUUUUGUGAUUAUUUUUAUGAGUGCGUGGAAACUGACUUCUCCUUAUGUAUUACAAGGGUUCGGUUCGUCCAAGUGGCAGAAAGGCCUUCUUUUAACUGAGCAAUGACCUUUCACGUGGCGUGAUAAAAUCUGGAGUUAAAAGGCAUAAGGCGUUAAAAUGCCGAAUCCGAAUGCCAUCCGGAAUUUGUGUUUGGGGUUGGUGGUCGCUUCGGAGGUUGCAAGUUAACGCGCGACUUGGGCUUGGGCUUUCUAUGGCCAUGCAACAUCAAGAAUGGCUUAGGGACUCCACCUAAAUGAAUGGGAGUGAUUAUUUUCACGGGAGUCCAGCUAAAUAAACGGAAGUGCUUAUUUUCAAUAUUUUUCUGAGCUUUAUAUUCUUAUCAAACUUAACAUCAUCUCAUUGGUGGUAAUUAAAUAGGUCUAACAGAGACGACCUUCAAUACGAGAAAAGAAAAAUAAAUAGUAAAUCAACACCUUACUCCUGUAAAGACCAUAAGCAGGGCCCAUGCAAUACUGGUGCAAUUAACUUUUAAACUGUUUCUUAUACUUAAAAUUGAAUCUCAAAAUUGAUACAAUAAUAUCAAUAACAUAGUAUUUCUUAGUUAUAAAACUAAGAUUUUUUUUUUCUUUUUUUCUUUUUUUUUUUAAGACUUUAAAGGCAUUUUAAAGAUGUUUCCCUUUUAUGUCAUCAUUUUUUUUUAAAUCAAUUUUAUCUCAAUUGACAAAGUAAAAGCUUUUUUACUUUGAAUUUAAUUGAAAAAGUAACUUUUUUUAUUUUAUCUUCUUAAUAUUUUAACUUUGUUAUAAUACUCAAAUCCAAUUUCUCAUGUAAAAUGAAAAUAUUUUAAAUUUUUUGGACAAUUCUUGACUUGAAGUUAACUCAAACUAUCCAAAUUUUAUGUUGUUUAAAUGAUAAAUGAAUUUAUCAUAAACUCAUAAAGUUUUGAUCAAGAAAAAAAUUAUAUUUAAUUGAGUAAAGAAAGAAAUUGUUCGAAGGUGAUAUUUCCUUGAUAUACCGAAUAUCAAUGCACCUUGACAUGAUAAACGAUGUAGAUAUAUCCUUAAUAAGAUAUUACAUUAUAGAAAAAUGUGUAUAGUUUCAUAGAUGACCCACUUAACUAUAUCAAUUAAUAAUUUCCUAAUAUGCAACUACAUCCAUAUUGAUUUGUUUAGGAGAUCUUUGUAAAAUAUUUGCUUAGUGUUGCUAGUUUUUUUUUGAAAUUGAUGUCAACUUGGAUCUCACCUUUAAUUUUCAUAAUGUGGAAAGAAGUUAUGAUCUCACGUCUUUAUAUUACAAUAAGAAAUUAUUCAAUGUCAUUAUCUUUUUAAGUACUUCUUAGCGUGAGACUGGAUCCAUAGUAGAACUAUCACCUUCAACUUUCUCUUCUCUACCAUUUCCCAUGAUGCUCUCUCAAUAAUCUGCUCAUCACUCACAAUCUUUGAAGUUGUAUCAUUUUCUCUAGGGCAGAUUGAUAAGUACUUGACAUCCAUUCCGUUAAUUAGGGCAAUACAACUCUUUGAUGAUUAUUUCCAAUUCUUGAAUGCCUUCGCCAGUUAAGGAUUUAUCCAAAGUCUCUUAAAAAAUGUUAUAUAUGAACCUAAUUUUACAAUAUCAAACGCAAUUUGCAAUUGUAUUCGCUUGAAUAUAUAUCUAUUAUUCAAGUUGAAAUCACAAGAUUCAUUGCAUCUAAAACAUUUAUCUUUCUAAUUUUUGUUGCCCUACUUGAUAACUCUCUAAAAGAUUAUGAUAAAAUCAAUGGCGAUAAUGCAUCUUGAAAGCUGGUAUGAAUCCCACAUCACAAGGCCAAUUCUUUGAUGUUGAGUUGGAUGGAAAAAAAACAACUCCUUAUUUUUCAAUCCUUCAUUUUUUUUUUAUCAGGACAAUUAUUGACAAGCAAGAGAACUUUUCUACCAUCCAUAUUUUUCUAUCAUAUCAUUAAACAUAUUCUUGAAAUAACGCCUUAAUCAUCCAUGCUGGCUUGUUGGCGUGAUACUCAAUUCAUACUUUGCAAAUUUACAUUUUUGAAACACUAAGGUUUAGCAUACUUCCAAAUAAUCCAUAAAGGAAUUUUCCUAAACCAUCUUCAUUGCAACAAAUAACAAUUGUAUGUCUUUCCUUGUCUUAUUUUUCCUUCCAAAUUGUUUUGUUGUAAGAGAAUGGUAUUGUUGUAGCCUAUAAAACAAUCAUGUUUCCUCCAUAUUAAAAACAUCUUUCAUUGCAAAUUAAUAUAAUUUCUCCCUUAUGGAUUGCAACUUUGUUUUCAUGUCCUUUGUCCUCCAUAUAAAUAAUCCACUUUUUCCGAAACAAUGAUAUGUUUUGAUACCAUAUCUUGAUUUGAAAAGCUCAAACCAACUUUAAGAAAUUGAAUCGUGAAGUAUCUACAAGAUAUAUUUUCUCAAAAAAUCUUUUGUCUUCUUUAUGAUUAGUUCUCUUGUCGUAUUUACACAUUCUUGGUAUAAAGCAAUCCACUUAUAGAAACUUUUCUCUAAGUCGGGGAAUUUUGCGUCUUUGUGCCAAUUAAUAUUAUUUUCAAGAUCAAUUGAGAGAUAUUCCAAAGACCGCUUGAUCAUAUUUGAUAUUGUCCCUUAACUCACUUGCAAGUUAACCUUUUGUGAAAUCCAUUGUCGCAAUUGUUUAUGAGUGCAAGUUGGAUUUUGUUUUUUGUACUUGCACAAUGUAGCGCACAUUCCAUGAGUCAUUUUUGCUUUCUUUACAGCUUUGAUAUGAGAAGCCAUUUUAGUUAAAUGUUCAUAAAAUAGAAUAAUGUGGUAAAUUGAAUAAUGUAAUACAAUAUUUUUUUUAAAAAUAAAUACUUUUUUGAAAAAAUAAGUAAUUCAUGAAUUUUGCUUGUUUAAAUAAAUACAUGAAGUAGUUAGUUUGUAAAACAAAAUAUUUAAUUCGUUUAAUUACGAUAAAACGAUAUUACAUGUAAUAUUUUAGAAAAAUAAGGAAUAUAUUGAUAAAUUAAUAAUCUAUUAAUUAAUUGAUAAAUAAAAAAUAUUAAUUUGUCAAUUAAUUAAUAUUAACUUAAUUAAUAGAUUUUCCUUGGUCCCAAGGAUAUUAAUUUAUGGAGGUUUAACCUAAUGUAGUAACAAUCAUUUUUACUUAAAUUCUAGAAAAAGGACAAAGAACAAAAAAAAAAGAAAAAAAAAAGGAAAGAAAAUGAUCUACACCUAUCUUGAUUCUAGGCUUUAAGGCAAUGUUUAGUACAUGAGAACAACAAACGAAAAUAAAUAUUUUAAAUACAUCUAGGAAUGUAAUGUUGAAAUAAAUAUUUGUUUCCAUUUCAAUGUUAGGCAAUAAAGGGAAUAUGAAUGGAAAAAGAGAUAAAUUAACAAUAAUAUCGUUACAUAUAGUUUAAAAUAAUUUUUUUUCUUCAUUUAAAAAAAAAAUCUUAUAUUAUACAUAGUUUAAAAUAAUUUUAUAUUUUUAUUUAAAAAAUAUAUUUGAGAUUUUUUUUUCUAAAUAAUAAAAGUCCAUUUAGCCAUAUGAUUUAAAAAUAAUGUUAUGCUUUUAAAAACAAAAAAAUAUUUUUAAAAAUUUGUAGUAUUAUUUGGUUGUUGUUCUCUAAGAAUAAUUUUUAAAAACAAAGAGAAAUAGAGAAUUUUGUUUUUAAUAUACAUACUAGAGAAAUAAAUUUCAAAUCAAACAUAUUGAAUUUCUUAACGAGUUUAAUAAUUUUAAAAAAUAAUUUGAAACUCUCUCUCUCUCUCUCUCUCUCUCUCUCUAUAUAUAUAUAUAUAUAUAUAUAUAUAUAUAUAUAUAUAUAUGUAUGUAUAAUAUGUUUUAAGUCAUAAUUUAUUAGUUCUCCACACAACUAGAUUUUUUUUUAUAAAAAAAGACAUAUCUUUUGGAGUUUUUUUUCCUUUUUCUAAAUAAUAAAAGUUCAUUUGGUGGUGUGAUUUAAAAAAAAAUAAAAAAAUAAAAAUUAUUUUAAAAAAUUAAUAGCAUUGUUUGGUUGUUAUUCUCUAAAAACAAUUUUUAAAAACUAAAUGAAAUAAAAAAUUGUUUUUUCGAUUUUUUGUUUCACUCUAGAAACGAAUUCAAAAUCAAUAGUAUUGAAUUUAUUAAUGAGUUUAAUAAUUUUUAAAAAUAAUUUGAAACUACUAUAUAUAUAUAUAUAAAAUAAUAGACCAAAACUAAUAAGUUAUGAGUCAUGACUAUCCUAUACACACAACUGUAUCUUUUGAAUUUUUUUAUUAGUUAAAUAAACUUUAAAUUAAAUAUAACUGUAGACCCCCGUUUGGGAUUCAUUAUACCUCAUUUUUCCUAUAGCUCAUCUUUGUAGGUGGAAGGCUCUCAAGGUGCCACAUGUUGUCUCCUGAUUGAUUGGUAAGGAAUCACAAUAGUGCUUUUGAAGAAGCAACCGAAAGGCGACAUCUGGCAAGGAAUGUACAGGAGCGUAUUCUUUCUGUUAUGGAGAGGGCCAGUUGCAAGAAGUGGGGGGACCUAUUUUCUUUGAGCUAGCUACAUGAAACACGUGUCGGAGCAGCUGACCGUGGCCAUGGCGUUAGUUGGGAUGGUGACCAGCUGAGUAAGGAAUAGGAGAGCAGUUGGGAAAGAAAAAAGGGGGAAAAGGCAAAGAAAAGGGAAGGAAAAGAGACAGCUAGGGAAGACGAGGGGAGUAAGGGGGAAAGCAUUUUUGUUAGAGAGAUAGGAGAAGGAUCAGUCAGGUUGGAUUAUCUCUUACUUUAUCUUAUCUUAUUUUGAGGGUCACUUUACGUUUCUUGCUGAUAUUCAGAUGAUUGCUUUGAUUACCUAAGGAGGCAAACCUAUUUCUGACUUUUGGUUUUUUUUAUCUUUGUUUUCUCCCGUAUGAGCUGCAUGUUGGAUAUAUUUUGUGUUUGUGUGUUAAGUUCAUUGAGAUCCUCCCACCAGGCUCUUUUGAAAGCUCUUUUAGUCUUCGUGAUGCAAAGUUUGGUUUUAGUGGUAUUAUCUCCCCUUGUACAUUGCUCUGUUCUUUUUUUUUUUUUUGUUCCUUUUCUUUUUCUUCACUUUUCCCCUCUAUUCUUGGCAAUUUCGGGAGAGGAGAUUCGUUAGCUUAAGGGUGAAGCAAAGUAGCAAACUGCCUAGGUAUAUUUUGCAAAGUGAGUAGGGAAAGAGCUUGUUAGUUCGAUCCAGUUUUACUUGUCUAAGCAAAGGCUUUAUGUUCUCAUGAUGAAUAACACGGUUACCACAUGCCUACGCCUUCUUCACUGUUCGUGUCAGCCAUACCCGUUUCCUCACUCAAGCCUGUAGGAAUCAAGCAUCCUCCACCACACCCAUUUUCCUCUCAUUCAUUCUCCAUCCCACUCCCUCACUUACAUGGAGUCUCACGGGUGCAUGCUAUCCUUCACUCCUUCACAUACCCAUUAAAACCACUCACCCAAGCCUCCAUAUCCAUACAACCCAUACCCAUCCUUCAUGCUACUCAUAGCCAUGUUCUACCAUACCCAUGUGUACACCCAUUUAACCAUACCACCAAACCCGUUUCUCUCUCUAAACCUUCUCCGGAUGUCUCACAUCCGGAAUCAUGUUCGGUCGACGUUCCACCUUCUCCGGAUGUCUCACAUUCGGAAUCCAUCAUGUCCGGCCGACAUUCCACCUUCUCCGGAUGUCUCACAUCCGGAAUCCUGUCCGACCGACAUUCCACCUUCUCCGGAUGUCUCACAUUCGAAACCCUGUCCGACCGACAUUCCACCUUCUCCGGAUGUCUCACAUCCGGAACCCUGUCCGACCAACGUUCACCUUCUCUAGAUGUCUCACAUCCGGAAUCCUGUCCGACCGACGUUCCACUUUCUCCAGAUGUCUCACAUCCGGAAUCUUGUCCGGUCGACAGUCCACCUUCUCCGGAUGUCUCACAUCCGGAAUCCUGUUCGGCCGACGUUCCACCUUCUCCGGAUAUUUCACACCCGGCGCCUGACGCUGGAUGGGAAAGGGGGCGAUUCAACUUCCCCCAUCAGACAUGUCCAGAUCCUCUAAUGGCGCUUACCUGGAGAGCGUCCGCAACCGACAAUUCAAAUUCCCCGGACAGCUUGGCUCGUCAGAUACUUGCGAUUCGCCGAAUCCAUUUCCUCCUAGAAUCAAAAAGCAAAUUCCGAUAAUACUGACAACCAAGUCUCCUGAACUAUCACUCUCUCUAUGUUUCAUCUUUAUUUGUUUUUUAUGAAUAAUCUCUCAUACUCCUAUUUCUUACAUCUUUUUCAAAUUCAAGCUUUUAAAUAGUUUUCAAAUCUCUAAACCCUUUCAAUAAUUUUAGUUUUUUUUUUAAAUUCUCAUCCUUAGGGUUUUAGGUCCUAAAAAACCAAUUUUUAAUAAAAAUUGGUUGCCACUUUCUUUCUAGCAAGCCAUUUUCACACCUCCUCUGUUUUAAAAAUGUUUUGAAAUAAGCAAAGAAUCAAAUUUUGUAAUUCUGAAUAAUGGAAUUUACGGAUUUGGUCCAUGCAAAAAUAAUCAGGCUUUGGUGGGGGCCCCACAUACAUGAUCUUAUGAUCGAUUGAUUGAUCUGAUUGAUUGACUUGGUUAUCAUACAUGAUUUAUUUAUCCUGCUCUCUGACAUGCAUGCUAUUAUUCCCUAAUUAUGCACUAACCCUCUCUCUUGAUAGUGCAUGGUGGCUUAUUGCCGAGGUACGUACCCACUUUCCAUCUGAUCAUUGUCUAUGCAUAUUCAAACUCUCAUACGUGCAUGAUCACUUUGGGUAUUCAUUGAUUUACUCAUCAAUUGCCAUGAUUGCUUCACUUUAUUAGUAGAGACCCGACUUUAGGGGCUUAGAGGGGUGCUACGGUUUUUUACCGUACCUUUCCGAUAAGUAACCUGACCCCCGUACCCGAUCCGGUUUUUCACAGACCACCUUUUCCAAAACAAGGAGUUACACUUAGGGUUUUUCUUUCUUAUUUUGUUUACCCUUUAAAAAUAAAAAAAAAAAUAAGUGGCGACUCCAAGUCAAUUUUUCUUAAUCAAUAAAAUCAUUUUUGAAAAUAAAAAUCGAGUUUCGCCAUCGAGUGGGAAAUGCAUGAGCCGAAAUGCAGGGUCCACAAUAACAUAAUUAAUAUUUUAAAUUCUUUGAUGAAUCUUCUCAUUUUUGAGAAUAAUAUGAAAUUAAAAAAAUUGAUUAAUUAAUUAUAGAUUAAAUAAAAAAUUUUAAAAUACUUUGCUCGUAAUUCAAUACUAAAUAUAUGCAUAUAAUGAAAAGCUUGACUUAUUUAUAUCAUAAAAAAUUAAACUUUAUUUGUUUUUAAAUUCAUUUAAAAUAAAAUAGUAUUAAGUAUUAACAAUUAUUAAUUUAGAAUUAUUAUUACUUAUUUUUAACAAAAUAAAUCAAUUAUGGUUAUGAGAAUGUUAAUAUGUCCAUAUUUUUAAAAUAUUUAUAAAAAAUAAAAUUUAUGAUUUAAUUAUAAUACAACUAUUUAUAUUAUAUUAAAAACUAUUUAUUUUUAAUUUAUUUGUAAUUAAAAAAAAUAUUUGCAAUAAGACUUGAAUUAAAUUUAGUUUAUGUUAUAUAAAUUUAAUUUACAAUUUUUGUUUUAAAAAAUCAAAAUAAAAAAUUGUUUUUAAAAACUUAUCUAAACAAGAUGUUGAUUUUUUAUUUUUUGAAAAGUGUUUUAAACAAAUAACUUAUAGAAAGGAAAUCAAAAUACCUCAUAUUAAAGAUGAUUUGAAAUCUCACUUGUAAGUGAUCUUUUUUUAAUUGGAAUAAUUUUUUAUUCCAUUUCCAUCAUCACUUGAGUUAUGCAACCAUGAAAAUAAAUGAGAAAGUAAAUGAGAUAUUCAUUCACUCCUCAUUCCGAUGUACCUAAUAGGUAAUACUGAUUGACCAACUUUCUUGGCUUAAAAAUGUAAUGGGUGGUGAUUUUAUCGUUGCUCUGAGAUUAUUUACUCUUCUAGUCUUCACCUUUGUAGAUUUCAAAUGGCAUUAUUGUAGAUAUAAUCAUGACAUACAAGGGGACAAAGAGAAAAAGAAGAAAGAGAAAAAAAAUAGAAUGAGAUUUUAUGUGCUGGGUGGUGAUUAGAGGAGUUAUAUAUGCUGUGCUUUUCUAUCUUUACCUUUACCUUUAUCGAUUUAAAUGAAAAAAAAAAAGUUGUAGAGAUGAUUAUGGCAUAUAAGGAGAAGCUUUUCCCAUGACGUGAGUAUUUUACAUGAAUUGAGAAAGAAAAGGACCAGGGAGAGAAAAAAAAGGAAGGGGCAUCCCAAUUCUUUUGUGGGUAUAUGCGCAUUAGUAAGUUAGGGAAGAAGAGAUUCGAUUUACGAGAACUUGCUAGCUAGCUCUAUGUAAUAGUAGAGAUUUUUCAUAUUGGAAGUCAUCUACGAGACUAAGGUAGUAUUUAUUUUUUAGUUAAAUAAAAAAAAUUAAAUAUUUUAACUUUUUUAUUCAAUUAAAAAUAAUAUGUUGAUAUUAACCAAUAUGACUAAAGUAAAUUUAUUGUUAAUAUGUUGAAUUUAGUUAUACUAGUUGGUAUCAACAUAUUAUUUUUAAUUGAAUAAAAAAAUCAAAUAUUUUAACUUUUUCUAUUCAAUAAAAAAACAAACAUUAACUAACAAACUGAUUUUCACUUUAUACUGGAUUAACAAUGAAAAGAAAAUCUCUGACAUGGAGAACACUUAUCAUAAUAGUCCUUUUUCACCAUGAUUAACUGGGAAAAGAAUAUCACGUGAUAACGCAUAAAGGAAGAGUAUUUUUAGUUAAAUCCAGAAAACAAAAUAAUAAUAACAAUAAUAAUAAUAAAAGAAAGAAAGAAAGGGGUCCAUCCGUAUGCUUUAUUAUAGAAUACAUAUGGACCCCUGUGCAAAACAUGUAAUGGGUGAUGAUUUCAGGAGUGAUUACGUGCGUUUCUCUCUUUACUUCCAUAGAUUUUGAAUGGAGUAAUGGUAUGAAAUAAUGGAUGAUCAUGACUUAUAAGAGGACACUUGUCUCAUGAUAUGAGUAUUUUUUACACGGAUUGAGAGAAAAAAAAAGGUCAUGACCCCAACCUUAUCUGUUCCCUCGCUUUUUAUUAAAGCCCGGCAGGUUACAAUGUGCCAAAGUAGAUAUCUUUAAAUAAAAUAUUGGAAAGCUCAUUUUGGUGGAGGCUUUAGGAAGUAGAAAAUUAUUUCAAAAGUUAAUUUUAGAAUAUACUAAAUUGCACCUAUCACCAUCACAUAUAUAUUGGGUAUCAAAGUCCGCUUUUGAAUCACGUCGAUCAUCUUAGAGACGCAUGCCUCGCCUACAUAAUCAAAAGAAAAGAGGCCUCUCCCAUGCCUCUUCCAGCUUAAUGAAGAUAAAAGGAUAGAAGAACUUAGGUUUUGUUUGGCUUUUUGUUCUUCAUAACCACAGCUAAAAAUUGUUCUUUUUUCUAUUCUUAAGAAUAAAAAAUAUAGUGUUUUUAAAUAACAUCUUUUAAUUCAUUUAAAUUUUUUCACUCGUUUUUAAAAAAUAAUUAUAAAUAAAACACAAGAUAUAAAAAUUAUUUUUAAAAAUAUUAAAAACAAGUUAAGAAUAUUUCAGAUUUUCAAUCAGGCUUUUAUUUUAUAAAACAUUAUAAAAUUGUUUUUUAGAAUUAUUUUUUAAAACAGUUACCAAACAUACACUUUCAUGAAUUUAAUUAAAUAUAGAAUACAGCAUACUUUAAAAAUCCUUUGUUGUCACAAUUUUCCCAAUUAUAUUGUUAUACUUUGACCUCUAGGCCCGAGUCUUUAAUUGGCAAAAUAUAAUGAAGAGUUACAUGAGGAUUAAUGUAAAAAAGAACCAAAAAUAUUUCUGUUAGGAUGUGUUUGGUUUUGGAAAUUUUGAGAGAAAAUUUGAGGGAAAGAAAAUAGAAAGGAAAAGUGAAAUGAAAGAUAAAAUAUGGAAAAAUAAAAAAGAAACUCAAAAUCAAUAAAUUAUUUUUAUAUGUUUCUUUAAAAUCAUUUUACUUAAUUUUUUUAUUAUUUAAUUAUUAAAUAAUUUUAAAUUGCAUAAAUUUCUAACUAAUUUUAAUUUUAUUUAUUUAUUUUUUUCUAUUUUUUUAAGAUAAAACCAAACAUAAGAAAAUCAUUUUUCUUAAUUUUUUUUUCUUUCUUUAAUACUUUCCAAAAACCAACUUAAUAUAUACUAAUUAAUUUACUUUUCAAUAUCCUCAAGUAAGCUUUCAACUUCAACUUUUUAAAAUUCGGAAGAACAAGGCAAUCAACACCAACAAGGCUUUCCUUGUGGCAAAGAGAAGUGGAUCCUUAUCAAAUCCACAUUGGACCCCAUUUGAUAUCCACUGAUAAUGUAGCCAAAACUCAACAAUAUAGGAUCCUUAUAGACGUGACCCUAACCAAACCUCACUGACAUUUGAAUAAUAAAGAUAAGACCAGAUAAUCACAAAUCUUGUUACUAGAAAUAUGUAGGGGAGACAAGCACUAGAGAGGGUCUCUACAAUUCAACUAACUUAAGUAAUUAAAUUAAAUUAAAUUUAGUAUUUAAAUCUAAAAUAAUAUCAAACUCUCCACUUAAAACUUUAUAGAUGUUGAAUCUCAUUAAAAUAAAAUUUCUUUUAAAAUAAAAAUAUUUUAUUUUUAGUUAUUUAAUAUAAUAAACUUAAAAUUCCUUAUAAACACUAAUUAAAUAAAAAUAUUAUCUAUGAAUUUUUAAUAUUAUAAAUGAUUUAAAAAGUGUUUUUUAAAAGCGCUUUUGAAAAAAAAAAUAAUAUCAAUGAAAAAGUGUUUUUUUAAAAAAAAUUAAAUAUUAAGAGUGGAUUUGAUAGCGAUUAUAGGAAGUGUUUUUAGUAUUUUAAAAAUACUUGAAUGAUAUAAAAAUUUUAAGUAUUACAAAUGUUAUAAACAAUUCCUAAAAUUACUAACAAACGCAUUUCAAAUACUCAAAAACGUUGUUUAGAAUUAUUGUAAAACAAACUCUUAAUUCAAUUUUCUCAAUUUGGGUGUCGUGUUGUAUGUGUGUGUGUGUUUUUUAAAUAAAUUAUUUUCAAUACAACUUAAAUUUAAAAAAUGUGUUUAUAAGGAUGAUGCUAAUUAUGUAUUUGAAAAAAACAAGAAUCCAACUAUUUGUUUCGAUAUAUUUUCUUAAUAUAUAUAUAUAUAUAUAUAUAUAUAAAAGAGAACUCUUUUGAACUUACAUUAAAAAGAUAAUUUAAAAAAAAAAUUGAACUAUUAAAUUUUUUUACAUCUUUNNNNNNNNNNNNNNNNNNNNNNNNNNNNNNNNNNNNNNNNNNNNNNNNNNNNNNNNNNNNNNNNNNNNNNNNNNNNNNNNNNNNNNNNNNNNNNNNNNNNUUGAACUAUUAAAUUUUUUUACAUCUUUAAAAGAUAUAAAGUAAAUAUAUAUUUUUUUAAAAAAAUCUUUUUUUAUAUAGAAAUUGUUAAUUAUUUUUAUUUUAAAAAUUAAAUAUAAGAAGUGUAACAUAAGAGGGUUUAUACAAGUGUGAUAUAGAGAAUAUGACAUGGACAUCUUGGGAUAGUACAAGAAUUAGAAAGAAAACCCCUCCAAUGCAUUUAAUGCUGUGAUUGGGGUAAGUUCUUGGACAAUGAUAGAACUUAUUUUUAAAAACCAUUUUAAAAUUAAAGAAUAAAAAAAAAACAAUUUUUCGAGUGUUUUAUAAAAAUAAAGGUGUUUGUCAAGUUGUUUUUAAAACUAAAAAACAAAAAACUUGUUUGAAUAAUUUUUUUAAAAAAUAAUUUUUUGGUUUUGUAAAAACAUUCCAAAUUCAAUUUAUAUAAUAUAAAAUUCAAGUCUUAUUAAAGAAAUGAAAAUAGUUUUGUAAUUACAAAUAAAUAGUUUUUAAACAAAUAUGAAUAAUAAUACUGUAAAAAAUGAUAAAUUUAUUUUUUUAUAAAAAAGAAAAACUAUUUUAGUAUAUGUUAGAAACAUAAGAAUAUUAACAUCUUCAUAAUUUUAUUUUAUUUUUGGUUAAAAUGAAUAAUAAUAAUUUUAAAAUUUUUUUAUUUAAAAUAAAUAAUGAAGAAAGUUUAACUUUUCUAACAUGUAAAUGAGUCUAGUUUUUCAUUUUAUAUACACAUUUAGUAUUGAAUUACGAACAAAAUAUUCUAAAAUGUUUUGAUUUAAUUUACAAUUAAAAAUUAUUCUUAAAAAUUAAAAAAAUUUAAAUUAUUAAUCAUGUCUUACUUAAUUUAUAAUUUAUUUAACUAAAUUCAAAAAAUAUAUAUUUUUGUACAUAGGAGAAAUAAUAAACUCAUGACUCAUAAUAUAUCAGUUUUGAUUGUAUUAUUCUUUUAAUGAUUAGAUCCAUUUUUUGAGUUCCAAAUUAUUUUUAAAAAUUAUUAAACUUAUUAAUAAAUUUAAUACAAAGUGUCACUUGAUUUAAAGUUCAUUUUAAUAGUGAGGAAAUUUAUAAAAAUAUAAUUAUAUGUAGAAAAAUAAUAAUAGAGCCAUUAUGAAUCAAUUUUUAUCCAUAAAUUUAUGAUAUUAAUGAGUUUGUUAUCUAUGUUUCAAAUUAUUUUUAAAAAUUGCUAAAAUUAUAAAUGAAUUCAACAUAUUAAAUCUAGUUUAAUUUUAAACUUAUUUGUUUGGUUAAAAAAAAAAAAAAAAAAUAGACCAAUUGUGUCCAUAAAUUUUUGGUAUUGAUUAAUUCAAUAUAGACAUUUAAAUCAAUUAGUUCAUUUAGACCAGUUUGUGGGGGUUUCCCAUGUAAAAAUCAUGUGUCUCAUUGUCUAUAUCUUUUAUAUUUGAUAUUAUAUUUUAAUUGCCUAAAAUAAGUUAAAUUGAUUAUCCCUUUAGUCUUGCAGGGUUUUCCUAAAAGGUUCACAUCUAUUUAUUCCUACCUAUAUUUUAUUUGAUUAGUUUAAUUGAUUUGUUGGAAUUGAUAAGGUUGUUAGGGUGGCUAUCUUUGUGGUUGUAGUGGUUAUUCCUAUAACUAAUUAUUGUUAUUUUUAACAUCUCUCAUAUAUCUUUUGGAUAUUAAUAGUUGAUUUUUUUUUUAUCCCUAAAUAUUUUUUGGACAUCAAUUAACAAUAAAAUUAAAGUUUUUAUUAGUUAAGAUUUAGCGAGAACUCCCUUUUGGAUAUCCUAAAUAUCCCUACAAUAUCUUGGGAUUUGAAAUAUUGGUUAUAAUUUAUAAAUAUUGAUUUAAAUUUUUAUGUCAUCCAUUCACCCCCUCUAGGCCCGAGUCUUUAAUUGGCAAAAUAUAAUGAAGAGUUACAUGAGGAUUAAUGUAAAAAAGAACCAAAAAUAUUUCUGUUAGGAUGUGUUUGGUUUUGGAAAAUUUGAGAGAAAAUUUGAGGGAAUGAAAAUAGAGAGAAAAAGUGUAAUGAAAGAUAAAAUAAGAAAAAAUAGAAAAUAAACUCAAAAUCAAUAAAUUAUUUUUAUAUGUUUCUUUAAAAUCAUUUUAUUUAAUUUUUUUAUUAUUUAAUUAUUAAAUAAUUUUAAAUUACAUAAAUUUCUAACUAAUUUUAAUUAUAUUUAUUUAUUUUUUUUCUAUUUUUUCAGGUAAAACCAAACAUGAAAAAAUCAUUUUUCUUAAUUUUUUUUUUCUUUAAUACUUUCCGAAAACCAACUUAAUAUAUACUAAUUAAUUUACUUUUCAAUAUCCUAAGCCUUCAACUUCAACUUUUUAAAAUUCCUAAGAACAAGACAAUCAACACCAACAAGGCUUUCCUUGUGGCAAAGAGAAGUGCAUCCUUAUCAAAUCUACAUUGGACCCCAUUUGAUAUCCACUGAUAAUGUCGCCAAACCUCAAUAAUAUAGGAUCCUUAUAGACGUGACCCUAACCAAACCUCACUGACAUUUGAAUAAUAAAGAUAAAACCAGAUAAUCACGAAUCUUGUUACUAGAAAUAUGUAGGGGAGACAAGCACUAGAGAGGGUCUCUACAAUUCAACUAACUCAAGUAAUUAAAUUAAAUUAAAUUAAAUUCAGUAUUUAAAUCUAAAAUAAUAUCAAACUCUUCACUUAAAACUAUGUAGAUGUUGAAUCUCAUUAAAAUAGAAUUUCUUAUAAAAUAAAAAUAUUUUAUUUUUAGUUAUUUAAUAUAAUAAACUUAAAAUUCCAAAUAAACUCUACUUAAAUAAAAAUAUUAUCUAUGAAUUUUUAAUAUUAUAAAUGAUUUUAAAAGUGUUUUUUAAAAGUGCGUUUGAAAAAAAAAUACUAUAAAUGAAAAAGUGUUUUUUUUUAAAAAAAAAUUAAAUAUUAAGAGUAGAUUUGACAAUAAUUAUAGGAAGUGUUUUUAGUAUUUUUAAAAUACUUGAAUGAUAAAAAAAAAUAAUUUAAGUAUUACAAAUGUUAUAAACAAUUCCUAAAAUUAUUAACAAACGCAUUUCAAAUACUCAGAAUUAUUGUAAAACAAACUCUUAAUUCAAUUUUCUCAAUUUGGGUGUUGUGUUGUAUGUGUGUGUGUUUUUUUCUUAAAAUAAAUUAUUUUCAAUACAACUUAAAUUUAAAAAAUGUGUUUAUAAGGAUGAUGCUAAUUAUGUAUUUGAAAAAAACAAGAAUCCAACUAUUUGUUUCGAUAUUUUUUCUUAAUAUAUAUAUAUAUAAAAGAACUCUUUUGAACUUACAUUAAAAAGAUAAUUUUUAAAAAUUAUUUAAAAAAUUUUGAACUAUUAAAAAAUUUUACAUCUUCAAAAGAUCUAAAGUAAAUAUAUAUAUAUAUAUUUAAAAAAAUUUAUAUAGAAAUUGUUAAUUAUUUUUAUUUUAAAAACUAAAAAUAAGAAGUGUAACAUAAGCGGGUCUAUACAAGUGUGAUAUAGAGAAUAUGACAUGGACAUCUUGGGAUAGUACAAGAAUUAGAAAGAAAUCCCCUCCAAUGCAUUUAAUGCUGUGAUUCGGGUAAGUUCUUGGACAAUGAUAGAACUUAUUUUUAAAAACCGUUUUCAAAUUAAAGAAUAAAUAAAUAAAAAAACAAUUAUUUCCGAGUGUUUGUCAAGUUGUUUUUAAAACUAAAAAACAAAAAACUUGUUGGAAUAAUUUUUUGAUUUUGUAAAAACAUUGCAAAUUCAAUUUAUAUAAUAUAAAAUUCAAGUCUUAUUAAAGAAAUGAAAAUAGUUUUGUAAUUACAAAUAAAUUAAAAAAAAAUAGUUUUUAAACAAAUAUGAAUAAUAAUACUGUAAAAAAAUGAUAAAUUUUUUUUUUAUUAAAAAAAUAUUUUAGUAUAUGUUAGAAACAUAAGAAUAUUAACACUUCAUAAUUUUAUUUUAUUUUUUGGUUAAAAUGAAUAAUAAUAAUUUUUAAAAAAUUUAUUUAAAAUAAAUAAUGAAGAAAGUUUAAAUCUUUUAACAUGUAAAUGAGUCUAGUUUUUCAUUUUAUAUAUACAUUUAGUAUUGAAUUACGAACAUAAUAUUCUAACAUGUUUUGAUUUAAUUUAUAAUUAAAAAUUAUUCUUAAAAAUUAAAAAAAUUAAAAUUAUUAAUCAUGUCUUACUUAAUUUAUAAUUUAUUUAACUAAAUUAAAAAUAUAUAUAUUUUUGUACAUAGGAGAAAUAAUAAACUCAUGACUCAUAAUAUAUCAGUUUUGAUUUAUUAUUCUUUUAAUGAUUAGAUCCAUUUUUUGAGUUCCAAAUUAUUUAAAAAAAUGAUUAAACUUAUUAAUAAAUUUAAUACAAAGUGUCACUUGAUUUGAAAUUCAUUUUUAUAGUGAGGAAAUUUAUAAAAAUAUAAUUAUGUGUAGAAAAAUAAUAAUAGAACCAUUAUGAAUCAAUUUUUAUCCAUAAAUUUAUGGUAUUAAUGAGUUUGUUAUUUAUGUUUCAAAUUAUUUUUAAAAAUUGCUAAAAUUAUAAAUGAAUUCAAAAUAUUAAGUCUAGUUUAAUUUUAAACUUAUUUGUUUGGUUAAAAAAAAAAAAAAUAGACCAAUUGUGUCCAUAAAUUUUUGGUAUUGAUUAAUUCAAUAGAGACAUUUAAAUCAAUUAGUUCAUUUAGACCAAUUUGUGGGGGUUUCCCAUGUAAAAAUCAUGUGUCUCAUUGUCUAUAUCUUUUAUAUUUGAUAUUAUAUUUUAAUUGCCUAAAAUAAGUUAAAUUGAUUAUCCCUAUAGUCUUGCAAGGUUUUCCUAAAAGGUUCACAUCUAUUUAUUCCUACCUAUAUUUUAUUUGAUUAGUUCAAUUGAUUUGUGAAUUGAUAUUGAGGUUGUUAGGGUGGCUAUCUUUGUGGUUGUAGUGGUUAUUUCUAUAACUAAUUAUUGUUAUUUUUAACAUCUCUCAUAUAUCUUUUGGAUAUUAAUAGUUGAUUUUUUUUAUCCCUAAAUAUUCUUUGGACAUCAAUUAACCAUAAAAUUAAAGUUUUUAUUUGUUAAGAUUUGGGAAGAACUCCCUUUUGGAUAUCCUAAAUAUCCCUACAAUAUCUUGGGAUUUGAAAUAUUGGUUAUAAUUUAUAAAUAUUGAUUUAAAUUUUUAUAUCAUCCAUUCACCCCCUCUAGGUGUUCCUUAUUGGACUUUCAAUAGCUAUAUUAAUGGUGUUCAAAGCAAUACCCAUUUUUCAAUUGGUAUCAGAGCAGGAUAAAAAAUCGAUUCUUUGUCAUAUUGAUUAAAAAUCAAAUUUUUAUUGCUUACAUUGUUUAAAAAUCAAAUUUUUAUUGCUUACAUUGUUUAAAAAUCAAAUUUAUUAAUCAUAUAGAAUAAAAAUCAAAUUUUUAUUGAUCAUAUAAGUCUGAUAAGGAACAAUCUAAAAGUGGUGCUCCUUUGAACAAUCCACCCUAUUUCAAUGGGAAUAAUUACUCUCAUUGGAAAGCACGUAUGAUGUUUUUCCUUAAAAUGCAAGGCAAAAGGGUAUGAAAUUCGGUUGAAUAUGAAAGGGUGUGUUUUUCCUUAAUGCUCAAGGAAGAUCAACAAGAGAACUUAAACCUAAACAUAAAUGGGACAAAGCUGUUAAUCAAGGUAUGAAGCAAAAUGUUGAGCUGUAUUUAGUAUUUUUAAUAGAGUUUGUCUAGAUUUCUAAAUUACAAAUGCUUGCUACUAGGUUUGAGAAUAUUAAGAUGCAUGAAAAUCAAACUUUUUCUUCCUUUUAUUAUGAAUUGAGUGAUAUUAUAAAUUCUUCAUUUAACCUUGGAAAACCUAGUCUAGAUUCUAAGGUAGUUAGGGAAAUAUUGAGAUAUCUUCAAGAGAGAUUUAGACCUAAAGUAAUUGCCAUAGAGGAGAGCAAGGACAUCAAUUUCAUGAGAGUUGAUGAACUUAUAGGCUCUAUUCAAACAUAAGAGAUAGCCCUAUGUAGUUCCCAAAAUCUUAAAGACUUUGCCGUUAAGGCAUAUGAGGAUAAAGAAAAAGAUAUUGAAAUACCAUACAAUAUAACUAGUGAUGAAUUGGCCCACAUGGCCAAAAGCAUUUGGUCAUGAAAUUCAAUAAAAGGUUCUACAAGAACUAAGAAUCUAGAAAAGGAAAAAGACCCAAUGAACAAUCAUCCAAUGAGAAAGGAAAAGGUUCCUCCAAAGGUAAGAAGUUUAAUGCUUUAACUAUGGAGGUCUAGGACACCAUGCUCAAGUUUGUAUUAGUCCCAAAAAUAUCAAAAAGUCUAUGCAGGCAACAUGGAGUGAUUCAGACUUUGAAGAAAGGGCUUUUCAUAGCUUCUAAAGAUACAAUGUAUGAUUCUAAUGAUAUGUUAACUUUUGUUGCAUCUAUGGAACUUGUGAAUGAUAUUGAUUAUGAUAGUGAUAGUAAUGAUGAUGAAUUUAUUGAUGAACAAAGGCUUGAAUUUUUUAAUAAUCUUGUUGUUAAGCAUGAAAGAUUAAUUAAGAGCUAUAUGAAAAAUAAUGAUGUUCUUGAAGCUCAUAAAAACAAGAUUGAUAUGCUGAAUGCUGAAAAGAUUAAUUUGCUUGAGAAAUUUCUAAGCAUGAUUCUUUCCUUGAGAAGAAUAAUGCCUUCACUUAAGGGAUCAAGAAUAAUAAGCUUUCUUCAUUUGUGAAUGAAAAUUUUCACCUUGGAACUAAAGUGCUUAAUGAUAUUCUUGACCAAUGCAAAACUCAUGGUGAUAAAAGAGGUUUGGGGUACAUUAACAAAGAUGAGAGUCCCUUUAGUGGAGAAAUUGUGUUUGUCAAAGGUAAGGAUGAUACCCCUAACCAAGUAAAAUCUCCUAAAAAUACAUCACUAUGCACAGACUAUAAGAAAAUAGGAUAUUCUCAAUUUAGAUGCUACACUAGGUUUCUUGAAAGGUUUGAAACUCAAAUGAAAAGACUUAUGAAUGAUUUUAAUUCCCUUAAAAAUAACAUCUUGAAUAAUAGGAAAUGGAAUAAAACCAAUUAGAAACCUAAAAGUCAAGCUAGUUCCUCCAAGUCACUACCUAAGGUUAAACUUAUUUGGUUAAUAAAGGAUAGGUCUAAUUGUCAAGUUGUAUUCAACACUCUAAAAGCUAAAUAUUCUAGUGAGUGGUACCUUGAUAGUGGUUGCUCUAGACACAUGAUAUGAGACAAAUCUUCUUUUACUUCUCUUGAAAACUAUGAUGGUGGGGUUGUUACUUUUGGAGACGGAAGCCUAGCUUGAGUGAAAAGCAAGGGUAGUAUAGUUAUCCCUGGUUGUCCCAAACUAGAUAGAGUUCUAUAUGUUGAAGGACUCAAAACAAACCUCUUAAGCAUUAGUCAAAUGUGUGAUAAAGACCAUAAGGUGAGUUUUCACUAAGACUUAUGCGAAGUAGUCAAUAAAGAGGGAAAGGUAGUCAUCACAGGACAUAGGACUAUGGAUAAUUGUUAGGCUAUAAAUCCUAACUUUAGAACACCUCUUAUGUGUAGUAGGGCAAGCUUGAUUAUACUAAGCUCUAACAUAGAAGGCUAGGUCACAUAAACUAUAUGAACCUUGCACAUUUAGUGAAUAUUGAAAAUUUUAGAGGUAUCUCUAGACUUAGUGAUAAACCUAAACCCAUUUGUCGUGAGUGCAUGAAAGUCAAACAAACUAAGAGUUCACACAAAAAGGUCAAGGAGAUAAGGACCACUAGACCUUUAGACUUUCAUCACAUGGAUUUUAUGGGUCUAAUGCGAACUAAAAGUAGAGGUGGUAAGAGAUAUGUCCUUGUAGUUGUAGUUGAUUAUUCGAGAUUCUCCAUUGUGAGUUUUCUAAGGGAGAAAUCAAAGGUCAUAGAGCAUUUGAAGUCAUUAUUUAAUAGAAUACAAGUGGAAAUUGGUCAUCCAAUUAUAAGGAUUAGGAGUGAUAGAGGGAGAGAGUUCAAUAAUGUGGAUGUUGAUAUUUUUUGUGAGUCUAAUGGAAUUAAAUAUGAGUUUUCAACCCCUAGAACUGCUCAACAAAAUGAAGUGGCUGAAAGAAAGAAUAGAGUGCUACAAGAGAUAGGUAGGGUAAUGAUUGAUAUACAUGAUACCUUUAUGCAAUUUUAGGCAGAAGCUAUGAAUACUACAUACUAUACUGCCAAUAAGAUUUUUCUUAGGCUAGGAACAAAGAAGUCAUCUUAUGAAUUAUGGACUAGGAGAAAACCUAACCUUGAGUAUUUUCGAACUUUUUGUAGUGAAUGCUAUAUACUUAGGGAUGAGAAGAACCUUGGUAAAUUUGAUGCUAAAUCUAAUUUAUGAAUUUUCUUAGGCUAUUCUAGUUCUAGUAAAGCCUAUAAGGUGUACAAUCAAAAUUCACAAGUCCUCCAAAAUGAUCGAGAUAUAAUUGAUAAUCAAAUUUUAACUCAUGAAUCAAAUGGGGAUAACACUAAAGACUUAGAGACUACAAAAGACAACCCUAAUGUUAUCCCUAGAAGAAAAAUUGACCCUAACAAUGAUUAAGUCCUACCUCUAGAUGACACUCUUGAAGAAAUAAGGGAUAAGCAUAGAUCUAGAAUACCUAAGAACCACCCAAUCUAAAGUGUUAUAGGAAAUGUUAAUUAACGAGUGUUUACUAGGAGACAAUCAAGAUUAAAUGAGAUGGGUCUUGUAUGGUUAUACCUCCCAAUUGGAGCCAAAGAAUGUGGAGGAAGUUUAGGAGAUGAACCUUGGACUACCGCACUUCAAGAAGAGUUAGAUCAAUUCACUAGGAAUGAUGUGUGGUAUUUAAUCCCUAGGCCUAAAGAUAAACAUGUCAUAGGUACAAAAUAGAUAUUCAAGAACAAACAAGAUGAAAAUGGGUUCAUUGUGAGAAACAAAGCAAGACUAAUUGCCCGAGGAUACUCACAAAUUGAGGGGAUUGAUUGAAGAGACAUUUGCACCCAUAGCCAGAUUAGAAUCAAUUAGGAUACUUUUGGCAAUAGCAUGCUCCUUGAGGAUAAAGAUUUACCAAAUGGAUGUCAAUAGUGCAUUUCAAAAUGGGGUACUUCUAAGUAAAGAAGUUUAUGUUGAGCAACCUAAGGGAUUUAAGGAUCCGAAAAUUCCCCAAUCAUGUCUAUAGAUGAAAGAAAUCCCUUUAUGGAUUAAAGCAAGCUCCUAAAGCUUGGUAUGAGAGGCUCACAACCUAUCUUUUGGAGAAAAAGUUUGAAAGAGGGAGAGUUGAUAGAACCUUGUUUAUUAAUAAGUCUAAUGAUGAGUUGUUAGUAGCUCAGAUUUAUGUGGAUGAUAUAGAUUUUAGAGCUACCUUUAAUGACCUUGACCUUAGUUUUGCCAACGAAAUGAAGACUAAAUUUGAAAUGAGCAUGGUAGGUGAAUUAACCUUCUUCCUAAGAUUGCAGAUUAGGGAACUAAAAGAUAAAAGUUUUCUUUCUCAAUCCAAGUAUGGUAGGGAAUUAGUUAAGAAAUUCAAUUUAGAAUCCUCUAAACACUCUAGAACACCUAUGAGCACUACCAUUGAGCUUAGCAAGGAGGCAUCUAGAAAGGAUGUUAAGCAAAAGCUUUAUAGAAGUAUGAUAGGUAGCUUACUUUACCUCACUAUGAGUCAUCUUAAUAUAUCUUUUAGUGUUAGGACCUUGUGCUAGGUAUCAAGUAAACCCCAAAAAGUCACACUUAAUGUAUGUUAAAAGAAUUAUUCAUUAUAUAUAUAAAUGGGACUCUUGAUUAUGGUUUGUAGUAUCCCAAUGAUUCUUCUCUUGUGAUUGUUGGAUAUUCUAAUGCUGAUUGGGUCGAAAAUGUUGAGAAUAAAAAAAAAACACAUUUGGUGCUUGCUUUUUUAUAGGUGAUUGUCUUGUGGCUUGGCCUAGUAAGAAACAAAACUUUACAUCUUUAUCUACUACUGAAGCUAAGUAUAUUGCUGCUAAGAGCUAUUUUACACAACUCUUAUGGAUGAAAUAAAUACUUAAAGACUAUGGAAUUGAGCAAGGACCAUGAACAUACACUAUGAAAACUCUAGUGCAAUAAAUAUCUCAAAGAAUCUUGUUAUUUAUUCCAGUACUAAACACAUUGAAAUUUGUUAUCAUUUCAUUAAGGAUCUUGUUGAAGAAUAUGCAAUUGGUAGAUGUUCUUACCAAACUAUUGGAUUCUCUUAGGUUUAAGUGCCUUAGGAAAUCUAUGGGCAUAUGCCUAAUAGAUUGAUCAUCAUUGGUAUAGGCUUCAAAGGUGUUGAGCUUAGUGUUGAUAUCUUGUUGUUUCCUUUAGCCUUAUUCUGCUUUGGGCAUAUGAUUUUUGUUUAAUUAAUUGAUAUAUUAACAUGAUCUAUAAUACCUCGAGUUUGUGAGUUGGAGAAAUAUACUAUAUCUAUAAGACUUGAUGUGAAUGGACUAAUAGAUACUUGUUAAUCACUAUUGAUGUAUUAGAUUCUUGAUAAUUAAAUGUCUUUGUAUGUGAGAAUUUCAAUAUUAGUGGCAUCAUGUACUUGAUCAAAAGGGAGACUUCUUAAGUUGAACUCAUAAAGUAAAUUUUGAUUACUUUGGAAGGAUUUGUUGUUAUGCUCAAAUAUUAUUAUCCACAUACCUUGUUUGACUCUCUUCUAAGUGAUCAAUUUUGAAAUUUUGAACUAGAUAGUAAGUCGUAUUCCUUUAAACAUUAAUGCUUAUGUUUCUAUGUUGACUCUCUUAUACAUUGAUGGUUAUGCAUUAGGUUUUCAAAACUAAGAUUAUGAUUAACUCUAACUUGUGAACUUAAAACCUCAUUCUUGAUGGAUUGAUGUGUACUAUCUGAAAUAACUUACUUAAGUUAUUAUUGAUCAAUCUAAUGUUGAGAGUUUAUAAACUUAAUUAUUUGCUCUUUUUAGUUUAUCGUUAAAUUUUUUGUUUCAAUUGGUGUCUAUUGUUGUCUCUAAAUUAAUUAGUUGAGUUUUCUAUCCCUAUUAGAAUUGAAAUUAGGCUCUGACCACUCAAGAACUACAUCUAACACUCAAGCCUUAUCCAAUGGUUUUAUUGCUCAAACGCUCUAAGUUACAUCCAACGGCACAUCCAUCAAGUGUCUCACUUAAGUGUUAAUCUACAUUCAGUGGUAUGUCUAGGUAUAAAAACCCAUCUAGCACACCUUUUUUGCAUUUCAAACAUUUUUCUAAUCUCUCAAGCAUUAUGAGACUUCAUUUCGUUGACAUUUGAAGCUAGUUUUCUUUGUUUUUCGUGUUUUCAACUUUAUAGUAUUGUUCCACACUUUAUUUAGGACAUUUCUAGCGGUUUAAAUUUUCUUCGUACUUUUCUAUAAUUUUACUAGAUAUGUCUAAAUGUAGGUGUUAGCGAGAGGUGACUCCUCCUGGGUCACCAGAGCCCAUUCAGUGCAUUGCUCUUCAAGGUCCUUUUAUAGUGUUUCUUUUCUCAAGAGUCGCAUGAUCGUUUCUAUGCUUAUUUUUAAAGUUGCCAUAUCGAGGUUGAGCAUUCUAUCAACCUUUGUGCCUUUCAAGAUACUCCUAUUCCUACCAUUCUCAGAGAAAGAGGGUGGGAUCCUUAUUUACUUUGCAAGGUUCAUAUUAUCCUUUUUUAGUUCACAUGUUCUAUGCGAACAUGCAUACUUUUUCUUCUAGUUGCCCCUUUUGGGUAGCCACAUUUGGUUAGUCCUUUCAAAUCACCUCAUUGUCAAUCAGGCGUGUACUUGACAUGCCUAGACUUGAUGUGUCUUUCUUUCUUCUUUCCAAAGGUUCAAUCUUUUACUCCUAGAGAUCUCCUUUUGAUUCCUAUUUAUUUAUAUGGUGCUCCUCGUGAGCUUCCUACAUAUAUUCCUCAAGUUGGUUUCUCUAUGCUAUCUUGGAUUCUUGCUACUUUCCUUACUUAUUCUUUCUACUCUUCUUCUCAUCAUACUGAGAUUCCCCAAUUGACUGCUCGAUUCAUCUACGUCAUCCUUUCAAGCCAACAAUUUGAUAUUGGGCAAGUUAUUAUUGAUAUCAUCAUCCUCUAACAUGAUUUUUCCUUCAUCGCGGUGCACUUCCUUUCCGGCUCCUCAUCUCUAGAUUGUUAGAGUAUGUUGCCUUUGAGAUUGCUACCAAACAAAGGGUCCAAGUUGCUCAUGCCUUAUUAAAUGAGAGUUCUUGGGCCAAGCACUGCAAUUAUGUGUAUGGUCCCAUGGCUCCUCCUAUUCCCAAUGGUCCCAAGAUAUUGCACAACACAACAAGCUACUCAAGAGGUACUUGCAAAAAAAGACAAGAUCUGAGCCAUAGAGUAAGAUGUACUUGUACCAGACAUUGCUCUUAAGACUCACUCUAGUCACGGUCGUGCUCGUACAUCUAAAGAUUCUCAUGGAGUAUCAACUUUCACAAACCCGACUACUUAGGAGAUGGAUCCCAUGACUACAGUGCUUUAGAGCUUGGACUCAUAGGAUAUUCAACUCCAUGAGAUCGAGGGUCAGUUGACCUACAUUAUUUCAAGGAUCCAUGCUCAGAGCAGUUUGAGCUCCUUCAUUCCUCUACCUCCUCCUGAUGCUUAGUUAUUUUGGUAUGUGAGUUUGUUGAUCUGAAUUCCUUGUAUUCAUUGCUUAUCUUAUGUAUCUAGAAUCAAUUUUUGUUACAUAUAUGUGUUGUUCAUUUUUCUUUUUGUCUUUGUGUGCUUUCUCGUGUUUAUAUUUUAAUUACUUUUCCAUUUUUGUGACAAAAAGAGGGAGAAUAUUGAAUAUUUAGCCCACUUAAAAAUAAAAAGUGGGAGAACAUUGAGUAUUUAAUUCAUUUAAAAAAGAGGAGUUAUAAAUAAGGAGGGAUAAGGUGUUCAUAGAAACUCCUAAUUUUAGGGAAGGUAAUAUUUUUGAAUUUUAAAUUCUUUAUUUAAUUCAUUAAUUAAGUAUAUUAAUUAAAAUAUUAGAGGAAACUAAACCUGAGACAUUGGAGUAAACCAUAUGAACCUUAGGAAACAUGAUUAGAUAGUUUAGAGAGAUACCUAACACGAAUGUUUCCUAAAAAAAUAUUAUUGUUUGAAUUGUCUAUCUCUUUAGAACCCCAUGUUUUUCACUGCCUAUUUUCUAAUUGGAGAUAAACCUCUAGGCAUCAUUGUUAAUAUAUUAAGCUUUGCUUUUUUUUACUUUGAUGUUAGAGAGAUACCUAACACGAAUGUUUCCUAAAAAAUAUUAUUGUUUGAAUUGUCUAUCUCUGUCUGUCUCUUUAGAACUAAUCUCAAUCAUAGAAGUUUCUUCCCAUGUUUUUCACUGCCUAUUUUCUAAUUGGAGAUAAACCUCUAGGCAUCAUUGUUAAUAUAUUAAGCUUUGCUUUUUUACUUUGAUGUCACUAAAGAAAUGUGUUCCUUUUUCAUGUUUUCACAAGGCAUCAAGCAAAACCUCCAACUAUCCUAUUUUUCUUUCACGAUAUUAUUUUAUUCCACACACUACUUUACCUUUGAUAUAGUCUUUUGUAUGUGAGCAGGUUAUAGGGUUGAAUGAUAAGUACUACAAAGCAUUGCAAAGUAUUUCCUUAGUUUAAUUUUAAUUAAGCAUUAAUGUGUGUUAUGUAAACUCUUUUAUGAGAGUUCAGGUAGCGAUGUUUUAUCUCAAAAUUCCCAAAUGAAGAGAAUGUUAGGACAUUGAAUCGUGUUUAUGUUGGCAAUUUUUGUUCCAAUUAAUGUUUGGUCAUAGAAGUCUUUUUAGAUAGCAACUUGCUCUUCAUUGAAAAUCAAGGGUCGUUGUUCGUCCAACCAAGAAGUCACAGGUAUGUCUAAAAAGGUUUGACUUGUGGCAUAUAAGGCUUUUUUGAGGUGUAAAAAGUUUCGAUAUCAUUUUUGGACUUAAAAUAUUUUUAAAAUGAUUUUUCAAGAAGCAGAGUCUGCUCAAACGGCUAAUCCCACUCAAGCAAUCAACUUGCUCAAGUGGUAUCGACUAUUCAAGCUGAGUGCUCAAGCAUUCCAAGUCCACACAAGCGGUUAUGGUAGUCUUGUUGAGUUUAGAAAUGUUUUUGAAUGAAUUUCACUCAAACUCUAAUUUGAAAACUUAAGAUACCAAAAUUUUUAUGACUUUUGCCUAUAAAUACCUCUUUUGUAACCCUUUAAGGGUUAGAAAUCUUGAAGUUUCAUUGGAGAUUUUGAAUAUAUAUCAUUGAGACCUCUCAUUCUUUAGAGAUGGACUCCUUGUAAUGAAAACGUUAUUGCCACAUCAUUCCUGAUCUCUCAUUCAAGGAUUUGAAUAUUCGAAUCAUGGGUUGAAGACCUUAAUUCCUUCAAAGUAGCCAAAUGAUCCACUAGGUAGCAACGAGGAGUUACCACGUUGCUGACGUGGACCAAGUUGUAGGUUCUAGACAGUAGGUCUUUAAGGUAAAAUGACUAGGUAAAUCUAUGUAACUUGAUUUUGAAUAGUGGAUUUAGAUUGGUAGGUCUUAGACUUCAUGAUUUUUUUUUAUCUCUAUAGUUUGUGAGGGUUUUCCAUGUAAAAAUUGUAUGUCUCAUUGUUUAUAUUUGUUAUAUUUGAUAUUAUGUUUAAAUUGCCUAGAAUAGGUUAAAAUGAUGAUCCCCAUUAUCUUGCAGAGUUUUCCUAAAAGGUUCAUAUCUAUUUAUUCUUACAUAUAUUUUAUUUGAUUAGUUUAAUUGAUUUGUUGGGGUUGCUAUUGAGGUUGUUAGGGUGGUUAUCUUUAUGGUUGUGGUGGUUAUUCCUAUAACCAAUUAUUGUUAUCCCUAACAUCGCUUGAGAUAUCUUUUGAAUAUUAGUAGUUGAUUUAUUUUAUCCUUGAAUAUUCUUUAAAUGUCAAUUAACCAUCAAAUUGAAGUUUUUAUGAGUUAAGAUUUGGGGAGAACUCCCUUUUGGAUACCUUGAAUAUCCCUACAAUACCUUUGGGAUUAGAAAUAUUGGUAAUAAUUUAUAAAUAUUGAUUUAAAAUUUUAAAUUACCCAUUCAUCCCCCUCUAGGUGUUCCCUAUUGGACUUUCGAUAGUUAUAUUAGUGGUAUUCAAAGCAAUACUCAAUUUUCAAAGGCGUUAAAGACCAACUUCAAUCGAGGUCAAUAGAUGAGGUAAAUCACUCAAAGGAGAUAUUCAAGACUUAUAAAGCAUGAUGAGAGCUUAAACAAAAGCAACUAGAGCAAUACAUAGUAUGAAACAUGAGAAAAGAAGGUAAUGGAGAGAGAGUUAGAGAGCAAGAAAAUAUAAGAAAGGUCAUAAAUCAUACCUCAAUGUUCACAUUAGAAUUAGAACUCAAAUAGUUAGAAGAAAAUUAAGGUUGAUUUUGAGUUGAAUUCUAGCUUAUUUUUCGGGUUUUUUUUAUGAAGUAAGUCAUGCAGGGUUUUGAAGCUUGAUAAGAAGUGCAACAUUUCAAAUGAUAUAUUAAUUAAAGUUGAAACAAGGAAGUUAUGACUAUUUGAAGCAAGGUUACAUAGGAUAAAAAUCCGAUUUGAACUUAUUCAAAGCUAGACAACUCAAAACCAUACUCAAGAUAAAGAUAGGAGUUUUUGGCAGGAGUUGAGUUUGAAAACCAUGGUGAUUUCAAACUCAUUUUGAUCUAGACCUAGAAAAGCAAAAUUUUUAUAGAAGUGGAGUUAAAAAUCCAUCAUAAGUUCAAACUGAAAUACAAUUAAACUCCCAAAAAAUUUGCCUUUUUUAGUUCAAAAAAUUUUGCAUUCCCAUUUUGAAAUCAAACUCUACCGCAACUUCAAUUUGUGCACUUUCAAGCUUUGAAACUUCAAUCUUUGUGCAUCCCAAGAGUCCAACUAAGCCCAGAAAAAGAUUGAAUGGUCCAAGAUUUGGAGAUUUAAUGUUCUUUUUUGGAAUUUCAUGUAAUAUUAGGAACUUUUUGCCAAUAUGGUUAUACCAUAUGACUAGUUUGUUCUCAUUUUGUUUCAUGGUUAAUGCAAAUCUUUAGAAUACUUCUUUUAUAUUUUUGUGAGAAAACAUCAAAGACUUUCAAGGUUUGCUUUGUUUAUGCCAUUUAAUUUUUGGUUUUAAUUUCCUUAAAUUCAAGAAUGAUGUUUUUAACUUUCUCUAUGGUUUGUGUGAGUGACAACACUGCCAUGAGAAGCUAGUGUCAUCUUGUGAUGUGAAGCUUGACAACCUAACAAUUAGAAAUAGAAAGAGGACAAUGGGAAAAUGGAAUUAGUAAUGACAAUAAUGAAGGUUUAAUGUAAAAAUGUUAAAAAUUAUAUACUCUUCAAGUUAGUUUGAACUAGGAGAUGACAUAUUAGAUCACUAUUGGAUGUUAGAGAUUCUUUGCACAGCUUGAUUCCUAGGUAUCAUGAUUAUCUCUUCUAUUAUACCUAACCUAUGAAAAAUCUACACUAAUAAGGUUUGAAAAUUUGAAACCUAAGCCUAAACCUAAAAUUAAUUUCAAUUUAAUUAUCUAAUGGAAAUUAAGUAUAAGGAUUAAUGUUAACUUAUGGUUUGGAUGCAACUUUGAACUAUAAAACAUAGGUCAAUCCCAUUUGACCAUUGAACCUUAAAUCUAAUAUCCUAAUAAAUGAACAAGCCUUCUUUGCCCUAAGGUUUUAUUCCCAAAGUUGGAUUGUAGAACCCCUAAUCUUCAAUUGAUAGGCUACAAACCUUUAAGUAUGUUGCCAAGUUAUUUAGAUUUUUUUAGUAAUUUAAAAUUUGCAAAAAAAAAAAUGCAUACAUAUAUAUAUAUAUAUAUCAUUUUUUAUUUAUAAUAUAGGUAACAAAAAAAAUAAUAAAUCAAUUAAUUUUGACCUAGUUUUGGUAAUUUUUUAAGCCAAUUCUUAAGGAUGAUACUCAGAGUACUGUAAAAGUCUCAUGACUCUAUCCAAUUUUUCUUAACCAAGGUUGCUAUGUGAAAAGACUUAAGUGGUGUUUGUUUUUUUAACUUAAAUCUAAAUAGAACUUUAAUGUUUAAUAGUGUUAAGCAUUAGGUUGUUUGUUUUUGUAAUAUUUUAUUUCUAUUAGGUAUUAAAAAGUAAAGAAAAUCAACAUAUUGUUUUUUCCAUUUAAAAAAAGUUAAAUAUUUUAUUUAUUUUUUAUUUAACAAAAAGUUUAUAAUAAGUCAUAAAAAAGUAGAGAAACAAACAACUUAAAAGUCUUACAGCAAAUUGCUUUCAAUAAAAAAGCUUAAAAAACAAUCUUCCUCUUAAUAUUUUGGAUGAUAGAAAAGAGCAAACACAUACCUGAAAGCAUUUGUUAUUGCAAUUCGCUUAACACUAAAGGCCCUUGAACCCCAAUUUAUAGUUGGCUAAGUUUAACCAUACUAGCUGCUCUUGUUCAAAAUGAAAAACCGAAAAUUGAUCUUAGUCUGAGUCAAGAUCUAUUGACUGAUUUGAUUGAGUUAUUGACAUUCAGUGAUAUAUAUGCUCUCCAACUGUCCCUUUGUGACUGUUCAACUUUUUUCAUAGCUCCACCUUCUUCUUUAAUAAUGAGAUUUCCUUGCUAGUUGGAUCCAACCCCCCUUUUUUGACACAUAUCAGAGACUCCUUAUAAAGACCAGUCUGCAAUUCAGAAGAUUAAUUUACAAAAUAACAGACAUGAGGAUGCUACUGCCAGUUCAUCUCAUCACAAUCAUCAUCUCCUUAGUAUUUAUAGCAUAGGAAGCAGGGGCAUCUCCGACCAAGCUUGGCUGCCCAGAGAAAUGUGGGAAUAUUACCAUUCCAUAUCCGUUUGGGAUGGGGAAAGACUGUUACCUCAAUAGGGAUUUUAAGAUUACAUGCAACUUGUCCUCCAAUCCCCCUCGUCCUCUUCUUCUCCAAGAAGUUCAACUUUUGCAGAUAUCAGAAGACUCUGCGCAUCAACGAUAUUGCUCGCCGUAGUUGUUUUAACAAUCAAUCAGGGGUGACUGAUUCAUUAAAUGUAACAUAUAAACUACCUCAUCAUUUCAGUUACUCCCACACUCGGAAUAAGUUCAUAGCCAUUGGGUGUGACAUAUUUGCUUUUAUCAUGGAGUAUAAUAGUACAACAUAUACAACGGGGUGUUCAUCUCUUUGUCUCAAUGAUAAAAACAUCUCUGGUGGUUUUCCUUCUUCUGCUUGCUCUGGCAUUAGUUGCUGCAGGACUUAUCUCCAAACGGACAUUACAUCGUUUAAUCUGCGGAUUCGCAGCAUCAACAUGAUCACACCAGGCUGGACCUAUGAGCCAUGUAGCCUUGCUUUCAUUGCAGAGAGGAACUUCUCCAUAACGAAAACUUUUAACCUCUAGUAAAUUUGAAAAUAAAUUGUAUUUUGUCCCAGCAGCACUUGACCGGUCAGUUGGGGAAGUCUCUUGCCAUGAAGCUAUCAGAAGAAAAAACUAUGCAUGUGGCCAGAACACUGACUGCAACAACUCCAUCCAGGGCCAGGGGUAUAAUUGUCACUGCUCUAAAGGCUACCAAGGGAACCCCUACCUUGCAAAUGGCUGCCAAGGUACAAUUUCUUCUCCUUUUCAACGUUCUAUAUUUAUUUUUUUGCCACUCCCACGAGGUAAGUUCCUUGGUGCCAUGCUGCAAGCUUUACUGCCACGCCAACUUACUCUUUCUUUUCUUUUCUUCUCAAUCUUUGCUCCUGCAAUAUAUGUCAACUUCACGAAAAUCAAUUGAUAAUUUUUGCUUCAUGAAAAUACUACUAAAUAUCAGCUUGUGUUAUGUGCAAAGAAGGAAUUAUGGAAACCCUGGUUCUUUGAUUAUGAAAAAAGGACUUAUCCUCUUAUUUCUACAUAUCAGACCUCAGAGUCAUAAGGCCAUGGCAACUGUAAUUAUUAUAGAAUGAUAUGUUUCCUAAAGAAUUUAAGGACUAAGCAAGCCUCUCAGCAUAAAUGAUGAGAUAUAAUUUUAGCUUAUGAAUUUAUUACUAAUAUUUUUUUUUUCUUUUGUGCUCUCAAAAGAUAUUAAUGAGUGCAACGACCCAAACAAAAAUUUUUGCCACAAGAUGGCUGUUUGCAGUAACAUCCCUGGCAGUUACUCAUGCACUUGCCCAGCUGGUUACCAUGGAGAUGGCAAGAAAAAUGGAACUGGGUGCAUACGUGGCAAGCAUGGACAUUUGCUACCACUGGUAUUUUCUUUAGGUAUGGAACUUUACCAUUCUCCAACACCUAACACUCCAACCCCCUUCUCUGCACUACUUACUUUUGUGUCCGAUGCAGGUGUGGGGAUUACUGUUGUUCCCUUGAUCCUAAUUGCUACAGGCCUAAGGUUAUACCGAGGACUUGAAAAAAGAGAGAAAAAGAAAAAAAACAGAACUUCUUCAAGAAGAACGGCGGUCUGCUAUUGCAACAGCAAAUUUCUUCAAGCAAAGAAAGUGUAGAAAAAACAAAACUAUAUUCGGUGGAAGAGCUGGAGAAAGCAACAGAUAGUUGCAAUUCAAGUCGAAUCAUUGGUAAGGGAGGCCUCGGCAGAGUGUUCAAAGGGAUGCUAUCAGAUGGAAGCAUUGUACCCAUUAAGAAAUCCAAUACCAUUGAUGAAAAGCAAUUGGCCCAGUUCGUAAAUGAAGUUUUCAUCACAGAUCAACCAUAGGCACAUAGUAAGAUUGUUAGGUUGUUGUCUCGAGACUGAAGUACCUUUGCUGGUUUAUGAAUAUGUCUCCAAUGGCACCCUCUCCCAUCAUCUUCAUGAUGAGGGCCAUGUAUCUACAAUAUCUUGGAAAAACCGGCUGCGAAUUGCGAGUGAAAUUGCUGGAGCCCUUGCUUAUUUGCACUCAUAUGCUUCUAUAGCCAUCUAUCAUAGAGAUAUCAAGUCUAGCAACAUAUUGUUGGAUGAAAACCUCCGGGCAGUAGUUUCUGACUUUGGACUUUCAAGGUCAAUACCCCUUGACAAAACUCACUUAACUGCAAUGGUACAAGGGACAUUUGGUUACUUGGAUCCUGAUUACUUUCAUUCAGGUCAAUUUACAGAAAAAAGUGAUGUAUAUGCCUUUGGCGUGGUUCUUGGUGAACUUCUGACAGGAGAACAAGCCAUUUCCUUAGAUAGAUCUGAACAAGGUCUAGCAAAUUAUUUUCGAACAGCAAUGAAACAAAAUCGUCUGUUUGAAGACAACCAAGUUGUAAAUGAAGGACAGAAGGAGGAGAUUUUUGCUGUUGCUAAGCUUACUAAGAGAUGCCUAAAGUUGAAUGGGAAAAAAAGGCCAUCCAUGAAACAAGUUGAAAUAGUCCUCCAACAAUUGGGCAGAUUUCAGGAGCCGUUUUCUGUUCAGAAGACAAGGAUUCAGGAGCAUUCAUUGCAGCAGCAAACAUGCCAUGACUAUUGCUCGGUAAGCGAAAGAUCCCAUUCCUAUACAUUUGGUCCAGUUACAGAAGAAAUAGUUCAAGAUGAUGAGGUCUUGUUUUCUUAAGGAAUACAGUAUGGCAGCUUAAAGUUUCGGUUGAAUACUAAACGGUUUUUUCAACCCAUAUGUGUCAGGAUGUUGGGAAGUUAGACUCAUUUAGAAAGGUUCAAAUAAUUAGAAUUAAAUUUGGUCCCUAAAAGUCGUGGAGGAUAUUUUAUUUUGAGUGGUUGCUUUAGUUUCUGUUUUUGGGUAAUUAAGUUCUAUAAAGGUUUCUAAAUUUUGUUAUUAGCAGUUUAUAUUUUGCUGAGUGUAAAUAUUUGUAAAUAAGAAAUCAUGUAAUAUUUGAAUAAGAGAGUGGUGGAAGACAUUAAAUUUUAAAUUCUUCUCAAUUUUUAUUUCCAUUUAUGUAAUCGGUUGUGUUUGUCUUUCAACCCUAUUACUUCAACAAGUUGCUAUUAGAGCCAUAUGAAAAAACUGACAAGUAGGAUGCAUUUGUUUCAAGUUCCCCUAGUCAACAAAAACAAUGAUGGUUAUUAGACUAUUAGGAUGAAGGUUUUGCUUGGGUCACAAGAUGCAUAAGAGAUUGCAAAGAAAGGCUAUAAAUUUUUUGAGAGAUAGAGGAAGAAAACUCUAUCCAACAAUGGAUGAAGGUAUUUUUGAGAAGAUUUCUAUUGUAACCACCUUCAAGGAAGCCUAUGAGAUAUUAUGAAGUACAUAUGAAAGAGUUGAUAAGGUAUGAAAAAAUCGUCUUCAAACUCAAAGCGAGAAUUUGAAGGCUUGAAUAUAAAAAAAAUGGAAUCAAUCUUUGAUUAUUUUUAUAGAGUAUUGGUUAUUGUGAUUUUUUUAAAAAUAAACAUUGGAAUUUUAAAUGACUCAUGUGAUUGAUAAAAAAUAUUUUGAUUUUAAAUUUGAAGUUUAAUUACAUUGUUGUAUCUAUUGAAGAAACUAGUGAUUCAAAUUCUAUAACAAUUGAUCAACUUAUGGGAUCAUUAAUUACAAGCCCAUGAGAGAGAUUAAAAAUGUAUAACCAAGAAAAAUUAGAACAAGUUCUUCAAACAAAACACUAACGAGAAUUUGCUCUUUAACCCUAAGGUGAGAAAGAAUAGAAAGAAAUUAUCUUAUUAUAGAGGAAGUUGUAUCUUUGUGUUGCCUAGGAGCAGGUCAAGUCUAUGUGACCAAGGCCAAAAUAAUCGAUCAAGGACAUGGUCAUGGAUGUGGCCAAGGACAAUUUAGGAAGAGACACUUUCAAUUGAUCAAAAAAAUGAAAGAGCAAGCCAAAAUUCAUAUGCCUCAAGAGGACAUGGGAGAUGACACAACUCAAGGAAAAACAAGAAAGGAAGGUAUAUAUGAUAAAUCUCAUAUUCAAAGUUAUAACAGUUGAAUUAUGACCAUUAUGUUUAUAAAUGUAAAAGUGUCACUAACAAUAUCAAAGGACAAGUCAACUAUAUAGAUAUAUAUAUUUUUUAAAGAAAGAUUAAGCAAAACCUACUAUAUUGUUGGCUUUAUAAAGGAAAAAGUGAAGAGAACACAGUGUCGAGACAUGAGAGCAAACAAUCAUAUGUGUACGUUCAAAAAUAUGUUUCUAGAGCUCAAUGAAUUGAAAAGUGGUCAUGUUACUUUUAGAUAUGCAUUCAAAAUUUCAAUAAAAGACAACGAUAAAAUCUUAAUUUGUUUGAAAAUUAAAAAUAAUAUAUUAAAUUUGCAUCAACUCUUAAAAAAUGGCUAUGAUAUUCAUAUGGAAAAAUGAAUGUUUCUAAAUAAAAUAUCAACAUGACAAUUUAACUACUAGUGUACUUAUGACAAAAAAUAUAAUGUUUUUCUUAAACAUUUAAAGAAAGGUCAUGUUACUAUUUUUUUUUUUCCUUUUCAAAUAAGAUUGCUAGGAUCAUGGGUCUUGAAUACCAAUACUAGUAGUGGUUGGAGGUUGAGUUGCUUUUAAUUUCUUUUUAAUUAUAAUAAGGAUUAAAAUAUCAGAAAUUACGAAAACAUUGGAUUUUAUGACAAUAAUGAAAAAAAUAUUAUAAAAAAAUUACAAGAAAUAAUAAAAUGAAUAAUAAUAAACAUAAUAAAGUUUUUCUUAUAAAAAACAAUAUAUAUAGAGCAUAAUUUGUUGAACAAAAUUAGAACUUUACACAAUUAAAAUUACUUUAGUUAUGAAAGUUUUAUUUUAAUAUAUCAUAUUUUGUAUGGAUGUAUUAAAAAGUAAAAAAUAAAUAAAAGUUAAGGGCAUCGUAGCAUAACCAUCGAGGCAAAGUUAGAACCUAAAAAGAUCGAAUGAAUCGAUAUAUAGACAAGUAAAUCCCUUAUGAAUUCUAAGGUACUGCUUUGCCAAGUAGUUGAGAGGGCCUUCUUUUCACCCAGCAUUGACCCUUCACAUGGCGCAAUAAAUAGGGAGAAAUGCAGAAAUGUAGGGAAGAAAUGUGAUAUAAUUGAAAAAUAGGCAUAUCGCGAUAAAAUGCGGAAUUCGAAUAUUAUCCGGAAUUUCGCCAAAAACCAUGUGUUUGGGGUUGGUGGUUGCUCCGGAGGUUGCAAGUUGAAGCCCGACUUGGGCUUGGGCUUUCUAUGGCCAUGCAACAGCAAGAAUGGCCAAGGGACUCCAGCUAAACGAAUAGGAGUGAUUAUUUUCAUGGGAGUCCAGCUAAAUAACUAGAAGUUCUUAGUUUCAUUUUCCUUUACUUUGUUAUCAAACUUAAAUAAAUAGUAAAAAGGUAUAUAUUAAAAAUAGGAAAAUAAAAAUUAAAUUAAAUUAAUUUCAUAUAUAAUUGGGGUGAGACGUAUAAGAUAAGAUAAUACCCGAACCUGUCCUAAACCCGUCCCAUGUUUAAAAAAAAAUCCCAAACCUACACCCUAAUUGGUUUACUUAAAUUUCAAACUCUUCCCAUUAUGAGAGAGAUGGGUCGGGUACCCGAAAUAACAAGUCUCACUGCCAUCCCUAUACUUGAUAAAGUCAUUUUUCUUGUUUUAUAUUUUCAACAUUUUAAUUUUAUUGCUAUAUUCAAAUCCAAUUUCUCAUAUAAAAUAAAAGUAUUUUAAUUUUUUUUUUUUGAUAACUCCUAACUUAAAAAUAAAAUAAGCAAUCUAAUUUUUUUUUUGUGGUUUAAACGAGAAAUGAAUUUACCAUAGACUAAUAAAGUUCUCACAAAAAAUAAUAAUAAUAAUAAUAUGAUUGAGACAAUGAUGAAAAUGUCACUGUGAUAUUAUGGUCACUUACCUACCCGUCAUGCGUCUAUUUGGAGACAAUUACAUGUACCUUAAUAAUCUGUCUAACAUUUUAGCUUGAAUUAAAUUAAUUUUAAUUAUUUUAUUUUUCAAAUUCUAUUUAAGACAUUAUUACUAAUAUAAAAAGGCAUUAUGAUAAACUUAUUAUUGAGUCUUUCUUUUGAUACCUUGUUUAACAAUUAAAUAUGAAAACUAUAAAUUAUAAAUACAUUGUCGGCAUUUUUAAAUUUAAAGCUAAAAAUACAUACAUAUGUCAUUAUUUCUUUUAUAUCUUGAAUACUAUAAAACAAAUUAUUUAAGCACAUUUUCAAUUACCACUUUUGUGUAAAAAAAAAUAUUAAAAUAAAAUUUGGUCCAUUAAUUAGUUAUAAUAAAUUAAAGAAUAUUAAUUAUCUUAUUUUAAAAUUUUAUUUAUCUGAUUAUCCAAACUGUAGAAAUCGUUAUAAUGAUAUUUUUAAUAAAUAUUUUUUAUAUUUGUUUUAUAGUAAUUAAAUAUUUAAAAUAUAUAUUUAUAAAUAAUAUUGUAAAGAUGUUUAACUUAAAAAAUAAGCAUACACAAUAUAUUGUUUCUUUUAUAUCCUUAAAUGCAUCCAAACUAAAUAAAUCAUUAUUUUAACAAUAAAUGUGCUUAAUUAAUUUCUUUUAAAUUUUGGAUAUUAUUAAUAAAUAUGAAAAAUUUUAUGAUAUAUAAUUAGUUUUUUUCUAUAAAAUAACUUUAAUAUUUGUAUUAUAGAAGUUUUAAUAUCAUUUUUCAAGUUUUCUCAAUAUUUUUAUUAAUUUUGUUCAGUUUCCAUCUUAUUUAAAUUUUUUGUCAAAAUUUUUGUGACUAUUUCAACGAAAUUAAAUUUCAAAAAUUUUUAUAGAUUUUUUAUUUUAAAAAAAUUUGAAUAAUAAAAGUUUCAUUUGAAAUGAUUUUACAACAAUUUUUCAAAAUUCAACUUGUUGCAUUACAACAAAUUCAAAAGAAACAAUCAUCACUCCUUAUUUGCACUGGCUGUUUUCAAGGGUGCUUGGGUUAAGGAUGUGUGGAGGUGCAAUGACGGUGGGGGGAGUUGGAACCCGUUUUUUUCUAGACCAUUUCAUGAUUGGGAGUUGGAAGAGGUUUGUAGAUUUUUUUGUGGCCUUAAACGGGAAGCAAAUUCAACAAGCAGUGGAUGAUAGGGUGAUUUGGAGAGAGAUUAAUCAGUUAACUCUCUUUAUAAAUCAUUAAUAUUAGGCCAUCCAGACUCCUUCCCUUUGUUGGCUAUUUGGAAAGUCUCGAUGCAACCUAGAGUGAGUUUUUUUGGGUGGGAAGUAAAUUGGGGGAAGGCCCUUACCUUGGAUCAGCUUCAAAAGAGAGGAUGGGCUCUAACAAACAGAUCUUACCUUUGUCAAAGGCAUGAAGAAUCAAUAGAUCAUAUUCUCCUCCACUGAGAAAAGGCAAAGAUUCUUUGGGUGUUGCUUUUCUCUAUGUUCGGGGUGUAGUGGAUGCUGCCAGCCACUGUUAAGGAGUUGCUUUUGGGGUGGAAUGGGACUUUUGUGGGAAAGAAAAGGAAGGGUGUUUGGCGAGCAAGUCCUUUGUGCCUCUUUUGGACGGUUUGGACUGUAAGGAACAAAGUUGCUUUUGAGAAAGAAGAGCUGUCAAUUCAAAGGCUUAAGUUUUCUUUUGUUUAUUUUCUUUGAUCAGAGAUGAAAUUGUCUAUAAAAUAUGGUCCCUCGACCUUAGUUGAUUUUGUUGGUUGGGUGACAACCCGGUAAGGGUGUGGGUAGAGCUGCUCCUCUGGCCUUGGCGUUCAGCUAGGGUGUGAGGGGUGUUUUCUUUUCUUGUAACUUUAGGCCAUUGCUUUGAUGGUUUUUUAAUACAAUCUCUUUACUUAUCAAAAUAAAAAAAUAAAAAAAUAAACCAUCAUCAAUAAUUCUAAUAAUUUUUUUUACAAUUGAACUUAAAAAAUAAGUUACAUUGAUCUAAAUAUUAACUAAAAUGAAAUUAUUGAAAAAUUAAAAGUCAGGAUUUGGUACUAUUCUCCAAAUUAAAAAUCCAAAAAUUAAUGAACGGCAUAGUUUGGAUCCCAAAUUUACAAAUUUAAAUAUGCAGCACACAAAAACUAGUGAGUAUAUUAUUACAAUAAAUUUUGGUAUUUUGGGCAUUUAAAAACAUAUUAUAUUACUAGGUUUUAAAAUUAUUGAUUAAUAUAUAUAUUUUAAAAACAUAUUAUAUUACUAGGCCAUUUUGGUAUUUUAAUAUAUAUUUUACAAACUAUACAACGAAGUUGUUUUAAUACACAAUCAAGAUCGAUGUAUUGCAUUAAUUAGAACAAAACUUACGUUAAUAAUUUUUAUUUAUUUUUGGUCAAAAUAAAGAGAACUUAACUAAUUCAAAAUGUACAAUAAAGUUGUUUUAAUAUACAAUCAGCAGGAUGCGUUGCAUUAACUAGAACAAAAUUUAUGUUUGUAAUUAGUAACCAAACAACACAGUAAAGCUGCGCUACAAUUGCCACAAAACUUGUAGAUUUCCAUGAAGGGUCCUGACCUUCUAGAUCAUAGUAAGCAUACUUUCAAGAUGAAAGUGCAUCUCCAAAUAGUGGAAAUGGAGGGUGUACAAUGGUUACGAAACUUGAAAAUUUCCAAGGUUUUUCUAUAUGGAAACUAAAUAACACAAGACCUAAGGAUGUAUAUGCAAGCAUACGUUUUAUGCUUGUUUGAGUAAUAGCAAUGAGAUUCCCUAAUAUCAUGUUAAGAAUAACUAGGAAUUUUAGAAGAUAAACAAAGAUUGCUUUGCAUUUAUAAUUAUUUUCACAUCAAGAAGUCAGACAUCAGACUAAAUUUACGAGAGAAGUUAGUAUAAGAGACCAAAUAACUCAUUUUCCUUUUAUGCAUAGCUCAUUUAGGAUAGUUUCUCUCUCUCUUUUUUUUUUUUUUACUUUAGAUAGAGGCAUUAAGGAGUAAGCUAAGGCAUCAAACUAAAUCUAUGAGGGAAGUUAGUAUAAGAGACCAAAGAACUCAUUUUCAUUUUACGUAUAGCUUGUUAAGGAUAGUUUCUCCUAUUUAUUACCUUAGUUAGAGGUUGAAGUUGAAGUUAAAAUCAUAAUUUUCAAAGAACAAUAUUGAUAUUAUAAAAUUUAACGAAACAUAAAAAAAACUCUUUAUUUACAUCGAAAUAGAGUUUUUACAAAAAGUAACAUUUUUUACUUUCAGAUUAAGUUUUUAAGCCAUAAACUCUUUGAGUAAAAUUAGUUAAACAUGUAUAAAUACUCCUAUGAAGUUUAAAAAAGACUUUUUUACUUCUUAGAAGCCAAUUCAAAGAGUGUCAUAGUUGUGUACAUAAAAGAAAAUCUAUCUCCUAAAAAUAACUAAUAAUUAAUAAUAUUAGUCCUUUCUCACUGUGCUUCUUGUGUAACUUGGAAAAGAAAAUCAAGUGAUAAAUGUAUAGUGGAACCUCAAAAAAUUAACACUCGAAAAAUUGAUAAUUAACCUUGAUUAAGAUUGUAUUUUUUGUCCAUCUUGACUUAUGGUCAAUGUGCUAAAUUAAUAAUUCAAUAAAUUUAUAAGAGAAUACAUUAUAAAAAAUUUACAUAGCUUCAUAUACGAUUCAUUUAAUACACACAUAUAUAUAUAUAUAAAUGAAUAAUUUUUCUAAUAUGCAAAUAAAUUUGUAUGCUUUGUUUAUGAGGUCUUUGUAAUAUAUGAGUCCAAUAUUACUUUUUUCUUCUUGAAAUUGAUGUCAACUUGGAUCUCCUCUUUAACUUUUUAUAGUGCAAAAGUAGAUUCUAGUAUGACAUCCUUGUAUUGCAACAGGAAAAUAUUCAAUGUUAUCAUCACUUUGAGUGCUUUUUUACAUGAGAUUGACUCCAUAGUAGUACUAUCACCUUCAACUUUAUUCUCAUGAUGAAAAAAAAUUAUAGAGAUGAUCACGGCAUAUAAGGGGAAGAUUUUCCCAUGAUGUGAAAAUAUUCCAUGAACAGAGAAAGAAAAGAACCUCCUUUGUAAGUAUUUUCACAUUAGGGAGUUAGCUAAGAUGUUAGACUGAAUUUACGAGAACUUUCUGGUUAGCUUUGUGUAGUAGCAGAGAUUUUUCUUAUUAGAGGUUAGCAUAAGAGACCAAGGACCUCCUUUUCACUUGGUAUAGUAUUAUAGAUAAAAGGAAACCUGACCUUGAAAAAACUAAUAAUAAUAGUAGUCCUUUUUUCACGGUGCUUAACUGGGAAAAGAACAAAUGAUCAAUGUAUGUAGGAAGAAACAUCUUUAGUUAAAUACAUAAAACGACAAAAAAAAAAAAAAAAAAAAAGGAAGGAAAGAAAGGGGGUCCAUUCCUAUCUUGGUUGUUUGCUUUGAUAGAGAAUACAUAUCGACCAGCUUCCUAUAGACUUUGAAUGAAAUAAUCUUAUGAAAUAAUGAUCAUGACAUACGAAAGGGAGGCUUGUCUCAUGAUAAGAACAUGAAUUGAGAAAAAAGGACGAGAGCAGAAAUAAAAGGUCACCCAACCUUAACUGUUCCCUUGCUUUUUAUUAAAGACUGACAGGUUACCAACUUACAAUGUGCGAAAACAGAUAUACAUAAAUUAGAAAGCUCAUUUUGAUGGAGGUAUAAAGUAGAUUCAAAAGUUAACUUUGAACAAUAUCACUUUAAUGCACCUUCUCACCAUCACACAUUGGGUGCCAAAGUUGGUUUCUUAUUAAUCAUGUCGUUCAUUCAACUUAGAAAUACAAAUAAAGAAGCCCUGGCCUGCACAAAUAAAAAGAAAAGAGGCCUCUCCAAGCUUGUUCCAGCUUUAAUAAAGAUGAAGGCAGAGAAGAAAUUAAAUAUCCCCUGAAUUUUAGUCUGAUCAAGUCCUUGUGACAAACAUGUGGACGUGAUUUGCACGAGUCGUAUUUAACAAAAGAUGGGAUAAAACUUACUUUCAAAAUAAAUGAUGGUUAAAAAUUAGUCGUUACAUUUCUAUAGAGUAGAAAAUGACAAUAUUUCUUAUUAGUUUCAGCCUUAAAAUGUGGAAUUAUAUUAUUAAAUAAAGAUUGAAUCCCUUCACUUAAAUAAGAUAUUGUGUAAAAGUCUUUAAGUUUUUAAAUAUGUAAUAUGAUAAGUAUAAGGUUAAAUUUAUCAAAAUGAAUCAUUUUUUCGGAUUUCAAUGAUUUUCAUUAUCAAAUGGUCGAGUUACAUUGAACAUUUCAACGCUUUUGACUUCUGUUAAUUUAGCACUUAUGAUUCAAUAUUAAAGCUUUUCAGUACUUAAUUUUGAGUUUUAUAUAUCAUCACCUAAUAUUCCUCAAUCAGCUCUAAAUGACAAAUAUAACAUCAAACCAUUGGAGACAAAAUAUGGUUGAAUGUGUUGCAGCUUCCAAGGGCAUUUCCUAUUCAAGGUUCACAUCUCAAAUUAGACCUUGAGACAAUAUUUAUCCUUCCUUGUUAGAUUUACAUUCCGAAUCAAACCGUGUGUAAUCUAUUCUUCCUUUUUUGAUUCAUUCCAAAUCAACCAUCGAGUAAACUAUCAAUGCCUCGGUUUUUUUUUUUCUUUUUUUUUUCGGGCUUGUUGUCUUUGUUUAAAUUCUAUGAAUAUAUGAAUGAAACAAAUGUUUAAAUAUUUUUCGCUUCUAUUUAUCAUUUAUUCUUGUUCCUAUCAUUCUCUAAGUUCUUUCAAAUUCAUCAUGGUAUUAGAGGAGGCUUUUGUGUUCUCUACACUCAACAAUCUCGAUGAACCAAAGAUCAAAAUGCAAUCGUCCUACUAAUGAACAAGUUUUCUUUCUAGUCACAAUACAAUAAUCCUACUAAUGCACAAGUGGAGUAUAAGGUUUUUCAUUUUUCAUGUAAAAAUUCAUUUUUUUUAUUGAUCUAUGUAACGCAUGGAGAGGAUGGAGGCAGUUAAACUGAUCUUCCUCAAAUGAAAAUAGAUGAGUUUUUGAAAGAAAAGUUGAUCGGAGAUGUAGGAAACUAGUCUUGGAAUCUAUAGUAGUUGUAGUACCACUCAAGUGGCCAAAUUGGUGCUUGAGUGAUUAUCAAGUGUUUAAGCACCCUUCCAAUGUUGGAUCUAGUCCUAGAAGCAUUUCCAAUGCUCCAGAGUUGCUUCCAGCACUGUUUUAAGCGACCAAGAGCAUCUAGUAACAAAAUUGGGGGUUUUAGAGUGUUUUUUGGGUCUUUGUAUUUUUUUUUACUAACCCUAAUUUGUUUUGUAAGUUAAUUCGGUAAUUUUUUUAUUUUGGAAAUCCAAAUAUUUGGGAUCACCAAAUAUGAAAUAGGAUCUCUAAGGCCAUUGAAAGCUUUACUCUUUUAUUUGUUUCCUUUUUAUGCAUUUUUUUAUGACAUAUGUUUGGAAAUUUUGGAUAAAAUAAUUAAAAUUAGUAAUUUUGGAUUUUCUUAAGAAAAAUAAAUUUUCAUGAGAAGUACUCACUUUCCAAAAAUUAUUUAUUUAAAAUUGGAAGUUGUUAUUUUAGAUUUCUAUUCCUUUUCAACAAUAUAGUUUAGAUAGUUGGCUCUUUAGGUUCCCCUAUGAGAAGGAGAAUAACAUCUCUCGUGGUCUUUUAGACUCUUUUUCCAACGAGAAGGAUGAUAACACCAAAAUUUCUUUAGGCUCUUCUCCUUAGUAGAGGAAAGACUAUGUUGGAUAAGGAAAGUUCAAGGAGAAGGAAUGAUAGAACAAUUCUUUUAGCACAAGUUUUCCAAUUUAGGAAAUAAAUAAAGGAUUUGAAAAUUCUCAUGAUAGAGAAUUUGUUUUAAGAAAGGUUACCAAAAUUACUUAAAGUCUCUUAUUCCAAAGUAUUGAGUAGGAGAAAACCAUAGGUAAGCUUAUAGUCUCUAAGAUCAUGCCCAUCUUGAUUUUGGGCACAUAACCAUCAUGAAGAUGGGAUGACUGAAGGAAUUAAGAGAUAUGGACUAUCCUUAAUAUUAAAUACUUCACUGGGUAUCAUUGAUGUUAAGGAUAUUGAUUACACACAUAACCGAGAUGUGAAGAGGUAGAAUCACUUGAAGUGGUCCCACUUGCAUAGCCUGAGGAUAACCUUUUAAGCUUUAAGGAAAGUUGAUUAAUUAGAGAGGUUCUCUACCUAGUAAUAAGAAUCAUGACCUGCCUAAGGUAGGCUUGAUUCUUAUGAUACCAUGAUACCUUGCAUAGUUACAUGUAGUUUGAGAGCACUACAUAUUUGCUAAAUUUUAUUGUCUUUACUUAAAAGCUUAGCUUCUUUUAUUAAUGCAUGAAAUUUUUUAUUUGUUAAAAGAAUCAUAUCAUAUAACCUGAUCACCCCCAUUCUCAUUACUAACAAGUUAACUAGUCCUAAUUAUGUUGAUUGGAAAAGAAACUUGAACACAGUGUUCCAUAGCAGAAUAACUAAAAUGGGUAACUUAAGAGUUUGUUCCACCUAUAUAUUCCCAAUAAUUUUUCCACAUAAGAAGUGAAAGAUGCUCAAUCUAAGAUGUAAAGAGUGGAUGCGAAGGCUUGUAUUAUAAUCGGGUCUAUUGAUAUGUGUUGCAACAAUAACACAUGGUCAUUUCCACUACUUAUGAGUUUUUCUUGAGCUUGUAGGAGAUGUUUGGUGAUAGAGGUAAGUUAGAUAGGUAAGUUACCUUUAGGUCCAUAUUAAACACCAAGAUGAUAGAAGGGACUUCCUUUAGAGAUCAAAUGAUUUGUAUGAUUGCACUCUUUAGUGAGAUGGUGAUUACUACCAAAAAGUGCUAUUUUGUAGACCUAAUAAUAAUGGUUUUAAGCACCUUUGAGUAGUAAUCAUAUUCAUUUAACCCAAUUAAUUCAUUAAGGUCCUUAGUAAUUGGUUUUAACCAUUUUGUGGCAAGUUUACAUGUUUUUAUCAGCUUAUGAAUCGAUUCAAGCAUGCCAAUUGAUGGAGGAGCUACUUGGGCGAGUUAAGCAAGGAUUUUGUACAUUUAUAGGCUUGAAUUUCAAGUGGAAACACGAGCACAAGCAAUGGAGAAGAGGAAAACAGAGUGAAGAAAACAGCUGCAGUCUUCAUUUGAACUUUUGGAGCACUUCCCGAAGUCCAUUUUUUGCAUGCUAUAUACCAUUUGAAAGCUUAGGAAGUCAAGAAUCCAACGCUUCAAACCGUGUAUGAUUUGGAGCUGAAAUGAGGAAGAUAUGGCCUUUGGAAGGCAACUGCAUCAUGUCAAAUGACCAAUUUCGCAAUGUGAAUUUCACAUUGCGAAAAUUUCGCAAGGAGAUUUUCUUCAUGGUGCGAAAUUUUGCCAUUUCGCAAUGUGAAUUUCACAUUGCGAAAAUUUCGCAAGGGGAUUUUCUUCAUGGUGCGAAAUUUUGCCAUUUCGCAAUGUGAAUUUCACAUUGCGAAAAUUUCGCAAGGAGGAUUUAGGCACAUUGCGAAAUUCCUUUGAAUCCCCUGUUUUGAGACGUUGUUGAUGUUAUUCCACUACCGGUUCUCCAAGAUAUUUUGCUUGAUUUUUAGCUUUGUAAAUACCUAUUUUACCCUUGUAAUCAACCAAUGAAUAGGUUGCUUUUGUAAUAGCUCUUGUAAUUUAGCUUGUUAUUGUCUUUAAAUAGAGGUGAAGAGCCUCAGACAAUAAUCUAAUUUUGUAACCUGUAACUUUAGAAGUUAUAAGAUCACUUUUGUUCAGAAGCUUCUUUUCUCUUUUCUUUCUCAUUUUCUUAGUAGCCAAACACCCUUGGAGGAUGAAAUCCCCAAGGAUGAGAGGCUAAAACCUUUUAGUUUCUUGAAGUAAUGGAUGCCAUGUGAAGCUCCCGUGUCAGGAUGGAGAUUUCCAAGCCAUGAAUGUAAGUAGCUGAGCGUCAUAAAUGUUUUCAUUCAAAGUAAAGCUUUUAAUCCCUCUGACUUGCUUUGAAUGGCCAAUACUUGAUAACCUUUUGGUCUCAGUGGAUUCUUAUUGUUAGAUCCACUGAUGUUCAUUAGUUAUCUUCUACGAGCCAUUGUAUUGCAAGUCGAGGAGAUGACCUAUAUCAUUAAAAGAGCAUUUAUGAGGUUCAACUACCCUUUUUGUAAGUUUUAAAGGACUAAAACUCAGUUGUUAAACUCAUACCGGUUCGGGAAGUAAGCAUCACCUUAGUUGCUUCCCCAACUCGAGGUGAAGAGUUCCAAAAUCUCCAUUUUUACAUAGUGAGUUAAGCAUGGCUAUCCAAAGCUUUGAGAAACUUCUUUUUCCAUCUUUUAACCUAUUUUCAUGUUAGUUUAGUUUACACACCUUCAUCUUUAUAUGUUUUCAUCUUAACUUAAUUUUUAUUAAGAAAAGUUCACUCCAUCCUCCGAACUUCACCAGUUAAAGUAAAAACCCUUCCCAGUGUUCGAUCCUAGAGCCACUAUGCUAUAGUAGCUUUGCUACUUUAGUGUAAGGACGUUAGGUAUAAAUUUUGUUGAUACCCUUACAUGCCAAGCUACCAAGAGUCGGGUUAUCAGAUGGAAAUCCUUCAAGUUGAAAUCGAUGGGGAAACCCAAUUCAACACGAUCCUAAAGACUUUGUCAGAUUUCUUUAGGUGGUUUAUGCCCAAUCAUACUAUGAAUAAGUCAAUGAUGAGUUUACUUGAACUGAUGGGGGAACUCUAGGUGACUAAGAGGAUUCUUAAGGAUCUUAGAAGUUUUUAGGUUUUUACCAUAAGAAGAAGAAGAAGAAGACUUUCAAGAAUACAAAGCAAAGAAAGUCCAAGGUUGGGGAAAGCAAGAACAAAGGAAAGGGGAAAUGUUUCCUUUGUGGCAAGAAGGGUCACUAGAAGAAGGAAUGCCUCAUUUACUUGAAGAAAAAGGAAUGUAUGAUUCAUUCACUUUUAGUUGAAUAUUGUUUAGUAGUGGAUUCCACCAACUCAUGGUGAAUAGAUUCUAGUGCCAUUGACCAUAUCUGUAAUUCGUAAUUCUUUAUAGGGGUUUUAACAAAGGAUAAGGUUGAAUAAAGGAGAGAUGUACCUAAUGUUAGGGUUUGCUACAAGGAUCCCUGUGCAAGUUGCGAGAGAUGUUACAUUAGUGCUAGAGAAUAGUGGUCAUCUAGAAGAAGAAAGCCCUAUCUACAUAAAGUAAAAGAAAGGUAUGAUUCAUUUACUUUUAGUUGAAUCUUGUUUAGUUGUGGAUCUUACUAAUUCAUGGUGGAUGGAUUUCUAAGCCACUGACCAUAUCUAUAACUCUUUAUCAGGGUGUCAAUUAAAUAGAUGGUUGAAUGAAGGAGUGAUGUACCUAACUUUAGCAUCUACUACGAGGAUACCUAUGCAAGUCAUGGGAGAUGUUACCCUAGUACUAGAAAAUAAUAGUCAUCUAGAACUCAAUGAUUGUCUUUAUAUACCUGAAUCUAGAAAGAAUCUUAUUUUAGUUUCUAGUUUACAUAAAUGGAAGUAUUUAGAGUUUGUUUGGUAGUGAUUUUAGAAAACACUUUUAAUUUUUCUAACACUUGAAAGUUUUUGUCUUUCAAGCAUUAAAAAGACUAGAAAUGCUUCUUAGAAUCACUACCAAACACACUCUUAGUUUAUUUCAAUAAAAAUGAUUUCAUUAGAAAGAAGACUCAUUUAUUUGCUAAAGUUCAUUGGUUGACAAUCUCUUCCUUAUUGCUCUUGUUUUAUUUUACCUAUUAUUGAAAAUCAUCAUACCCCAUUAAAGAGGAAAAUACCUAGUACUAAUCAAACAUACUUAUGGCAUCUACGCCUAGGUCAUGUAAAUCUAAAUAGGAUCCAAAGACUAGUGACAUCUGGAGCAUUGCACUCAUUAAUUCCAAAAGACCUUUUAGUUUACGAAUCUUAUAUAAAAGAUAAAAUGACCACGAGCCCUUUGAAUUUUCGGAGUUAGAGCGUAUUGAUGUGUAUGAACCUUUUAAUGUCUAAUCGUGUGGAGGGUAUGAAUAUUUGAUCAUCUUCAAGGAUGAUUACUUUUGGUAUGGUUAUGUUUACCUUAUGCAUGGGAAAUCUAAUGCCUUGGAUAAAUUUAAGGAAUUUAAUAUGGAAUCUGAGAACUAGCUAUGUCAAUGCCUUGGUUAGAUAAGUUUGAUUUUUUUUUUGAAAGAGCAUGGGAUUAUAUCCCAAUUGAGCACCCUUAGAUUUUCACAGUAAAAUAAAGUAGCGGAAAGAAAAAAUUCAACUCUUAUGGACAUGGUGAAAUCUAUGAUGAGUUUUUCAACACUCCUUACAUCCUUUUGGGGAUAUCCUUGAACACUACUAGAUAUCUUCUUAACUUAGUCCCAUCUAAGUUGGUACCUUUGAUUCUUAUUGAGAUGUGGAUGGAUCCUAAACCUAGUUUACAUCAAGUUCAUAUAUGGGGGCGUCUACCACACAUGCUAAGGCCAAAGGUAGAUAAGUUGGUACCUAGGUCCGAAGUUUGUCAGCUUGUUGGGUGUCUAAAAGGAAUGAGGGUUUAUCACUUUUAUAGUCAAGUCAACUAGAAGGUGUUUGUUAGUACAAAUGUCAGAUUUUUGGAAAAUGACUAUAUGAUGACUAAUAAGCCUAGUAGUGAGGUUGAUUGGAGAGCACUAGAUGUGACUACGACAUUAGUAGAAAAUACAGUGGAAACAACACAAACUAUUCCUAAUUCUAGUGCACUAGGUCCUUAUCAUAAUGAGAGGGUUGUUAUGCAACCGGUUUAAUUCAUGUAUUUAAGAGUUUGUUGAGGUUAUUUUAGAGUAACAUGAAAUUGAUCCAUAGAUGAUAAAGAAGCAAUAAGUGAUGCGGAUGCAAAUCCUUGACAAAUGGCUAUGAACGUAAAGUUAGAAUCUAUGUAUUCUAACUAUGUCUGAAACCUUGUAGAAGUGCCUAAAAAUAUAAAACCCCUAAAGUACAAGUACAAGUGAGUCUACAAAAUGAAGAGAGGAGUAGACAGAAAAGUUAAGACAUGUAUGUUAGAAUAGAGCCCUUAAAAACAUAACAUGAUGUAACAGAUUUGGAAUACAUUAUUCACUUAGAGGUUCACUUUUAUUUAUCCUUAUUCCAUGCAUUACACUUAAUUUAUGAGUAUUUUGGCUUGAAAUCUCUUGCAUUAUACAUGACUUGGGUGCAUUAGGAGUUGUACGGAAGAUCCAAGUCUUGGAUUCCUCGUAAGUAGAUGGUUUGUUCACAACCAAUUCAUGGACCUAAACAAUUUGUUUAAGGUUGUAGUGCUCCACUUCCUAAUUAGAGGGAUGGUUAGUCUUGGUUGUUGAGAUGGGGUUCCCAUGGUAAGGGCACUAGUGUGUAUAGUUACACAUUGGACAUGACCUACAAUGAGUUAUGACAUAAGGUUAUCAGGUAGUCAUGACUUUACUAAGUUGCUAUACUGUAUAGUCUUUUAACCUUGAGAGAAGGUUAAGCUUGUAUAGAAGUUAGUAGUGGCUUUGGUCUAUGGGUGAGAUCAUAAGUUGAUUAUAUAUUCCCUAUGGAUUAGGUCAUUAUUAAUGAAAGUUGGUAGCAAAAGGUAUUCUCAAUAGAGGUGCCAUGAUAUCUCAUAGAAUUUGAGAUAGCAUGCCUCCUUGGGUGAUCCUAAGGACAUGUGAUCAUAAAAUCUGUAAGCCUACAAUAAUUCUUUUAGUAGAAUUUGACAUAUGCUCUUAAUGAGCUAGAGUAUGUCAUUUGAUCACAUAAUAAGAGGAUUUGUAACUUAAGGAUUGUAAAGGUAGUCUUAAAAUGUUGAUAUCUUUGACCUUGUUAGAAUAUGGAUGGCUAGUUCAUAGGGAGACUAUAUAUAGUGGAUAGUAAGUCACGAACCAAAGCACUUGUUGUCUCAAUGUAAUAUACAUAGGGUACGAGAGUGUAGUUGACUCUUUAUAGUGAGAUGUUGAGUCAAUUUUAGAAUUGGAUCAUGAGGGAGCUAGUAUGUCAUAUGGGUCCAAAUGGUCUUCGUUUGAGCUCAUGUUCCUUGAUGACAUGGUUUAUAAGGGUUGGAUGGGUUUUUAGUUCACUUAUGUGCAUAAGAGUGUUUUUGUAACUAAGUAAGGUUGCACAAGGGAUAAGUAAACGAUAUCGUUGGAAGGCUAAUUGAUUAAUUGGAACCCUAUUAGGUUUAUCAAUCAAUUGGCAACCUUUUUUGCCUAGAUUAAGUGAACCAAGCUCGUGGUGGACUCAAGUCACUCAUGCCCAGUAGAAAGCCUAUAAAGACCCUUUUAAGGAUUAGGGUUUUUAACUUUUGUCAUUCUCUUCCUCCAGUCCAGAGAGAGAACCUUAACCUUCAACCUUGAAAUCUCCACCAUCUCAGUGCCUAAACUUAAUGAGGAGUCAUAGGGUAGAAUAUCAUGGCAUUUAUGAGAUUUGUUACAAUUUCAGAGCUUUAUACAUUGAUAAGAAUCAAUUCGAGAAGAUUCAGGUCAUAGGUAUGACAUUUUCUCUUGAUCUAUGGUAUCUAUAUUGGUUUUUGAGACCAAGUUUUCUGCUUUGUUUAGAUCUGGAGAAGCCUAGGAUAGAUAUUCAUGCACCCUAACAAUCCAAGGCAUUGGAACAAAAUAAUAUGGGGUUUCCAACAAGAUAAGGCUAGGCUUGUAGCGAAGGGUUAUAGUAAAAAACACAACUUCGACUAUGAUAAAAUCUUCUCAUCGGUAACCAUGCUCAAGUCCAUCAGGAUAUUCCUAUCCAUUAUGGUACAUCUCGAUUAUGAGAUACAACAAAUAUAUAUCAAGACUCUAUUCUUAAAUAACAGUCUUAAUGAGAGCAUCUAUAUGAUGCAACUAGAUGGUUUCAUAGCAAAGGGCUAAGAAUAUAUGGUAUGGAAGUUGCAUAAAUCCAUUUAUGGAUUAAAGCAAGCAUCCUGCUUAUGGAACUAAUGUUUCGAUUGGCAAUUAAAACCUUUAACUUUGAUCAAAACAAGGGUAGACUUUAUGUGUACAAGAAGGUGUAGGGAAACAUGGUGGCCUUUAUGAUCUUGAAUGUUGAUGACAUUGUACUCCUUAGUUAUGAUGUAUAACUAUUAUCAUCAAUCAAGAUCUAGUUAUCUACUCAAUUCCACAUGAAGGUAUUAGGAUAAUCGUAGUAUAUUCUUAGGAUUAAGGCCUUAUAAGAUUGCAAAAAUAGGGAAUUGAUAUUGUCUCAAGCCACUUAUAGUGAUAAGAUCUUGGUCAAGUAUACGGUACAAGAUUCAAAGAAGGGUUUCUUACCCUUCAAGUGUGAAAUUCCUCUUUUCCAAGAUUAGUGUCCUAAUACACCUAAAAAGAAAAAACACAUGCAAACAAUACUUUAUGCAUUAAUAGUGGGUAACCUUAUGUAUGCAAUGUUGCAUAUUAGACUAAACAUUUAUUUUGUAGUAGGUAUGGUGAGUAGAUAUAGUCAGAUCUAGGUUCAAAACAUUGGACAACUAUCAAGUAUAUACUCAAGUAUCUUAGGAGAAUAAAGAAUUAUAUGCUUAUGUGUGAUGAGUUAGUACCCAAAGGGUACAUGAAUUCAAUCUUAUAGUUUGAUAAGGAUUCUCAUUAGUCUACCUUUAGUUUUGUAUUUACCUUUGAUGGUGUGGUUAUUAGUUGGAGGAGUGCGAAACAAUCUUGCAUUGAUGACUCCACUAUAGAAGUUGAGUAUGUUGUAGUUUCUAAAGCAACAAAGGAAGCCAUUUAGCUUCAGAAGUUCCUCAUGGGAGUUGGGAUAGUAUCCUUGAUUGUAAAACCAUAACACUUCUAUGAAAACAAUGGGGGUGGUGACAUGGUAUAUGUGGUUACCAAAAGGGUAACCACAUUAAGAGAAAGUACUAUUUGUUAUGUUAGAUAGUUUAAAAGAGUAAUAUGAUGGUUGAGAAGAUACCUUUUACGGAGAACCUAAUAUAUCCUUUUACCAAGAAAUUCAUGUGGAGAGGAUUUAAUGAUCAUUGGGAUAACAUAGGUAUCAAAUGUGUACUUAGUUCGUUUUGUUAGCAAUGUUCUUUUAAGGUUAGUAGAAUAUUGUUAAGAUAAAGUCGUUAAAAGCAUGACAUGUUGUAACAAAUUUAGAAUUUAUUAUUCAUUUAGUAAUAUUCCAAUUUUACUUUUAUCUAUCCUUAUUCCAUGCAUUAUGCCUUAUUAGCAUUCUAACCUGACAUCUCUUAUUGUACAUGACUUGGAUGCAUUACGAGUUAUAUGGAAAAUCCAAGUCAUGGGUUUCUUACAAGUUAAUGAUUUGUUCACAGCCAGUUCAUGGACUUAAGACAAUUCGUUUGAGGUUGUAGUGCAUUACCUCCUAAUUGGAAGGAUGAUUGGUCUUAGUUAUUGAGAUGAGGUCCUCAUAAUGAAUGCACUAGUUUGUAUGGGUUAUAGAUUUUAUAAAACCUAUGGUGAAUCAUGAUGUAAGUCAUCAGGUAAUCAUGACUUCAUUAAGCUAUUAUAAUGUAUUGUCUCUCAAUCUAGAGAAAAUACUAGGCUUAUGCCAAAGUUAGCAAUGACUUUAACUCAUGGGUUAAAUUUUUAAGUGUUCACAUAUUCUUUAUGGAUUAGGUAGCUAUUUAUGAAAGCUAGUAGUAAUAGUUAUUCUCAACAUAAGGACACGUGAUAUCUCAUGACACUGUGUACCCUUAGGUGAUCCUAAAAAUAUGUGAUCAUGAAAUCUGCAGCCCGAAUAAUUCCCUAAUCAAAAUUUGACAUAUGCUCUUAUGAGUUAUGACAUGUCAUUUGAUCAUAUAAUAGGGAAAUCUAUAACUCAGGGAUAGUAGAAAUAAUCUUGAGAGGUCGAUAAAUUUCACAUUUGUAUAUCAUAGAGAGAUUGUAUACAAUGGAUAGUAGGUCAUGAGUUCAAACACUUUGUCUUUUUUUAAUAUACAUAGGGUAUUGAAUUGUAGUUGACUCUCUAUAAUAGGAUAUUGAGUUAGCUUCAGAAUUGGAUUAUAAAGGAGUUGUAUUAUUCUAUGGGUCUUAGUGGUCCAUGCUCAAGCUCAUAUACCUUGAUGACAUAGUUUAUGAGGGUUGGAUUGGUUCAUGGUUCACUAAUGUGUAUAAAAUUAUUUUUGUAAAUACGGAAAGUUGCACAGGAAUAAGUGAACAAUAUAUCUGGAUUGAGUUAAUUGAUUAAUUGGAGCGCUAUUGGUUUAAUUAAUCAAUUAAAACCCUUUUUAGGUUAAAUUAAGCUACUUAAGCUACUUAAGCUUAAGGUGAUCUUAAGUUACUUAAGCUCAAUGGGAAGCUUAUAAACACCCCUUUAGGGUUAGGGCUUUAGAUUUUUGUCAUUCUUCUUUACAUUCCAAAGAAAGAAUCUUAGAUUCUACCCUUUAGAUCUCCACCAUUUGAGUGCUUAACUUUAAGGAGGAGCCAUCAGGCGAAAGAUAAGUGGGUUUAGAAAAAUUUUGACAACUAUCGCACAUUUGACAACCUUCUUCCCCACAAGAAUUGCAUUUGAGAACAUCCAAAUCUUGGUAAGCACUUCUAAUCUUUAGAUCUAUAUCCUUUUUUUGUUUUGAAUGCUUCUGUUGCUAAGAUCUAGAUAGCCUUAGGAAGUUUUUGAAUGUACCUAACUAAUCUAGGGCUUGGGAAUAGAGUGAUCCAAAUUCCCUACAAAAAGAAUAAGUGAGAGAUGACCUUAGCAAAGUCCACAACCUCCAUUAUCAAGUCCAUCUUAAUUUGGGUCUAUCACCAUUCCAACGAUGGGUUAGGUUUAAGGAAUUAAGGGAUAUGAACUUUCCAUAUGGAUAAGGCUACCUAUUAGUAGUUGAAGCAACCACCCCAACAAUGGUGUUUUUCACAUGAUAAAUUUGAUGUCAAGAAUAAUGGUUAUAUAUUUAUCUUGGAUAUGAACUAAUUGAAUCACCCACCGUGGUCCCACUUACAUAGUCCAAACUAAAACAUAAAAGGUAUGUUGAGCUUGCCUUGAGGUUAAAUAAGGCAAGAAGAUCAAUUUGACAAGGUCUCUACCUAGUAAUACGAUCAUGACCUACCCAAUGUAGGCUUCAUUCUAACAAAAGGAUAUAUAGUCUUAAGAACUAUACUAUUUUGCUAAAUUAAUUUAUAUUUUCCUUAUAGUGAAUGCUCAAUAACCAAUGCAUAGUUUACUUUUUGUUACAAUAAUUAUGUCAUAUAAUCUUAUCAAACUUAUUCUUACUAAUAAUAAAUUAACUGAACCAAACUAUGUGGAUUGGAAAAGAAAUUUGGCCAUAGUUCCAAAUACCUCUAAUGAAUAAUUUGUGCAAGAAAAGAGAGAUGCCUAUCAUAGUUGGCAUAAAGCGGAUCAAAAGGCCAAGUGUAUCAAACUCAAAUCUUUGGAUGAUAUGCUCUAAACUCAUUUGCUUUAGGGUUAAUGGAGCUAUCUAUAGUAUGUUUUUAUAUUUUUUAGAGAGAAAACAUUGAAGACUCUUCAAUAUUUGCUUUGUUUAUGCAAUAUAAUAAUCAUUUUUAGUUUCUUUUAAUUCAAGAAUGUUGAUUUUAACUUUCUUGAUGGUUUGUGUGAACAACACCACCUCCUUGAGAGGCUAACACCAUCUUGAGGUGUGAAGUUUGAAAACCUAGGGUUAGAAACCACCAGAGGAACAAUGGGCAAAUGAAAUUAAUAAUGACAUUAAUGUGAAAAUUAGAAACUCUCCAUGUUAGAUCAAUACUAGAAGUUAGAGAUUCUUGGCACAUUUUGAUCUUGAGUUAUCUCAAUUAGUUCUUUCGUUACAUGAUCUUCAAAAAAUCUAUAGGAGUAGUAAGGUUUGAAAGGUUGAAACAUAAACCCUAAAUUAAUUUCAAUUUAUCUAAUACUAGUUAGAUAUCAAAAUUAAUGGUAAAUUAGAGUUCGGAUGCAACUUUGAGUUAUAGAACUUAAGUCAAUCUUGCUCUAAAGGCUAAAGACUAUAAGAUCCUAAAAGCUAUACGAUCCUAAUAAAUGUAAUGCCCUUGUUCACUCUAAAGUUUCACUCCUAAAGUUGGAUUGUGGAACCCCUGAUCUUGAAUUGAUAGACUACAAUUAAUCCUCUGAGUAUUUUGCAAACUUAUUUAAAUUUUGUUUUAAUAAUUUAUGUACAAGUUGCAAAAACCAAUCGUCUAAAUAUUUUAUUUUUGAGUAUAGGUAACAAGAAAUCAACUUUGACCUAGUUUUGCUAAUUUUUAUAGAUUAGUUCAUGAGGGUGAUACCCAAAGUACUACAAAAGCCUAGGAUUUCUCUAUUUAGUUUUUCUUCACUAGAGUUGUUAUUUAAAAAGACUUCGUAUUUUAGACAACAAAAAAGAGCACAUACAUACCUAAAAGUGUUUGUUGUUGCAACUUGCUUAACACUUGGACCCUUGGACCCAUGUUUAUAGUUGGGAAAGUUUGACCAUACUAGCUGCUCUUGGUCAAAAUGGAAACCCCAAAAUUGAACUUGGGUUUGAGUCGAGAAGCUAUGCUCUAACUCAUAUCAUUAACCAAAAAACCAACGUAGGUUUAAUCCAAAUUUGACUUGGCAGCUCAGACCAUGCUCUGGAAUAUAAAUUGUUAGUUCUUGAAAAAAAAUAUAUUCAGGGCUAUUAAUAAUGCACCAAAUUUUGAAAGGACCAUGAGCUUACUACAUAAAAUUUUGUUUGAAAUACAAAAAUUUCUUUUCUAGGACUCCUCCAAACUGGCCCAUUUUCAGUGAUUGCUAGCAUGAUGACACUGUUCAAGAUUUUUGGAUGUACUUUUUGAAGUUAUAGAUAUUAAUUAAACUCAGAUUAAAUGACUUUGUCAAUGGCAUUGCUAGGAAUUUUAGUCAGGGAAAUUAAAAAAACUUGAGAAUGAGCAGCUAGUUGCAGUUUUUAUAGUGCAUAACACUUAUUAUCUUACAAAUUUUUCUUAGGAGUCAGCUUAUUGAAUUCCUAAUCUAUCUCGAGAAGUUCUUUGGCUGAAACUAAGGUUGGUGUGCUAAAUAUAUCUGGAGCUGAGUGGAUUUUAUUUUUGAGUUAUUAAAAUUCAGUGAUAUAUACUCUCCAAACCAUCCCUUUGUGACUGAUCAACUUUUUUGCAGACCCACUUUCUUCUUUAAUAAAGAGAUGCCCUUGCUUGUCGGAUCCAACUCCCUUUUUUGACACAUAUCAGAGACUCAUUAAUAGAACUCUGCAAUUCAGAAGUGCAAUUUACAAUAUAACAGAUAUGAGGAUGCUUCUGCAAGUGCUAGUAUCAGUUCAUCUCAUCACAAUCAUCAUCUCUUUCGUAUUUAUAGCACAGGAAGCAGGCGCAUCUAUGACCAAGCCUGGGUGCCCAGAGAAAUGUGGGAAUAUUACCAUUCCAUAUCCAUUUGGCAUGGGGAAAGGUUGUUACCUGAAUAGAAAUUUUGAGAUCACAUGCAACAUGUCCUCCAAUCCCCCUCGUCCUCUUCUCCUCCAAGAAGUUCAACUUUUGCAGAUAUCAGAAGACUAUCUGCGCAUCAACGAUAUUGUUCACCAUAGCUGUUUUAAUAAGCAAUCAGGGAAGACUAAUUCAUCACAUGUACCAUAUAACAGAACUCAUCAUUUCAGUUACUCACACACCCAGAAUGAGUUCAUAGCCAUCGGGUGUGACAUAUUUGCUUAUAUCACUGAGGACAACAGUAAAACAAACGCAACUGGGUGUGCAUCGCUUUGUAAUACUGAUGAAGACAUCGCUACUGAUUUUUCCUCUUCUGCUUGCUCUGGCAUUGGUUGCUGCAGGACUUAUCUCCAAACAGAUAUUUCACGGUUUUAUCUGAAGAUGCGUAGCAUCAACAUGAUCACACCAAUCUGGACCUCUCAACCAUGUGGCCUUGCUUUCAUUUCUGAGAGGAACUUCUCCAUACGUCAAUAUUUUAACCUCUCUAGUAAAUUUUUAGAGAGGAAUUUGUAUUUUGUUCCAGCAGUACUUGACUGGUCAGUUGGGGACGUCUCUUGCCCUGAGGCUAUCAGAAGAAAAAACUAUGCGUGUGGCCAGAAUACGUGAUUCGCGUGUAACUCCAAAUGGGUCAUUUAAUCAAAAACAUUUAUAAAACUUAUGACCUCAUACUAAUGUAGUAAAGCUACUAUAGUAUAGUGGCUCUAGGGUCGAACUCUGGGAUGGGUUUUCAUUCUACCAGUGAUGUAUUCAAAAUUAGAAAUUGUAUUUAAUGAUUUCCUUAAUCAAAAACUUAAAGUUUAAAAGAAAAUAAAAUUUGUUUUGAAAGUGUUUGAAACUAAACUAACAUAAACUAAUUAAAAAUGGAAGAAAGAAAGUCUCCCGGAGCUAAGGGUUGCUAGGAUCAAGUUCAGAAUAGAAAGUGGAAAAUUCCGGAUUUUUCUCCUCGCAUUGGGGAUUUAACCUAUAGUUAUUUCUCGAACCGGUAUAGGUUUGACAAUGAAGAUUUAAUCCAUAAAAGAUCAAUAGAAAUGGUAGUCAAGGUCCAUUAAUGGCUUAAGACACUAUGGGUCUUCACCUUGAAUCACUUUCCAAUGACUCGUACAUGAUAACUAAUGGACUAAUAUGAAUCUAGCAAUAAGCAUCCAUAAAGACCUGAAGCUUACCAUGUAUUGGUCAUUCAAAGUGAUUCUAAGGGGUUUAAAGCAAAACUUUGGAUUUAGAAGCCAUUUAUGAAUUCCAACUACCUGAAUUUAAUGCACGGGAGCUUUCCACCAUUUCAUCUGGACUUUUCACCUAGCUUCCUCUACUCCAAGAAACCGAAAGUUUAGCCUCUCAUCCUCCGGGCAAACAUCCUUAGAGGUUGUUUGGCUUCCAAGAAAAAGAAAAUAAUAAAGAGAAAAGAGAACGAGAGAGCUCUGUAAAAUUCUAAGUGUCAAAACGUAAUACGUAUUCUAUAUCUUUCAAGAGGUGAUUUCCACCCCUUAUAAAGUCUUUACAAAAGCCAAAGCUUAUGAUUCGUUAGUUACAAGGAUAAUAAAGGAAAUUACAUCACAAAAUACAAAGGAAAAUAUCUAAAGUGGAGUCGGCAAAGGGCAGAGCAAAAUUCGCAACACGCAUGGGUUAUGCGAACCAAAUGCGAAUGUUAUGCGAAUUUCGCAUAUGCUCUUAUGGAAUGCGAAAUUUUCGCAUAUGCUGGAGCAGUUGGCUUCCGAAGGCCAUAUCUUCCUCAUUUCAGCUCCAAAUCGUGCACGGUUUGAAGCGUUGGAUUCUUGACUUCAAGAGCUUUAAAAUGGUAUAUAGCAUGUAAAAAUUGGACUUCGCGAAGUGCUCCAAAAGUGCGAAAGAAGACUGCAGCUGCUACAUUUUGAUUUUUCUUCACUUUGCUUCUCUUUGGUUUUCUCCUUUGCUUGACUUGUUUUAACGAUCCAAAAAGCUGUCAAAACAUUAAAACUAGCCACAAAUAUGAUUAGGAGACAUUUCUAGGUCCUUAACAUGCCAAUUGGACUAAAGAUGGAGAACUACUACACAAAAGUGCUUAAAACAUAAUGCAUUAAAGGUGUAAAAUAGCACUUUUUGGGUAGUAAUCAAUACGUACUGCCAUAACUCCAUCCAGGGCCAGGGGUAUAAGUGUCACUGCUCUAAAGGCUAUCAAGGGAACCCCUACCUUGCAAACGGCUGCCAAGGUACAGUUUCAUCUCCUUUUCAACAUUUUUUAUAUUUAUUUUUCUUGCCACGAGGGAACAUCGCGAUCCUUCUUUUCUUUUCUUCUGAAUCUUUGCUUCUGUGAUAUAUAAGAAAAUCAGUUGAUAAUUUUUGCUUCAUGGAAAUACUUCUGUGUUCUCUGCAAAGAAGGAAUUAAAAAUUAUCCAUGGCUCUUUGGUUAUGAAUAAAGGACUUAUCCUUUGAUCAGUUUUUUACAUAUCAGACCUAAAAGUCAUAAGGCCAUGGCAACUGUAAUUUAUUAUAAAAUGAUGUGUCCUAAGGAAUUUUAGGACUAAGCAACCCCUCAGGAUAAAUUAAGAGUUAGAAUUUUAGCUUAUGAAUUUCCUAAAUUCUCACUAAUAUAUAUUUUUUUUCUUUUGUGUUCUCAAAAGAUAUUAAUGAGUGCAACGACCCAGACGAAACUUUUUGUCUCAAGAUAGCUCUUUGCACUAAUGUCCCUGGCAGUUACUCGUGCACUUGCCCAACUGAUUAUCAUGGAGAUGGCAAGAAAGAUGGAACUGGGUGCAUACGUGGCAAGCAUCCACAUUUGCUAUCAUUGGUACUUUCUCUAGGUAUAAAACUUUACCAUUCUCCAACACCUAGCACUCGAAUCCCCUUCUCUACACUAACUUUUGUGUCUGAUGUAGGUGUGGGGAUUACUGUUGUUCCCUUUAUCCUAAUUGCUACAAGCUUAAGGUUAUACCGAGGACUUGAGAAAAGAGAGAAAAAGAAAAUAAAACAGAAGUUCUUCAAGAAGAAUGGAGGUCUGCUAUUGCAACAGCAAAUUUCUUCUAGCAAGGAAAGUGUAGAAAAAACAAAACUCUAUUCGGUAGAAGAGUUGGAGAAAGCAACAGAUGGUUUCAAUUUAAGUCGAAUCAUUGGUAAGGGAGGCCUCGGCACAGUAUACAAAGGUAUGUUAUCAGAUGGAAGCAUUGUAGCCAUUAAGAAAUCCAAUACGGUUGAUGAGAAGCAGUUAGACCAGUUCAUUAAUGAAGUUUUGAUUCUUUCACAGAUCAACCAUAGGCACAUAGUAAAACUAUUAGGUUGUUGUCUGGAGACUGAAGUACCUUUGCUGGUUUAUGAAUAUGUCUCUAAUGGCCCCCUCUCCCACCAUCUUCAUGAUGAGGGUCAUGUACAUAGAAUAUCUUGGAAAAAUCGGCUGCGAAUUGCAAGUGAAAUUGCUGGAGCCCUUGCUUAUUUGCACUCGCAUGCUUCUACAGCCAUCUGUCAUAGAGAUAUCAAGUCUAGCAACAUAUUGUUGGAUGAAAACCUCCGGGCUGUACUUUCUGACUUUGGACUCUCAAGGUCAAUACCCCUUGACAAAACUCAUUUAACUGCAUUGGUACAAGGGACAUUUGGUUACUUGGAUCCUGAUUAUUUUCAUUCAGGUCAAUUGACUGAUAAAAGUGAUGUUUAUGCCUUUGGUGUAGUCCUUGCUGAACUUCUGACAGGAGAAAAAGCGAUUUCCUUUGAUAGAUUUGAACAAGGUCUAGCAAGUCAUUUUAGAUCAGCAAUGAAACAAAAUCAUCUGUUUGAUAUUCUUGAUAACCAAGUUGUAAAUGAAGGACAGAAGGAUGAUAUUUUUGCUGUUGCAAAGCUUACUAAGAGAUGCCUAAAGUUGAAUGGGAAAAAAAGGCCAACCAUGAAACAAGUUGAAAUAGACCUCCAACAAUUGGGCAGAUUUCAGGAGCAGUUUUCUUGUCAGAAGUCAAUGAUUCAAGAGGAUUUUUCACAACAGCAAACAUGCCAGGACGACUGCACGGUAAGUGAAAGAUCCCAUUCCUACACAUUUGGUCCAGCUACAGAAGAGAUCGUUCAAGAUAUUGAGGUCUUGUUUUCGUAAGGAAUACAGUAUGGCAGCUUGAAGCUUCAGUUGAAUAUUAGGUGGUUUUUGCAACUGAUAUGGGUCAGAUGUUGGAAGGUUAAACUUUAUUUACAAAGGUUGUAAAAUUAUAAUUAGAUUUAGUCACUAAAAGUUAAGAAGAAUAUUUUAUUUUUAAUGGGUUGCUUUAGUUUCUAUAUUUGUGGAGUAGGUUCUAGAAGGUUUCUAUAUUUUGUUAUUAUGAGUUUCUAUUUUGUUAGUGAGUAUAUAUAAAUAAGAAAUUUCUCCUCAAUUUGUGUUUUCCUCUAUGUAAUUAUUUUUAUUUAUAUUUUAAUCCUCUUACUCUAACAAAUUGGUAUCGAACCCAAAUAAAAAAUGACAACUGGAAUAUAUCCAUUUCAAGUCCUCCAUCUCAACGAAGACAAUGACAAUAAUUGGAGUAUUAAGAUGAAGGUUAUGAUUGGUUCAAAAGAUGCAUAGGAAGUUAUAGAAAAGGCUACAAAGGGAUUUUUUUUUAGAAAAUAUAAAUGAAAGUAUCUUGAGCAAAAAUAAGUGACAACUCCAACUUAUUUUCGAAAUAAGUUUUUCACAAAUAAAAGGAAUUCUCAUCGUCAAGUGAAGACACUUGAAAAAUACGGUCCACAAUAACCUUGAACUAUGUGGGUUUAUAUCAAUAAUCUUAUGGGCUAAAGUGACUUAUGUCCACCAUGGGUUUGGGUUACUUAAUCUAACCACUAGCUAGGUCUUAAUUAAUUUAUUCACCUUAAUGGGAUUCAAUUUCUUAAUUAGCAUAAUCCAAAAAACCAAAAAUAAAAAAUCAUAAGGUCAUGUGCAACCUUACAUUGUUUUACAAAAAAAGAAAAAACCUUAUGCACACAUGACUAAUUAAACCCAAUUUCCCUCAAAAUAUUUAUGCUAACAAAGGCUUUGAGCUUAAGCAAGGACCACUAGGAACUAUAGGAAAAUAGUAUUUCCCUUAUAAUCCAAUUCUAAGUUGACUUAACAUUCUACCUAAAAAGAUCUCAUUGUACUAUAAUACCUAUGAUAUUACAUUGAGAUAAAAUUAAUUAAAUCUAACUUAAUUAUUUUAUUAGGUCUUUAAUUAGUAUCCAUAGUAUAUAUGAAGGCUUCUCAUGAACUAGUAUUCAUAAUCUAGCAAGGUAAUAACUAUCAAUCAUUCAAGUUUACCUUUACAAUCCUUAAGCUUCAUAUGCUUCUAUUUUGUGAUCAAUUGACAUACUCUACAAAUUUCAUGAUCACAAUUCCUUGGGAUCAUAAAAUAAAACACACCAUCUCAAUCUUAUAAAAUAUCAUUGUGCCUUUGUUAAGAAUAUCUAUAGUCACUUGCCUUAAUCAAAAUUAACGUAAUCCGUAGGGAAUAUGUGACUACUUAAGGGUCUCACUUAUAGGUCAAAGUCACUGAAAACAUUAGUGCUAUCUCAAUAUCCUCUUAAACUUGAGAGUGCAUGCAACAUAGUAACUUGAUGAAGUCAUGACUAUUGAUAACCAAUGUCAUGACUCAUUAUAAGUCUUGUCUAAUGUGUAACCAUACAAACUUGUGUACUCACCAUGGGAAACCUUGUAAGGAAUCCCAUUGAUUACUCCAUUUCUGUCCUUAGAUUAGUUAUGGUGCAUGCUAUUCUUUCUAGGCCUCUAUAUCCUAUCAACAGAAGCAUAAUAGAUAUAAAAAAAAAACAUUCAAGAUGUAGAGUUUAGUGAAUUACCUAAGAUAUGUUCCCAUAUCUAAUCUAGUUAGUCUAAAGAAGUGUUAAAGACAUGGUAGUGGUGUUAGAUAUCAUGAAUCCACUAAUCUUCCGUAGUAAUGACUCUUCCUUGACUCUAAACACUAAAAGGGUAGAAUCUUCUCUAAGGUUAAUGACUAAAGCUCUUUCUCUUUCUCUUUCUCAUGAAUCCAAUUAAUCAAUUAGCCUAUUAAAAAGGUAUCAUUCACUUAUGAAACCUUACAUAUUUACCAAAGUACUCUUACGCACACAAGUGAACAAUGAACUCAAACAACCCUCAUAAAUCGUGUCAUCAAGGAACUCUAGCUUGAGUAGGGACCAUUGUAACUUAUAGGCAAAUAUUGGCUCCCUUAUAAUCUAAUUCCAAAGUUAACUCAACAUCCCAUUACAAAGUGUCAACUACACUAUAGUAUUCUAUGUAUCUUAUAGUGUAUUGGGGUUCAUGACCUACUAUCCACUAGAUAUAGGCUCCUCAUGAAUUGGUGUCUAUAAUCUAACAAGUAAAUGUUAUCAAUCUUCUAAAAUUACCGCUACAAUCCUUAAUUCUUAGAUUCUCCUAUUGUGUGAUCAACUGACAUACUCUAAAGCUUAUGUCAAGUUCCAAUAAAAGAAUUACUACGACCAUAGGUUUCCUAAGCAUAUGUCUUUAGGAUUAUAACAUUGAAUUUGUUAUUUAUCAUACCUUCCCCUUUCGUUUUACGUUGAGUUGCAUCACAUUCCAUGCUUUCUUAAGGAAUAUGAGUUUUGAAUUUUUUUUUUUUAUAUUUUUUAUUGUUUGAUAAAUUGAAACCACCUCUUCCUGUAUUGCCUUAACAAUGUCCAUGAUUGUUAGGACUCCUUUCAUUAAGGUUUUCUUCAUAAUAUUUUUAAUAUAAGUUUUCUUUGAAGAACUUGUUCUAAUUUUUCAUGGUUCUUCAUUUUUAAUCUCUCUUCAUGAACUUGCAAUGAUUCCAUAAGUUGAUCAAUAGUCAUAGAAUUUAAAUCUUAAUUUAGAUUCUUCAAUGGACAUAAUAAUAUAAUUAAACUUCAAAUCUAAAUAUCAAGUAUUUUUUUCAAUCACACAAAUGCUAUUCAAACUUUCAUCAUUUCUUUUUAAUACGUUCACAAUAGUCAAUACUCUAGAAAAAUAAUCAAAGAUUGAUUUUAAUUCUUUCAUAUUCAAACUUUCAAAUUCUCUUUUUAAGAGUUUGAAAAUAAAUAUAAACUAUUUUUUGUGGCUUUUAUAAUAUUUUUUAAGCUACUUUAAGGUGGUCGCACUUAAAUCUUUUCAAAAGUUACCUUCAUCUAUUGCUUAAUGAUGAAGCUAAGAGCUUUUUUGUCCCUCUUUUUUAUGUAUUUCAAAAAAUCUUUUCAAUUUAGGGAUUAAGUGGUUUCAUCUUGUGACUUUUCAUCCUUUUUCUAUAACUCAUCAUACAUCUUGUGAACCAAUUAGAAAAGACUUCAUCUUGAUACUCUAUUUAUCAUAAUUGUCUCUAUUGAGUUAGGAACUUGAAAUCGAGGCGCCUCACUUGUCUUUUUUUUUUUUUUUUCUUUUUGGUAUGAAUCUGAGACUAACUAAUUUUUUUAAAGUAAUAGAGUUGAAAGAGAAACACAAACAUCAAGGAGAACUAAAAAUUAUUGUUUUUAGAACUAAAAAUUAUCAAUUGGAUCUCAUGACCAAUUUGCUUGGCACCCAUUCUCCUCAAUUUAUUGCAAGGUUUUGUUUUGAAUUUCCAUCAGUCAAUUUUUCCUAUUAGGAAAACUAUUAAAGAUUUUACAAUACUUGUAGAUUGGGAAUGAAAAGCCUAAAAGAUAUCUAAAUAACAUCGAAAAAAAAACACUAAUUCCUUUCUCACAAAAAAUUCUGAAUAUAAAUCCAUUGUUUGUUUGCUUGAUGCAACAUUUGCUGGCAUUUGAUCCUAAAGAUUGCUCAUCUGCUAACAAGAUUAAUUUAGUUGAACCAUCUAUAGUUUAGCAUCAUAUAUUAUAUUCAUUUACAUAAGAGAUCUUUUUAAUAUGAAUUUCAAGUAAGUUUGUUUCGUGAUACUAGCAUUUUUUUUUUUACAAGCACUAACUAGAUAAUCCAUAUUUUUGUGGUUUAGCAAAUUCAGAAAAUGAACCGUCAACACAACCCAUUUCAAAAAUUGAGGUUGAAUCUGAGAGGAGUAGAUUGACAAAAUAAGAUGUUGGAGAACUAAUUUAUAGAGGUAUGACCAUGGUGAGUCAUAUUGUUUUAUUUAGUUAUUUAGUUAUUUAGUUAUUUAGUUAUGGAGAGGUAUGACAAAAGAAGCUCAAUUUUUAUACUCCAUAUGAUUGGAUUAGGGGGCUUAGUUGCAAAUUGGUUGUUUCGUUUUAUUACAAAGACUAAAUGCCUUACUCCUUUGUUUCAACAUCUUUGUUUGUUAAGAAAAUUAGAGGCAUAGAAAAAAUUACUAGUUUGCUAAAGAACUAAAUUAGUAGGGAGUUAUAGUCUACUUGGUCUCCUGGUGACAAACAUAAUGCAUAGAAAACUCUCUUUUAUUUCAUUUCUCCAUUCAACAUAAAGUGAUAUUAAACAAAAAUCCAAGAGAAAAUGGCAAAUUAGGAAAGAAGUUCUCUCUAGGACUCAAACUAUUCCCAAAGUUGAAAUGUUUGAGAAAGAACCUAAAACUAAAGUUUAUUGAAACAUUUUAUUCACAAAAUACAAGUGCUAUAAAAAAUGAAUUUUGUUGGAGCUCAUCAUUUCUAUUAAAAUAUAACCAUAAGUCUCAUUCUUCUCUCCACUCUAAUACUCUCACAUGAUCCACAAGCCUCACUAACAAAUUCUGCAAUAGCAAGAAUAUUCCUUGUCUUCUAUUAUUCUUUGUCUCCCUUGCAUCUUAGAAUUUUUAAGUGUCCAAAUGCCCAUUUUAAAUUACUAUUUUUAUGGUGAUUUUCUUAUAUAUGUAUUAUCUGCUUUACUUUCAUUGUAGGGUGAUUUUCUCAACUUGGUAUCGAGUCUUCUCAAAGGUAAACGCCUUUCUUCUUUCAAUAUUGAUGGAGAUGAAAAAUCCUAGCACUCUUGUUAUAACAACUUCCUCAUCAUUGAUGAUAGAUCCAACAUUGCAGCGAGUAGGCAAUAUUGGGAUUGGAAACACAAUUAUACCAUUCAGAAAUAUUGUCAGUCAUGCUCUUUCGGAUUGACACAAUUUCCUUCUCUAAAAAAUGAUGAUUACACCAAUGAUUCAAGGUCACAGACUUAAUGAUUAUCUCUUGGGCAUAAAGCCUUGCCCACUAGAAUAUAUUCCUCUCCCAACAACAACAACUAUCUUUCCUGACUCUGGGCUUCAACCUAACUUAGAAUAUGAGUAGUGGAUAAUAAACAACCAACUAUUCUUAGUCUAGCUUUAUAGCUCCAUGAUUGAAUCAUAGCUUCUCAACUAUUGGGUUUUACAACCUUAGUUAAAGUGUAGAAAAGCCUUAAGAGAUUAUUUAGCUCAUAGUCUAAGGCUAAAAUCUAAACAAAUCAUACUGCUAAUCAAACCACUCAUAAAGUAAAUUAGACCUUUAAAGAAUAUCUAAAUAAGAUGAACUCAUUUUCUAAUGGUCUUGCCAUGGUAGGAGAACCUUUUCCUAAGAAAAAUCUUAUAUUUUAUGUUCUAGCCAAACUUGAUUCUAAAUACACUCAUUGUGUUUCAAAUCAAUGCAAAAAAAAUUAUCUUAUGACAAAGUUACAAGAAAUUUUGUUGAGUUAUGAUAGUAGAUUAGAGCAACUAAAUACCUUGGUAAACAAUACCAGUCUAAAUCAACCAUCUAUAAAUUUUUCUUUUAAAAACUCUAGAAAUUAGAGUAACAAUAGACCUCAUGGUCGAAGCUCAACAUAAGAAGGAAAUUAUUCACCAAAACAAGGGAUUCUUCAUGGAAGAUGAGGUCAUUUUAGAGGCAGAGGAGGAUGCAACAACAACUCAAAACCAAUCUAUCAAGUUUGCAAUAAAUAUGGCCACUCAACCGUAAUUUGUUACUAUCAAUUCAAUUAAAAUUAUAUAAGAACAACUCCGAAUCAGAGCAAGGCACAACCAUCAGCUUUUGUUACUAAAUAACCAUGAGCUUUUGUUGCUUCCCCUGAACAGUUUCAAAUCCAAAUUGGUACGAUGAUAGUGGAGCUUCAAAUCAUGUGAUAGGAGACUUCAAUAAUUUGAAUCAAAGGGUUGAGUAUCAUGGUAAGGAAACUCUCAAUAUUGGUAAUGGUGAUCAACUAGAUAUAACUCAUAUUGGACACUCUCAUUUACAUCCAUUGUUCAUAAUAUUCCCUCAUUGUCUCUAAAAAAUAUAUUUCAUGUUCCAACAACUAUAAAAAAUCUAUUGUGUCAAAACUAACAGUAGAUAAUGAUGUUUGUCUUGAAUUUCAUUCUAAUGUUUGUUAUGCUAAGGACAAGGCAACAUGGAUAAUUUAUUAUAAAGGAAGCUUAGAGAUGGAUUGUACAAUUUGGAGCUACCUACUCAUUCCUUGAAUCAUAUAUCCUCUCAAAUUUCAAUAGUCCAGCAUCAUGCCCAAUUCAUUUUAUUGACAAACUUUGUUUACUUAAUGUUUGUUCAACUUCAGUGUCUUCUUGUUUUCAAUCAAGUAGUGGUGUCUUAAGUAAUGCUUUAGUUCAAGAUGCUUGCCACAAGAGACUUGGCCAUCCAUUUGUCAAAGUCUUGCAUCAAAAUCUCAAAAACUGUAAUGAAAAAUAUUCAAUGAAUGAAAAGCCAUAUUUUUGUGAUGCUUGUCAAUUUGGUAAAACUCAUGCUCUUCCUUUCAAGUAGGCUGAAACACACUCCAAAGCACCAUUAGAUUUGAUUUAUUUUGAUAUUUGGGGUAUAAAUAUUACAUUCACUUUCUUGAUGAUUAUACUCAAUUCACAUGGAUCUAUCCUCUUAAAUAUAAAUCCAAAGCUAAAAAUGUUUCCAUUCAGUUCAAAAGUUGUGUAGAAAAUAGAUUUGAAACAAAGAUUUAAACAUUUCAAAGUGAUUCAAGAAGAGAAUAUAGAUCUUUUGUUCCCCUGCUAAAUUUAUUUGGCAUUCUUUUUCAACAUCCAUGUCCUCGCAUGCAUGAACAAAAUGGAAGAGCUGAAAAAAAGCACCAGCAUAGUAUUGAUAAAAAAUCGAUUUAACUUUGUUAGCUCAAGUUGGAAUGCCCUUGAAAUAUUGGUGGGAAUUUUUUCACAUUGUUGUUUUUCUAAUAAAUGGAUUGCCUACACAGGGUCUUCUUAGUCUUUCACCAUUGUAAAAACUCUAUAAAAAGAAACCUGAUUACCAUUUUCUUAAAACCUUUGAUUGUAGUUGUUUUCCAUGCUCGAUAUCUUAUCAAAACCAUAAAUUUCACUUUCAUUCAUUAAAGUGUGUGUUUUUAUGAUACAAUAAAUCACAUAAAGGUUAUAAAUGUUUAAAUUCAAAUGAGAGGAUUUUUUUGUCAAGACAUGUGAAGUUUAAUGGGAAUGAGUUUCCUUUUAGAACUAAUUUCCUACAUACAAAUGAGUCUCAUCCUAUAAAUCAAGUAGUCAUUGUUUCUUUGUUUUAUAUUUCCAUUCAGUCUACUAAUCAUUCUUCAUUACGGUCAAGUCAAUUCUUGUCCCAACCUAGUUCUUCAAAUGGUACAAAACUCUCGACAGGUUCUCAUGCAGCAAGAACUCAAUUGAAAUCUUCACCUUUAAUUCCAUUUUCAUCACAUUUUGUUUCUUCCACCAAUUCAACAGAUCAAACAUCUCCUUCUCUUGCUAAAACUUCAUCUCUUAUAUCAAAAAACCAUAUCCAUUACAAGACGGAUGGGACUCUAUGGCCUGAACAAACAACUGUAAUAUAGAGAGGGCGAGUAUGAUCAGAACCCUCCGGUGGUAGAUCAUCAGUAGAAAACACAAUGCAAGUGGCCCUAUCAACUGUCAUCAUAUGAAUCAAUCCCUCUGGAGUAGUAGAGGUCUCAACACGUAUCUGACUCAAAGCUCGAAUAAGUGCAUCUCUAUGGAUGCUAGAAGUAGCCAACAAACUCCAAAUGGAUAUCCGAGCCUGGGUACUCUGCAACUGUCUCAAUAUCUCAUCAUCCUCCCUCUUGACCUCCUCACGAGAGUCCGUACCACCAAAUGGUCUGGUAACUGGAGGUGCAGCCUGGGCUAUCCUCCCACUACGGGUCAUAACCUAUACAUCAACAUCCUCAGGCCAUAGAAUAAACAGAGCAAACAUGUCCCUAUGCCCGACAUAUGAUGGUGUAAAAGGAAUCAACUAUAACGGUGCUCUAUCCAGGAUCAAACUGAAUGGUGCAGGGAUCGAAAAAUCUGAUGUGGCUCCUACAAUCUCAUAGCCAUCGUCUGGAACAAUCAUCUCAGGCAAUCCAUCAUCCCAACUCAGCAUGUGUAUGACAUCGUCCUGAACAAAAUCCAUGUGAUGAAUACCACUAGUAGGCGGAGGCACCGAAUGUGUGGUGUGAGCAGGUAAAGGGUUCGUGGUCACACUUGGCUGUCCCAAGUUAACCAGACCCUGAUCUAUCAAGUCCUGAAUAGCAUGUCUUAGAGCAGAGCAGCGGUCGGUGUCAUGUCCUGGACCCUGAUGGUAAGCAUAGUGGAGGUCCAUCCUGAACUGAGGUGGCAAAGGUUGAGGUGGUGGUCUCGGUGCUAGUGCAGUCAACAAUCCUCCCUCCAUGAGCAUCUGGAAAGCUCUACUCAAAGGCAUUCCCAACUGGAAAAACUGCAGCAUCGGUCUCGGUGCAGAUGGAGCCCUAGGCUGAGGAUAAUGAGCAGGUGGCCUCUGUGUGGUCUGAGUAGCAUAAAAUGGCUGUGGAGCUGAGUGUAGAUAUGUGGGAGACAUAGGUCUAAAAGGAACAGGUGACCUAUACUGCACAUGGGGUGAUGGCGGAUAAUAAACUCCAGAAGUCUGUCCAACUGUCUAAUAAUAUCUGGGGGGCCUCGGUCUGACGGCACUAAUGGCGCUGACGUCCCCUGGUCUCUGUCCAAUAGCGGGUUUCUUCCCUUUCGAGUCUGAAUGGGAAGAAUUAGGCCACAAACCUCUAGCAAUACCCUCCUCAAUACCAUAUAAUGCCUGCACCAAAGAUCCAAAGUCCACGUGUGGGAACCCCAUCAAAUGUCUAGCAAAUCGAGGCUGCAAGCUCUUCAUAAUCAUGCUGAUCCGAUCCCUCUCAAACGACCUAUCAAUGAUUUAGGAAAUCUUCUCUCUCCAACGGGAGAUGAAUGAUGUGAUUGUCUCAUCCGGCCUCUGCCUCAAGGCCUCUAACUCCCUCCGUGAGACAUCUAUGACAAUGUUAAAUGCAAACUGUCGCAGAAACUCCUAGGCUAAAUCAUCCCAUGUACGACGACGUGAUACAUCUAAAGAAGCAAACCAACGUUGGGCCGCCCCGCUCAAGGACAUGGGGAAUAGCAUAAUCAUCUGAGCCUCAUCCAAGCCGUGGGCCCUCAUAACAGUACUAUAUAGUCUCAAAUGAAUGCGCGGACAUCCAAUCCCUGUGUAUCACUCGAUCUCUAGCAUCCUAAACUUGGCCGGCAGACUGGCCACUGGUAGUCCAUCAAAAUCAUCCCAUCCCAUACCUCCAUCUGAUACUCUCAUCUGUCUCAUCUUCUACUCAAGCCUGUCCAUGCGUGCAUGGGUAUCCUCCGAGGUUGAAACAACCACCAUGGCAGGCGGUGGGGUAAUCUCAGUCUGACUCUGUAAAGUAAAUGGUGUAGGCUGUGGAACUGUCUGACCAAGUGGGGGAGGUGGUGGCAUCUGAGUGUCCUGUGGAGCUAUCUGACUAGGCGGGAGAGGGAGCGGAAUAGUGGGAUCAUACUACACACUCUCCUGAACUGGAACCUGUUGGGCCUGCUGCCCAUCCAUCUUCUAGCCAAGGCUAGUUAUGGCCUCCUGGAUCGAAGCCAUAGCAGCAACAAACUGAUCAACUAUAACCACCUGCGAAUCCAUAUCUGUCUGAUCUGACUGGUUUGACACUCUAAUCAAUCUCCCUCUAACUCUAAUCCAAGAAGCUGAACCCAGAUCGAACGUAUCAAUACUCCUACAAUAGUGGAAAUACUAGAUAAGAUACGGUGUAAAGAAAACUCUACAAGGAAUGUCUAUCAACUAUACAGGAAGGUAACCUGGAAGUACUCAAACUAAUAUCCAAUUCUAAGUGAAUAUAGAAGAGACUACUACGAAGGUAACUAAACCUAUUACUACUAACCCAGCUCUGAAGGACCACAGAUGCACCCACGUGUAGGAAGAGAAUCAUAAUAGGGCCUAAGCUUAACCUAAAAGGACAAGGUGGCUCUAAAAAUAACAAGGUGGGUUAAAGGAUCCCUAGCAGAAGCGAUCAUACCCUCCAGCGGUAUGCAACCCUCUGCACGCCUCCGAAGAGACGGGGCGCUUCCAUGCAAGGUGGUCAUCACCUCCACACAUGCACUACCUCAACAUCCCAGGGGGUUUCCUAUGGCGAAAGCUCUCACAAUUCUCAGCACUCAGUAGUCAACUAAAGUGCACAAUGAGUGGUGUGGGUGCAUCUGAAAAUCCUAUGAAUCUAAAAUAGAAAAAAAAAAAAAAAAACACACUAGUCACACAAAUAUCCAUAAAACCUAGCUCUGGGCUAUACAUGUCUUCAAAGAUCGGACUUCAAUCAGUAUCAGUGUGUCGGCUUUCUCCAGAAUGCUCCCAAACAUCAAUAUAGCCCAUCGCUAGACCCUACUCCUAACCACUAGCUCGGUCAGAGAAACAAACACACACAAGGUCUCACACUUGCAAAUGUAAGAACCGAAAGGAAGGAAAUGACCAAAACCAGAGGGUUGGAGGUAAGGGGAUAUAUGUGCGACCCACACAGACAAGCAACAUGCAAUCACACAGGAGAAGAGUAGUCAUGCAACAAGCAAUCAAGCAAAGCGCAAAUACAUCAUUCAUGUCUACAUACAAGCUAAACGAGAAUAAGAAAAUCAAGACGGAUAGUGACAAAGACAGCAUGCUCAAAGAUGAUUAAGAUAAUAUACAAGUGAGAUAAUCAACACAUCCAAUCAGAAUAUAUACAACAAUGAGUCUAGACAUGUGAGGUGAACAGAACAAUCAUGGCAAGAUCAAAGUCACUAUGCUAAGACAGACAAGAUAAACAAUCAAUGUCAUCAACACGUUAAUGUCCCAAAUGAAUAUGAUAGUCAAGCAUAGCAAAUCAUCACAUCAAACUCUCAGUGUGCUAUGAACACUCGAUCAUAGAAAAACACAAAGAGAAGGUAUCCAUCAAUCGACUAAUCAAACGCCAUAUUUGCCUCAACUUAAGUUCGAGCUUGAUCUUCUAUGAAACCAGAGAUUCUGGGUUUGAUCCCCAGUGGAGUCGCCAAUUUGUGGAACCCGCAUUUUUAAUGAUGCAUUCCAACUCAAUCGGCGAGACUCGCUUUUCGUUUAUUUGGUGAAAAAUAUGUUUCUUAGAAAAGACUUGGAGUCGCCACUUACUCUUAUUUAUUUUUAAAGGGGAAAACAAGUAAGAAUAAAACCCCUAAAUGGACUCCUGAUUUUUUGGAAAAGCUGUCUGCGAAAAACCUGAGUCUGGGUUCGGGGAUCAGGUUACUUAUUGGGAAGGUACGGUAAAGACUGUAGCACCCCUCUAAGCCCCUAAAAAAAUGGGUCUCUACUAAAUAAGGUGAACUAGACAUGGAAAUUAACUAGAAGAUCAAUGGAUACCAAAAUGAUCAUAGUUCAAAAAUAAGUCAUGAUGACGAAAUGAUAAACGAAGUGAGAGUGAGAGUGUACCUUAGUAGCAGGUAAUAAAGCGCUGAAUAUGCUUCCCUCCUACAGUUGAUAAAAUGACCAGCCCUCUUUACCAGAAUUUCUCUACCUCCAUUUUUUAGAAGACCUCUUCGUUUUUUUUUUUUUUUUUUUUUUUUCUCUUCUCCAAACCUCUACUCCAGACCUCUUCUUUUCCUGCAGACUCUCAGAAAAACCUCCUCCUCCUCUAGACUCCUCACAUCGUUCUUAAAAACCUCUCAUCUUUGCCGAUCUCUUCAUCUCCUUCUCAAAAUCCUCAACUUCUUUAAAAAAACUCUAUUCCCCACUCUGUAGACACUCUUUUAAAAAAAAACUAUCCUCUUCCCAAGAUCAACUUACCUGUCUCUUCCCCAUAAAACCCCUUUUACAUCACCAACCCCCUUUUGUUCUUUUUUUUUUUUUUUUUUUUUGAAACGUGGCAUCCCUCGUCUUGCAUCUUUUGGGAGUUACCAAACUCCCAUGCAAAAUAAAUAAAUAAGUAACUACAAAAAAAACCUUAUAAUAAUAAUAAAUAAAAAAAUCAUGCUAAUUGGAAACAAAAAUAGAAAAUAUCAAUACAUGCAUAUACGAGAAAAAUCUAAGGAUUAAUUCAUGCAAUAAUGAUAAUAAUAAUAAAUAAAUAAUAAUAAUAAUAAGAUCACCAAUCACAUGCAAUUCUCUGAAAAUAAAUUAAAUAGAUAAAUAAAGAAAUAAAAUAAGAAAAAUAAAUAAAUACCAAAUGCAUAUAAUUAAUAAUCUAAAUAUUAAACUAAAACACAAUAAGGAAUUAAAUUUUAAAAAUAAAAAUAAAUAAAUAAAUAAAUAAAAAGAAACAAACAACCAAAAUAUCAAAUUGACACAAUUAUAAAUCGAAAAUUCGUCUGAAGUCAUCAAAAAAAAUUCAAGCCAAAUACUCACCUAAUCUAAAAAAAAUCAAGCAAUCAAGAAAUUAAUCUUAGGGAAUUAAACCCAAAAAAAACAUCUAAGUGACCUAGGCCAAAAAGUGUCUAAGUGACCUAAGUGAUGUAGGGUGAUUAGAAAUGUGUCAAGUGACCUAGGAGUGUACCUAAUGGGCCAAGUGCAUCUAAAUGGGCCUAGGGUGCAAAAGUGGGCCUAAAAUGGUGCCCAAUGGGUCAUCAGAGAAUUAUUGUAAAGUAUCAAAUGGACACGUAAUAGAACAUGUGCUAGUAGGACAAAAUAGAGGGUCUACAAUGGGUACUUCUCCUUUGUUUUCCCUUUUGACAAGUACCACAAAUAGGUACCAAAAUGUAUUUCUUGCCACCUAAACUCUCAGUUCUCAUUAGUGCCAUGAGGUCCAUGUGUAAGAGUUCUAAAGUUUUAUAGGUCAAAAUUUCAUCAACUCUCCUAUGGGUACUUCUCAUUUAUUUUUCCUUUUGACAAGUACCACAAAUAGGAUUGGAGAAUUUUCUAAACUUAGGAAUCUUUUUCAUGACUUCAUUGUUAGCAACCUUUAUCAAGUCACAAUAGUUCAAAUCACCCAACUUACGAUGCCACAAAUCAAUCAAUUCAAUUUUUGAGCUACGACACACAAGAGAAGAGGAUGAAAAAGAUUCUUGACUAACAACAUAGCGAUUAUCUAAAGUUCUCAAUCCAAUGAUCGCACAAUUUCCAUUAAAAUCAAACGUGUUACGUAAAUUUUGUGAAAAUUGAACAUUGAACUUCUUGUCACAUAUUUGACUAAUUCUAAUCAAGUUAGCUUUCAAUCAUUCCACAUACAAGUCCCCUUCAAUGUUAGGGAUGCCGAGAGCAGAAAUUGUGCCUUUCUCUUUCACACAAGCAACAUUACUAUCACCAAAUGUCACAUUUCAUCUAUCAAAUUCAGUGAAAUUAGUGAAGAAUGAUCUAUUAUCUAUCAUAUGAUGUGAACAACUACUAUUAAAGUACCAUGAGUGUGACUCACUAGCUCUAAGUGUAGUGUGAACAACAAGGCAAUUAAGUUCAUUCUUUUUCAUAUAUAUUUGUUUGACACUUAUGAUUUUGGUCAUUCCAUUAGAAGUGCUUCCUUGAAAACCACUAUGAUAUGGGACAUUUGAAUCCCUCUUGAACACUCUCUUGCCACCUUGCAACAACUGAUUUCUCAAGGUAAAUGAUUCAUUUAUAAGGUUCGUCAACUUUCGUUGAAAACUCUUAAACAUUCUAGCAUAACAUCUAUCAACUGUGUGUCCUAUUUUAGUGUAAUGAGUGCAAUGAAGUUUCAGUUUAGAAAGAGUUUUCUUAGGGAGCACUCCUUCACAAGGCUUGACAAAGUUUUUUUUAUCACUACUUUGAGUGGUAGCUUUAUCAACAAAACCUAAGCCUCUUUUAUCAAAUGAUUUCCUCAUUGAAUUGAUCAAAUCACUAAGUCUUUUAGAGCUAGGAUGUGACUCUUCUUUCCUAAGACUCAACUCAUUUUUAAACACUUAAUUUUCACUCUUCAAUUCAUCACACAUUUUCUUCAUGUCAAAUUGUUCACUCUCAAGAAAGGCAAUUUUAUUAGGCAAAGACUUUUUUUUUUCUCCCUUUAGAGUCUUAACUUCAUUAAUUAAACUCUUUUUAGAAGCCUUCAACUCAACUUGUUUCUAUUUGAAACUCAAGCACUCCUUGUAUAAAGUCUCAUAUACAAGGUCAAAACUCAUUUCAUCAUCAUCGAAGUCACUUGACUUGCAAAAGUCACUUAGAACCUCUUUCUUAAGUAGUUUCUCAAUGACACUUGCCAGAAAGGUUGUAAAGUUAGGGCAUUCCUUGCUGCCAUUGGAUUUGUUUUCACUUGAUUAACAUAAUUCCAUGUCACUUUAAGUGACUUGCAUGACCUUCUUUCUUUUUUUCUUUGAGGGACAUUCGGUGGCAUAGUGCCCCUUUCCCCUACAUUUGAAGCACUCAAUCUCAAACUCCUUUUUGACAUGUCUAUAUUUCCUUUUUGUCUUUUUCCACUUGAUUUUCCCAUUGGAUUGUUCCAUUUUUUUUAUUUAGACUUAUUCUUAUAUCUCCUAAACUUCAUAUACUUCUUAAAUUUCAUAGCAAAUCUAGUGACUUCUCCAUCCAACAUUUUUUUUAUCACUCUCACCUUCGAAACCUAAGGACUUCUCUUUAAUGGCAUUCAAGGAAAUGCCCAUUGAUUUCGUAGGUGAUCCAAGAGUCAUUCAAAGGUUUGGAGGGAAUCUACAAGUUCAUCUACUUUCAAGGAAUCCACAUCCUUGGACUUUUCAAUGGUGGUGAUCUUUUCUCUAAAUAUCUCUAGAAGAGAUCUUAGAAUCUUUCUAACCAUUUUCAAGUGAAUGAUGGGUUCAACUAGAUUAAAGAUAGAAUUCACAAUUGUGGGCCUGCAUUUUUCAUGUGCAUCCCCUCUCAUUGGUGAGACUUGCUUUUGGUUGGUGAAAAAUUAGUUUUGGAAAAUUUGGAGUCACCUCUUAUUUUAUUUUAUUUGAAAAAUGGGAAAUAAAAUAAAAAAGAAAACCCUAAAAUAGUGACUCUAAAGUUUUGGAAAAACAUGUCUUCGAAAAGCCUGAGUCUAAGUCCAGGAAUCAAGUUACCUAUUGGGAAGGUACCUCAAAGAGGUAGCACCCCUCUAAGACUAAAGAAGUCUCUACUGGCUAAGUUGAAGGAAAUAACACACUUAAUAAAUUGAUUAUAGAUACUUAGAUUGGAUAAGGUGAUUUUAAAACUAGCAUGCCAAACAAGAAAGCCAAAUUGUAAUCAUAAAGAGGAGUUAGAGUGCGUACCUGGAUCGCUUCUUAAGCAUUAUCACAAGACAUCAAAGUUAGUUAUGGAAUAUGGCACACAACAUGCAUUACAUCUCAUUUAAAUAAUCAAUAAUAAUCAAAGCAUACGAACAAAUAGCAUAUAUCAUAAUUUCCACACUGAAAGUUUGCAUAUAUGCAUAAUUAAAGGGAUAAAAAGUGUGAGAGAUGUUCCUGGAUAGCACGCAUAACUUACAGCAUGCUUACGUGUAAUGAAAUAAAGUUAGAACAAUUCAUGAAACAAAUAACUAUGAUGCAAAACACUAAUAUAUAUGACAUAUGCAUAACAAAUAACAAAUACGUAAAUCAUACAAACUAACGAAAAUAUUCAUCAAGAAUUAACAACUAGGACUUGAAAAACAUGCACCUAAAUUGAGAAUAACAAAUCAAGAACAAGUUUAAGAUCACCUAAACACACAAACACAUCUAGACUAGAAAAUAAAUUAAAAUUGAACUAAAUCAUAAUUAAAAAUGUAAACUUUAUUUAACAUGAUUAACUAAACUAUUGGAUUAAAAUCACUAAACAUCCAAACUAAAAGAUAGAUUAAAACUAAACUAAUUUGGAAUUAAAAAAUAUAAACUUUAUCUAUUAGGAUUAAGUAAACUAUUGAAUUAAAAUCACAAACAUAUUUAAACUAAUAGAUAAAUUAAAAUAAAAAACUAACUAGGAAUUAAAAACAUGAACUUUAACACUUGGAAAUCAUUAGAUUAACAAACUAAAAUAAUAAAAACACCUAAACUAAACAUAUAGACUAAAACUAAAGUCAAGAAAAAUAAAGUUAUGGACUUGAUCACAUGAAUUAAAAAUAGAACUAAACUAAAAUUUAAACUUUCAACGUGUCAAUUUUUAUUUUUUUUAAAAAGACCAAAACUAAAAUUUAAACUUUCAAUAUCUCUGCAAGAAUUAAAAAUAAAAAAUAAAAACUAAACCAAAAUUUAAGUUUUCAAUAUUUCACAUGAAUUAAAAAAGAACCAAACCAAGAUUUAAGUUUCCUCAAUUUAAUAUGAAUCAAAAUAGGGCUAAAAAAAACUUUUUAAAUUAAAUAUGAAUUAAAAAUUAAACUAAAAGAAAAUUAACUUACCUUUGCUAAAAAUGAGUGUGGGGCUGUGAAGGGAUUUUUCGAAGUGCAAGCCUGUGCGUGGUGCUACAAAAAUGGGUUGUGUGUAAUUUCCAAUGCUGAGGUUUAACUGACUUUUUUCCUCCAAAAAAAAUCUAGGUGGUGUUCUUGAAAAAAACAAAGAAACAAACAAACAAACAAACAAACAAACAAAAAAACAAAACCUCAUAAUCCCCUUUGAUUCCCCCACUGUGUAGUCUUCCAUUGUGCUCUUAUCUCCUAGUGCCCACCGUUCUUUUUACUCUCCUAAACCAUAAUCUCCUCUUUUUCAAAAUUUAAAACUUAUCCUCUCUAUUUCCACAAAAAUAAAUAAAUAAACUUCUGAUUUUCCAAUCUAAAACUUAAUCUCUCCAUUUUCAAAAAAUAAUUCCGAUUUUCUAAUAAAUAAUAAUAAAAAUAAACAAACUAAAUCUUCUUUUUUUAAAAGAAUAUUUUGAUGCUAAUUUCAAAACUUAAUUUCAAACUUAUCCCCUCAUUUUAGAUAAACAAUCUAAUUGGAUUCCAAUUAAAAAAAAAAACUAAAUUUCCUUUUCAAGAAAAAAAGAAAAAUCUGAUUCUUCAACUUAAAACUUAUCCUCUCUUUUCAAAUAAACAUUUUGAUUUUCCAAUUUAAAAACUUAAUCUCUCAUUUUUAAAGAAUAUUCAAGUGUCAACCCUUUCAUUUCAAAAAUAUUUUGAUUUUCCAAUUUAAAACUUAAUCUCUCAAUUUAAUAUAUAUAUAUAUAUAUAUAUAUAUCCGAUUUUCUAAUUAUUAGCCCAAAGGUUCUCCUUAUCAUGUUUUGAUGAUAACAAACCAUGGUUAAGUUACUAAUUGGUUUGAAUUAUAAAGAAUUUUAAGUGUUAAUUUGCAAAAUUCAUCAAAUGACCUAAUGGAUGCAAGAUCAAGACCUUUGGAAGACCUUUAAUCAUAGGUAACAUAUGUAAGAUGAAUGCAUGGGUGCACUUAGGUUUUACAUAUCAUUUCAUGCAUCUUUGAAAAACUCGAUUUAUUCUUUAAAGUUAUAGUUUCAUCAAAACUUGAGUUUUAUCAAAUGAACCUUAGGCAAAUCACUCCUAAAUUGGCAUAUUAAUUUACCUAAAGACCUUGCCUAAGUGUUAGUAGAGAAAAUAACAUAAAAAGAUAGAUUUUCGGGUCAAAAAUGGUGAACCGAUCUAGGCACUGUCCAAACCAGCUCAACCGACUAGGGUAUCGGUCGACCGGUUCCCUUUUCCCAGUUGAGGUUCGGUAGAGAUGAGAAAAAACACACUCUCUCUUCCAGUAGUCUUUCCUUCUUGGUCGAGGUAUAUGCCUUCCUGGUCAACCUCCGAUCGAGGUUCGGUCGAGGGUAACGAUCACUUGUCAAGCAUUAAAUGUUCCAACGACUAGUGAACUGAUUAACCCCCAGCUCGACCAGUUGAGGCAGCUUUUUUGUUCUCUUGGCUCCCGAGGUUAGAAACCUAUAAAUAGAGAGCUCCACUUCAUUUAUGAAAAAGAGAACACUUGCAUUUAUUUGUCUACCCACUUGUUAUUGCCUUAAAAGCUCUCAUUUCUUUCUUGGAGCAUUAAACUUUCAUUUGUAUAUCCUUUAAUCCACCUUUGUGAUUUAUCAUAGCCUUAAGUUGUAUUUGAGCUAUUGUUGAGCUAGGUUGAGAGAUUCAUUCUUAUUAAUUGAGAGUUAAAGCCUUCAAGUGAGGUGAAACUUGAAGAGAUUGUAUAAGAGCCCAUUCAAGUCGGAAUAUAAGUGUAAAGGUGAUUAGAAGCUUGGUUGAAGCUUCAAAUUAGUGGAACGCUCACUCAAUUAGGAGCUUGAGGAGAGUGGACGUAGGCAAGGAAGUGUCAAACCACUAUAAAAUCUGAGUUUGAUUUCUCUAACUCUAUCUCUUUGUAUUUGCUUUUAUUGUGCUUAAAUUUUUUGUAUUUAAAAAGAUUUUUUAAAAACCUAAUUCACCCCCCUCUUGGGUGUUUUUCUCUUUUAAGAUUAGCCUUUAUUUUCUCACUAAUAAAUAAACUAAAUCUUUUUUUUUUUUUAAUAUUCUGAUGUCAACCUUUUUUUUUCUAUUGGUAAGUUUCCUUGCAAAAGCAUCAAAUUUAUUAAAUUAAAUAAUUGAAUGAAUGAAUAAAUAAAUAAGUUAAUUAAAAAAUAAAAAAUAAAAUAAAACAGAAUGAUAACAAAUAAAAAUAAACAAGUGAUUGAUAAUAAUAAAAAUAUAAAUAUAAAUAAAUAAAUAAAAUGAGCCUUGCAACCAUGCAAGUCAUACAAGUCACACAAAGAAUGCCUAAAUGUUGACUUAAGUGUGCUUAAGGUGGCUCUAGGUGAACCUAAGUGUGCCUAGAUGAACCUAGAUGAGCCUAGGUGGGCCCAAAUGGGCCUAGGUGAGCUAGGUAAGCCUAGAUGGGCCAAAUGUGCCUAAGUGGACCUAAGUGGCCUAAAGGGGCUUAGGUGACCUAAAAGGGCCAAGGUGAUCCUAAAUGGGCUGAAUAUGCCUAGGUGGGUCUAAUGCGCCUAAAUGGGCCUAGGGGUGUCCAAAUAUGACUAGGUGGACCUAAAAGGUGUCUAAGUGGCCUAGGGUGAUCAAUGCCUAAGUGAACUAAGGUAAUCAAGAAAGUGUCCAAGUGACCUAAACAUGCCUAAGCAUGCUAUCCUAAAGGUGUGCCUAAAUUAGCUUUCCUAAAAAAUAAUAAAAAAUGAAAAUGCUAAAUCUAACUCGAGGCUACCAAGGGUCACAAUAAGAGGCCAAAUAAAUCCCUCAACCAAUCCUCAAGGUGGUUCAUAACGGUAGGUUACAUGAGUAGCAAUGGGCUAUCAAGGAACUGCUAUAGAGUAUUGAAAGAACACCAAAGACAUGUGCUAAGGGGACAAAAUGGAGGGUCUAUAAUAAUGUCCAUUAAUUUUGCAUGAAACUCUCCAAAGUUCUCAUGAUCUUCCAUCCUAAUUAUCUUAAACCUAGAGGUCAACAUUUGAAGUUUGGACACUUUCAUGACAUUAGUUCCUUUAUGAGUCACUUGGAGGAUAUCCUAAGCCUCCUUAGCCAAAGUACAUGUAGCAAUCCUACGGACUUCAUCCAUGCUAAUGGCAUUAAAGAUGGAAUAGAUGGCUUUAGCAUUGUUCUCGCUAGCUUCAUUUUCACCUAUAUCCCAUUCUAACUUAGGCUUUAUAACAUUUGUUGGUCUACUUUCUCUAUCUAACACCUUAGGUGGAGAUCAACUAAAUUCAACAGCAUUCCAAACUUUUUCACUUUGCAUUUUGAGAAAAUAUUGCAUUCUCGCUUUUCAAUGAGAAUAAUUUUCACUGGUUAAGAAUGGUGGUCUCCCAAUGGAAGCUUUCCCUUUAUGAGGUUCCAUGAUUGAGAUUCAAGGACCGAAAAUGAUUUUUCCUUUAAAAACUUUCUUCGAUACCAAUUAAAGGUGAAUCUCAAAUAUAGAACACACCUAGAAAGGGGGUGGAUAGGUGUUAUUAACCAAUUUAAAAGGUCUCCCAACAUAAUUUAUCUAACCUUAAAGAUUUUUACAAUUUUUUAUUUUCUUUUCAAACACAUUCCAAUACAAAGUAAAGAUCACAAUCAAAUAUGAAUGCAAUAACACUCACCAACAAGAUUAAAAUGCAAGUCACAUGCACAUGCUCCAACACUCCCCAACACAAUUCCUUAAAUCAAUUUAUGAUUAAAAGCAAGAGUAUAAUAUCUCAAAUAUGCCUAUGAACAAUAUGCAGAAACAACAUUCAAAUUAUCCAAAGGCAACUCAUAUCUAUUUCACCUCAAUAUUCAACCAAGUAUUAGAUGCCUAAAUAAUUUUUUUUUUAAAAAAAAAGCCAGAAGAUGAAAACAAAAUGAAGAGGAGAAUGAGAGACAAUGUCAAAUUUUACGUGGAAAACCUCCAAGGAAGUCAAAACCCACGAGCCUACAACCGAUAAAAAAUUCUACUAUGAAGAACAAUCAAGGUGUACAAAGAUUUACCUAAGUCAGGAUCUCUAAUCUCUCAUGGACUACUUCAUGACAAGCACCUUCUCACCUCACCAUCACACCUUCAUCUUCAGGAACAUGCUUGGAGUCCUUCCCAAGCUUGAUCUUAGCCUUUUCCUUGAUAUUCUAUCAAGAAGAAAAUGAGUUUUCACUUAAACCCAAAUAAUUGAGAAAUGAAUGUUUAAUGAACUCAACCCAUUUUUCUUUUAAAAAAACAAAAUCAUUAAAGGAUUGGCUUGAAGACUUGUAUGAAAAAUGAAAUUUUCUUGUAAAGCAAACAACCUCAAAAAGAAAGGAAACCAUGAGCUCAAGGCAUGUUGUUGCUCUCUUACAUGUAGAAAGAGGAAAUUUUCAUUUUAAAGGAAAAUGAAGCCCUUAAUCCAAUUGGAAAAAGCAAGGUAUGCAUCAUUUUCUUUUAGUUGAAUCAUGUUUAGUGGUGGAUUCCACCAAGUCAUGGUGGAUAGAUUCCAAGGCCAGCGAUGAUAUCUAUAAUUCUUCACAAGGGUUUCAACUAAGGAGAAGACUGAAGGAUAAGGAGAUGAAUCUAGCUCUAGCUUUUCAAGCAAGGAUUGUUGUGUAGCAAGUGAGAGAUGUUACUCCUAACUUAGAUAAUAGUUGUCUUCUAGAACUCAAAGAUUGUCUUUAUGUCCUUGAGUAUAGAAAAAAUUUGAUUUUGGUUUCUAAUUUAUGUAAAUUGAAUUACUCAAUGGUUCUUAAUAAUAAACAAGUUUGUAGUAAGAUGAAUGAUUUGUUUAUAUGCUUAGAAUCACUACUUGAUAAUCGUUAUUAUGUAUCUCCACUAUCUCUUUUACCGAGUAAUGAGAAUAAUCAUAUCCCACUUAAAAGAAAGGAAAUUAGCAUUAAUCAAACAUAGUUUUGGCAUUACAACUAGGCCAUAUUAAUCUAAACAGGAAACAAAGAUUAGUUAAGUCUGGAAUAUCACAAGUAUUGAUCCUAGAGGAUUUUCUAGUCUAUGAAUCUUGUAUAGAAGAUAAAAUGGCCAAGAAGACCUUUACUACUAAAGGAUUAGAGCCAAGGAGUGUUUGUUAUUAGGCAUGUUGACAUGUGUGGACCUUAUAAUGUCCAUGCAUGGGGAGGUAUGGAUACUUCAUCACCUUUAGAAAUGAUUACUAUAUGCUUCGAUAUAUUUAUUUGAUGCAUAGGAAAUCUGAUGCCUUAGAUAAAUUCAUUGAACUUAAUGUAGAAUCAGAAAACCAAUUGGGUAAACAUAUCAAGGCUUUUCAAAUUGAUCAAGAUGAAAAAUAUAUGUCCAGUUUGAUUGAUUCUUUCCUUAAGGAGUAUGUUGAGUGCACUUGGAACUCCACACCAAAAUGGAGUAGCGGAAAAAAAAAAAUCAAGCAUUGAUGGAAAUGGUGAGAUCUAUGAUGAGUUUCUCAUCACUUCUUGUAUCCUUUGGAGAUGGAGUUUGGUUCAUACAAAAGAAUAAAGAUUUGCAUGGUUUAUCAAAUGGUUCAUACACCUUUAGACACACUUUUUAGUUUUUAUUUUUAAAAAUAUAAAAUAAUAAUAUAUAAAUUGGUUAUAUAUAAAAAAGGAAAAAUUCUAAUGCAAAUAGAAUAAACUUACCUCAUAUUAUUAAAAAUUAUUUUCCAAUUUUGUUUUUUUAAAUUUGAGGUGGUAAAUUUUUUUGACACCUAUUUUUUAAAAAUAAUUUCCAAAAUCCAUUACCAUUUUAGUGAAAUUCUUUAAAAGUUUUUAUAUAAGAUAUAAAAAUUAACAUUAUUUUCUAUUUUUAAGAAUUUAAAAAAAUGUAUUUGAAUGGAUGCUAAGUUUUAUAACUGAAAUAAUUAGAUAUAUUUAUUUGACACUAUGAAUAGGUUGGGAAGAAAGGGAAAAUUAGUACCAUAAAAUUUCAUAAAUAAAAAGUAAUAUAUAUAUAUAUAUAUGUUUAUAUAUAUUCACCGAAGCAAUUGAUCAGUUGUCUGGUUGGUUAUUACAAUCAUUUAAACUUUAGUCUAGUUUCCCUAAUCCCGUAUGAUAAACCUAGAUAAGUCACCAUUCGAAUUCUUAAAAAUUCCAGUUUCGUUUACAAUAUAGUGAAUUCCUUUACUUUCUUCCAUCCUAUCCCUCUAGCCAUCACAAGUAGUAAACUCUAGUGAAGAGGGGCCCAUCUCAUGUCAUAAUAGACAGUUGGACCCAAAAUGAGGAAUCCAUGUAUGUGAAAAAAAGAAAAAUAAGUCUAACUAAGUUGUAUAACGUGAUUCCUAGGAUUCUUGUCUUUGGAAUGGCACAAAAUCGCUAACGGGAUGUCUAACUUGUUUCAAUCAAGAUUUUAACUUUGGGAUGAAAGUAUAUCCUGAAGCCAAUUAUCCUCUCUAUAGCCUUGUUGUUGAGCUUGCUUUAUGGAAAGAAAAGCAAAUGGAAAAAUGAGUACCUAAAAUUCCUAAAGAAAAAAGAAAGGAAUGCAUCGUUUGCUUUUAGUUGAAUCAUAUUUAGUGGUGGAUUCCACCAAGUCAUGGUGGAUAGAUUUUAGGGCUAGUAAUGAUAUCUAUAAUUCUUUAUUGGGGUUCCAACUAAGAAGAAGAUUGAAUGAUGGGGAGAUGAAUCUGGAUCUGGCUUUUCAAGCUAGGAUUGUUGUGUAGGAAGUGGGCGAUGUUACCUUUAUCUUAGAUAAUAGUUGUCUUCUAGAAAUCAAAGAUUGUCUUUGUCCCUAAGUCCAGAAAAAAAUUGAUUUUUGUUUCUAAUUUAUGUAGAUUGAAUUACUCAAUGGUUCUUAAUAAUAAACAAGUUUUUAGUAAGAUGAAUGAUUUGUUUAUAUGCUCCAAAUCACUGCUUGAUAAUCUUUAUUGUCUAUCUCCACUAUCUCUUUUACCAAGUAAUGAGAAUAAUCAUAUCCCACUUAAAAGAAAGGAACCUAACAUUAAUCAAACACAGUUUUGGCAUUACACCUAGGUCAUAUUAAUCUAAACAAGAUACAAAGACUAAUUAAGUCUGGAAUAUCGCAAUUAUUGAUUCUAGAGGAUCUUCUAGUCUGUAAAUCGUGUACUUCAUCACCUUUACAAAUGAUUACUCUAAUCUUGGAUAUAUUUAUAUGAUGCAUAGGAAAUCCAAUGCCUUUGAUGAUGAAUUCAUUGAAUUUAAGGUAAACAUAUCAAGACACUUCGAUCUAAUCUAGGUGAUGAAUAUAUGUCUACUCAGUUCAAUUCUUUCCUUAAGGAACAUGUUGAGAGCAUCUAGAACACCACAAUAAAAUUGAGUAGUGGAAAAAUAAAUGAAAUAUUAAGGAACAUGGUGAGAUCUAUGGUGAGUUUCUCAUCACUUCUUGUAUCCUUUUGGGUUGAGUUUGGUUCAUAUAAAAGAAUAAAGAAUUUAUGUGGUUUAUCAAAUGGUUCAUACACCUUUAAACACACUUUUUAUUUUUAAAAAAAAUAUAAAAUAGUAAUAUAUAACUUAAUUAUAUAUAAAAAUAAAAAAUUCUUAUACAAAUAAGAAUAAACUUACCUUAUAUUAUAAACAAUUAUUUUUUGAUUUUUUUAAUUUUAAAUUUGAGGUGGUAAAUUUUUUGAUACCUAUUUUUUAAAAUAAUUUCUAAAAUUCAUUAUAAUUUUAGUGUAAUUGUUUAAAAGUUCUUGUAUCUUAUAUAUAAAUUAACAUUAUUUUCUAUUUUUAAGAAUAAAAAAAAUGUAUCCAAACGGAUACUAAGUUUGACAAUUACUAAAAUAAUUAGAUAUCUUUAUUUGAGACUAUGAAUAGGCUGGGAAGAAAGGAAAACCCACUCGAUAAACUUAGACAUGUGACCAUCCAAAUUCUUAUAAAUUCCGGUUCCAUUUACAGAAUAGUGAAGUCCUUUAACUUCGUUCCUAUCCUGCCAGCCAUCAUAAGCAGUAAACUCCAGUGAGGAGGGACCCCAUCUCAUCUCACAAUAGACAGUCGGGCCCAAAAUGAGGAAUCCAUAUAUAUGAAAUUGAGACGAAUAUAUCCCGAAGCCAAUUACCUUCUCUGUAGCCUUGUUGUUGAGCUUGCGUAUCGCCUGACAGGAAUGACAUUUGCGACAGAAGCACAACCACAAAUGAUACAAGCAAUAAUGCCACGUUGGGUAAAUCGAUCAGAUUUCAAAACUCCAACCACUCUGCAACCCUCCUACAUAAAUUAUAAACCUUCAACCUUCAUUUAUAGCUACAGCUCCACCACCACCAUUCUAUCCUCACUCUUUAAGUCACUUGUAACACCUUCAUUCAUUUACCAUAGCUCAACAACAAAUUUACCGUUGUGUUUAUUAAGUCUUUAAGAUACUACUACUUUAUAAUUAGGGACAAUUGCGUUUUUAAUUCAUAUAGGCUUAAUAAUUAAGGUAAGGUCUUCCAACCACCCAUAAUUGAUUAUAAGGAUAUGAGAUAGUAAUUGAUAAAAAUACCCCCUUAACUCAUUUUUCUCUUUAUUCUACCACUCUUCACAUGUCACUAUUCUUUCUUAUUUAACCAUUUUUGGAUUUUUCAUUAUUUUUUUAAACUCUUUUAUAAAUAAUUGAAAAAUCAACAUUAUUUUUUAUUUUUAAAUUAUAAAUAAACAAAAAUUAUAUUAAUGAUUCAAAGACUAUUUUGGAAAAUACUUUCUAAAAAAUAUUAAUUUAAAUAAAUAAAAAUUAUUUUUUAAAUUUAUUUUUAUCUUUUACAUUUUAGAAGUAAAUAAUUUAAUGAUUAAAAUACUAUUUAAAAUAAAUAUAUUCACUAUUUUAAUUUAUUUUAUACUAAAUUUAUUUUAAAGUUUUUUUUACUAUUAUAAAAUAAAAAGUUUAAUUUUUUUUUUAAUCUUCUUCCUUUCUUAUUUUAAUAACUUUUUGAACAUGACUUUUAGUAAUAAGUUAUAUGAAAUGUUACAAAUUUGUUUAUUAAGGAUUUUUUUUAAUGAUUUUAAUUAAUUGAAAAUUUAUUAAAAUAAGAAAAAAAAAUGAUGGAUGGAGAGUUUUUAUUUUAAGUAAUCAAUUAAAAUGUUUUCAUAUGACCUAAUUUUAUAAAUGAAUUAUAUCAAUACAUAGUAAAGAUUGAAUUUUUAUUAUAUAAAAUGGUUGAAAGGUAUAUUUACUUAUUUUAGAUGAAAACAAGUAGUUAAAAAUUAUAUAGAUUAUAUUUGAGUUUGGUUUUAAACUAUUUUUCUAGUUUUUAUUUUUUAUUUUUUAUUUUAUUUUUUUAAAUAAAUUUUAUUUUCUAUAUUGUCUCUUUUUGAAAAUACGUUUAAUUAAAAAAUGAAAACUAUUUUUUAAAAAUGAAAAUUGAAGUACUAUUUUUUAUAUGAAAAUAAAAAAAAUAUUUAUUCAUUUAUUACACCACUGUACAAUUGUAUUACACUAACUGUACAAGGGAAAUGUACUAAGUGUACAAAGGUGUACAAGGCUACCCUUUGUGAAAUAUUAUAAUCGAUUAUGAGUCAUUCUUUUAUUUUUCUUAUCACUCAUGAAUUGUACACAUAUGUCAUGCACUUUAUUUAAUUCUCAUAUGGAAAUUCCAAUACUUUCCCCAAUAAUGAUAUUUGGGGAAAAAAAAUUGACCUUAAGUUAUCCACCAUCUUCUCAACUAAACUAUUGGAAAUAUGGUUAAACACUCCUAUAUGGACACAUAACUUAGGAGGGAUAUGAAAUUUGUGUCAUUGUACAAGGGUAUUACACUAACUGUACAAGGGAAAUAUACUAAUUGUACAAAGGUAUACAAGAUUAUCCUUUGCGAAUGAUUUUAAUAGAUUAUAAACCACUUUUUUAUUUUCCUUGUCACCCAAGGAUUGUACACCUAUGUCAUGCACUUUAUUUAACUCUCACAUGAAAAUUCCAAUAUUUUUCCUAAUAAUGAUAUUUGGAGAAAAAAAAUUGACCCUAAGUCAUCCACCAUUUUCUCAACUAAACCAUUGAAAAUCGGAUUAAUACACCUAUAUGGACAUAUAACUUAGGAGGGAUAUGAAAUUUGUGUCAUUGUACAAGGGUAUUACACUAACUGUAAUAGGAAAUAUGCUAAGUAUACAAGGAUGUACAAGACUCUUAAUAGGUUUUGUACGAUUUUUAAACAAAUUGAGUUUGGCAUUAAGACGAUUAUUGAUAGUUUUUUUUUUUUUUACCAAACUAUGUCAUUAAGACAUUCCCUACAAAAAUUAACACAUAGGAAAUAAAAUUAAAAUCAAUCAUAUUUGAAUUGUUCGUCAUAAGUAAACUAAAUGAAAUAUAUAUUUUUACUAUUUUACCUUUAUAAACAUAAUUUUAUUGUUAUCAAUAGAGAUUAAAAAUAUCAUAUUUAAAUGGAAUUAAAAAUAAACAAAAUUAUUUUUAUAAUAUUUUUAUUUUUUAAAAUCAUUAAUUUAAAUUAUGAAAUUAAUUUUAAAAUAAAAAAUAUUUAUUGUAAUUAUAGUUUUGAAAAUUUCAUGAUUUUUAUUUUAUUACUUAAAAAAAAUUCUUUAAUAAGAAAGUAUUUAUUUUAAUGGUUUUAAAUAUUUAAAUCUUUAUUAAAAAAUAUUUAGGAUUAGUGUGGAGAGAAAUUAGGUAAUUUUGGAAUUGAGAAAUUUUGAAUAUUUUGAAGACUUUAAUUUGGCCAAUUACCCUAUUUACACUUUCAAAAUUAUUGGAAAGUUGGUAAAUUAGUCUUAGAAAUAGUCUUCUUGAUUAAUAUUAUAUAUUUACAUGUGAGUGUUUACAUUAUUUUCGAAAUAACAUGAGAAAUAAUAAAUACCAUGUGUCUAAUUUGCAAGUUAGAAAAAUAAUAAUAAUAAUAUUUUAUGAGGUAUUUAAAAAGUAUUUAUUAUAUGUUCUAUAAAUUUGAAGAAAAAAAAUAUUUGAUGAUAUCUAAUUUACAAGUUAGAACAAACAAAUAAUAUUAAUAUUUUAUGAGGUGUUUAAAAAUUAUUUAAUAUAUAUGAGAAAUAAUAUAAGUUUGAAAUAAAGAAUAAUAUUUAUUAUAUAUUAUGUAAGUUUUCAACAUAUUUAAAAAAUAUUUAUUAUAUAUUAUGUAAGUUUGAAAAAUGAAUAAUAUUUGAUGAGGCAUUUAAAAGUUAUUUACUUCAAAAAUGCAUUUGACAAUAAUAAUUUUUAACAGUCUUUUAUAUUCAAUUUGAUGAAAAAAAAAAUGAUUCAACUUGGUUCCACUGUUAAAUAGGUGAGAGAAGGGUAAAAGAGUCAAAGAGAAUGAGAAAAGUAAGGUGAUUGGUUAGUUUUUUCAUUUAAUAGUAAAGGGUAUUUUAGGCAUUUUUUAAAUACAAUAUCCUUCCUCUCAAUUUCUACUUUUUCAUUGGGUUUUGAGUUUAAUUACGAAUAAUAGGAGGACCUUAACUCAAUUACCCAACUCAGUGGGGUUGAAAACACAAUUUUCCCUUAUAAUUAUUUAAGGAAUGAUAAUAACAAUGGGGUUGCUAUGCUUUUUUUUUUGGUAUUAAUGCUCACAUUUUAAUAUUAUCUUUCCAGCCUCAAUCUCUUCUCAUCACGUCACCAACCUUAGCAGUAAGGGAACCAAAUUUAAUUUGUCCUAGCCUAAACAAUGUCGGCUCAUAUGAUUUUAAAAAUAAAUAAAUAAUAAAGUAAAAAAUAAAUCUAAUUUUAAGUCCAUGGUUUUAAAUUUUGGGCACUACAAGCUUAAACUUUAGGUUGUAGAUCAAAUAAUAAUAAUAAUAAUAACAUAAAAACCCUAAAGAAUUUGUUUCGUUUAUCAAAUGAUACGUUAAAAAUAAUAUAGUGUAAAGUAAUCUAUUAUAUCUAAUGAGUUAAUCUCAGGAAAAAAUCUUGCAAUAAAGCAGAUAUGCAUUUUAUAAAAGCAACAAAUGUGAGAUUUAGUAACAAAUUUUUUGGUCGUGAAAUUUCGUUAAUAAUUAUGAAUUUCAUGCCAUAAAAAUGAUAUUUUUGUCAUAGAAUAUUGUACCAGUAGUCUUCUAUACAAAAAAAAAAAAAUUAUCAUUAAAAUUUUACUUUGAAGAAUUUGUGUAAAAAUUUCCUGCUCCCACCAUAUGAUCCCACCAUAUGACAGGAAAUUUUUUGAUGAUGAAAAUGCAUAUAUUUGUGAUGAAAUUAUUUGUCACUAAUAUGCUUAAUUUUCAAUAAUAACUAAUUUUUGUUAUCAAUGAUGAAAUACAUAUAUUUGUGAUGAAAUUCUUUGUCACUAAUUUUAAAUUUCUAGUUAUUAAUAUUUUUUUAUUACUAACUCAUCAACCAUUUAUUGAAAAACAUAUUUAUUUAUUUUUAUUAUUAUAUUGUGAUAUUAUUAUUUCAUUAUGAAAAAAUGAAAUUUUAAAUUAUAAAAGUAAUUAAUGUUUUGAUUUUUCUAUAUCCUAAAUAUAGAAUUUAACAUAAAAGACAAAGACUUUAUUUGACAACUGUUUUCGGAAAUAGUUUUUUAUUUUUUUUAAAAAAAAGAAACACCUUUAAUAAUAAUAAGAAGAAAAUUUAUUUUCUAUUUUUAAAAACAAAAACAUGAUGUUUUUUUAGGGUUAUGUUAAAAAAUAAAUAUACAAACUGAUUAAAAAUAAAACACUAGUUAUAAAAAUUAUUUUUAAAAUAUAUUUAAAAAUAUUAAAAAACAUGUUAAAAAACUUUUUAAAUUUAUAAACAAAUUUUUGUUUUAUAAUACAUUACAAAACAAUUUUUAAAAACUAUUUUCAAAAAUUGUUUUUCAAAACUAAUUUAAAAAUAGUUACGAUAUAACCCUUACUAACUCAUUUUCACUUUAUACACAACAUUUUCGAAAGAAAGGGGGUCCAUCCCUAUCUUGGAAAAGCAAAGAAAGGGGUCCAUCCGUAUCUUGGCUGUUGGGUCUUAUAGAGAAUACAUAUCGACCCGCUUUCUGUAAAGUAAGUGUAAUGGGUGAUGAUUUCAUGAGUGAUGCUUGGAUCUUACGUCCUCUUUUCUACCUUUACUUUCAUAGAUUUUGAAUGAAAUAAUUGUAGGGAUAAUCAUGACAUAUAAGAGGACGCUUGUUUCCCUUGCUUUUUAUUAAAGCCUGACAGGUUACAAUGUGACAAAAUAGAUAUCUUUAAUCAAAUUAGAAAAUUAGUUCAAAAGUUAAUCUAGAAUAUACAAAUUUAACUUUGAAUUAUGUUACUUUAUUGCACCUAUUCACCAUCACAUAUUGGGUGUCAAAGUCCGCUUUUGAAUCAUGCCGAUCAGCUUAGAAACACAGACAAUGAGGCCCUGGCUUACAUAAUAAAAAGAAAACAGGCCUAUCCAGGCCUCAUCCAGCUUUAAUAAAGAUAAAGGAGAGAAGAAAUUAAAGAUAGCAUAAAGCAUAAUUUUGAAAAGAAGCCUUGGUUAUCGCAAUUUGCUCAAUAAUGUUGUUAUCCCGCACCCAAAACUGGGUUAGUUUUGGUUUUAGGCAUUACCCCGCACCUGAACCUAGUCUCACGGCUGCAUCGUCCCGGCCACCACCGGACAAAUUCUCCACACAGUCAACCAGGCACGGACGCAGCCUGCGCAGUCCAUGCUCACCACGCCUAGGGCCUAGAUAUCAGGCCAAUACUCAAGACAAGCUUCAUCUUUGCUAUUAAAUUUUCCUUGCACACGUGUCUAAGAAUGUAAUUUAUACGGGUAUCUAGUUAUUCAGAUCUUAAUCCAAAAGUCGAUCCAAAUUAAAUUAAGGUUGAAAAAACUUAAUCCAAAUCAAAUGGAUUAUUAAAAAUGAUUGUUUAGAUCUAUCUAAACAUCAAAUUGUGUAGUAUAUAUUAUACUUUUUUAGAUUUUAUAUUGAAAUUUAAAAUUUAAUAUUAAAUUUGAUGCGCAUGAAUAAUGUCGCCAAACAUCAACAAGUACACAUGACCUAACUAAACCUUAGGUUUAUGUUUAUUUCUCAAAAAGUAUUACGAAAAGGAAAAAACUGUUAAAGAAAAUUAUUUUUCUUUUUUUUUUUCACUUUUUUUCUCUAUUUGCUUUCUCUUGCAUUUUCCUUCAAUUUUUUAACGAAACAAAGAUAGCCUAAUGACAAAUUUAUAUAUGUUCCUAAUACUAAUGAUAUUAUCUUUAUUAUUUUCUUCAUUUUUAUUUUUAUAAAUAUGUAGGGGAGACAAAUAGUAUAGAUUGAGGGUAUUUACAAUCCAUCACUUAUAAUAUGUAGCUCUUAAUAUGUUGAUGAUAAAUAUCGAAUCUAUAUAAUUAAACUUCAAACUAUGUGAUACAUAUAUAUAUAUAUAUAUAUAAAAGAGCGUUUGGUAAAAGAACUAAGAACUUACAAGCAGAAAAAUAGUGUUUGGUAAAAGAACUAAGAACUUACAAGUGGAAAAAUGGUGGGUCAUGUCAACUAAAAGCACUUGAAUUUAUUUAAUAAAAGGAACUUUAAUAAUCACUUCUUGCAUAUACAACAUUUUAGGGAGAAUUGUGCUUUGGACCUGUUGGGCUUUGAAAUUGACUUUCAGCUUAUGUAAGUGACAUAAUUGAUAUAAAGGAUAUGAAAUUAUAAGAAACAAAAAUACCCAUGAAGAUGACACAUCUGAUUUUUUUUAAAAGUUGGUUGGUUGCACAUAUGCCAAUGACCUUGGAAUGACCAUAAUUUUUUAUUUGAUUAAAUAGAAGAAAAUGUUAUUUACAAAAUAUCUUUUAAUCUUUUUUUUUUUUUGUAGACAAAAACCAAUUUCUAUUUGAAUUAGAAAAUAUUUAUAAAAAAAUAAUAAUUUAUGUUUUUAAAAAAAUCUCAAAUUUAUUUAGAAAAACAUUACACUUUAUUUUUUAAAAAAAAUUAUUCCCGUUUUAUCCUAUUUUUUUUUUAAAAAAAAUUAAUUAUAAAAAAUUAAGAGAAAAAAAGUUCAAAUUUAUUAAAAAAAAUUGAUUUCAAAUUCUAAAAAAAAAGGUAUAUUUAAAAACAAUUAUUAAAAUAAAAACUCAAUUUAUUAUAAAGGGAAAUUCUAUUUUAUUAAAAAAAAUUCUAUUUAGUUUUAUUCUAAAAAUGUUUUUUUUUAUAAUUUAGUAAAAAAUAAAAACUAUUUUAAAAUUUUUAUUUUGAAGAGUUUUAUUUUUAUUUUCUUUUUUUUUAAAAAAAAAAAAAAGGUUUUUGAUAUGAUUUUCAACUUGGAUUUUGUGCUUUUGUUUUUUCACAAUCAACAAAGGGCAUUUCAGGAAAUAUUGAAGUUUCAUAUCAUUCUUCUCAAUUUCCAUACUUUCACUAGGUUUUGAACCUAAAUGGACAAGUUUUAUGGACAUAAGGCCAAUAUGUCCACAAAUUAUAUUAAAUUAAACUCCAUUUUAAUUGAUGCAUAUUAAAAUAGAAUUUCUUUUAAAAUAAAAUAUUUUAUUUUUAGUUAUUUAAUAUAAUAAACUUAAAAUUUCAAAUAAACUCUACUUAAAUUUACUUAUAAGUACUAAUUUUUCAUUGAAGGGUUCAUUAAAAAAUAAAAAUCAUGAUUAUAUUUCUUUAAAUGAUUUUGAUAAGAAAAUAAAUUGAUGAUAAAAUAAUUAAGUAAUACAUAACUUUUAUUUACUAUAAACUCUUUAUAUUAUUUUAGAAUGAAAAAAUAGAAGGAAAGACAUUAAUAGUGAAUAGAAUUUCUUUUUGUUCCUUAUUCAUAAAUUUUUUAAGAGAAAUAAAUUAAAUUAAACAUAGAGUAGCAAAAGUGUUAAUUUAGGAGAAAUAUACUUGGUCUUUUUUAAAUUAAAACUUAACAUAUUUUUAAGAAUAGUUUUUAUUAUAUAAAAUAAAAAUAGAAUUACAAAAUAAAAAAUUAAAUUAAUUUUAUUCUUAUAAUUAAAAUUUUGAAGUUUGGACAAAGUAGUAAAUAAAAUAUUACAACUAUAUAUAUAAAAAAAUGUUUAUAUUUACUUUAAGAGUAAAUUGUGACAUCCCACAUCGGAUAGAGGGGAAAAUUCCUGGCGUUAUAUGAGUAUAAACUCCUCUUUAUCUUGUAGACGUGUUUUAAAGCUGUGAGGGCCCCUUUGGGUCCAAAGUGGAUAAUAUCUACACAAUUGGGAGUAGGUCGUUACAAAUGGUAUCAAAGCUGAUCUCCGACCUUGGUGUGAGGGGUUUGUUUGGCCCCUUAGGGAGUGUUUGUCCUGUUUGGCCCCGUAAUCCCAUGGGACACAACGAGGACGUUGUGUCUGCAUGAGAGGUGCUUGUGACAUCUCACAUCGAAUAGAGGGGAAAGUUUCUGACGCUAUAUGAGUAUGGACUUCUCUUUACCUUGUAGACACGUUUUAAAGCUGUGGGGGCUCCUUUGGGUCCAAAGCAAACAAUAUCUACACGGUUGGGAGUGGAUCGUUACAUAAAUGAUGGGGAAAAAAAGUCGUUACAUUUCUAUAAACUAAAAAAUGACAAUAUUUAUUAUAGUUGUAAUCUAAAAAUAUAAAAUUAUAUUAUUAAAUAAAGAUUGAAUCGCUUCACUUAAAUAAGAUAUUUUUAUUUCUAUAGGGUAUUGUGUGCAAUGCUUAAAUUUUUUAAGAUGUUAUAUGUAGUGUACGCUUAAAUUUGUAACAAUGAGUCAUUUUUAGACUUCAACUAUUUUCAUUAUCAAAUGGUUAAAUUACAUUUAGCACUUGACCUUAAUAAUAUAAAACACUUUUCACUUCUAUUACUUUAGUGCUUAAAAUUUAGUACUAAAAUAUUUUGGUACUUAAUUUUGAAUUUUAUAUUAACACCGCCUAAUAUUCCUCAUGUAGGGAAUAUGUGGAUUACUCCAAUCCCAUUCUUGGACUGUUAGGGUAUGUGCAAAACUUCUUAGAGCUCUAAAUCCUAGCAACAAAAGCAAAUAAGAAUUUUAAAACUUAGUGUAUUACCUCAGAUUUGAAUGCUUCUAAAUCAAUUCCUAUAUGUAAAGAUGUGUUGAAUGUGUGGUAGAUCUUGUAAACACUAGUCUUCCACUUCAUGGCUUUUUCUAGAUCCUGACAUGUAAAUGGUGGUUUCCUUUGGAAUGUUUGGUGGCUAGGGUUCUCUUCUCUCUAGAGAUUAGAAGACAAGAGAUGACAAAAGUGUGAAGCCCUAACCCCUAAAAAGGGUUUAUUUAGGCUUUAAGUAGACUUAGGUGACUUAAGCCCAUCCUAGGCUUAGUUACUUAAACUAGCCCACUUAGAUCCUAAUAUAUUAACCAGUCCUUUGCACUCUAAUUAAUCAAUUAGCUCAAUCCAAAUAGACCAAGGAAUAUGGAAACAUGAUAUGCUUUAUAAUAGUUGUAUCUAUUUUUGGUCAUUUGUAAUAUUUUCUAUGGUAUAAUAUUAUGAUUCUCUCAUAAUAUAGGCAUGAUUGGCUUGUAAAUUCAAAUAAAUUCAAAGUUUAAUACCUUUUCUUUGUAAAAUGUUCCAUUAUCUAACCUUGACAGAGCUACUCCCCUUCUAAAAAUAGUCAUUAUACUAUUUCCAUCAAACAACUAUUUACAAGUAAAUGCUUUUCAUCAUUGUUAUUGUAGUGAUUAAAUUAGACAAAUUUUGAAGUUUUCAUAUUUCAUUAUCAGGUAUGCUAAUCUUUAAUAAUAAUCUUUCUUACUUGCUCCUCAUUUAACAAUCAAGAUAGAAAUUUAUAUAAUAACAAAUAUCUUCACUUUAAUUGUUGAAAAAAAAAAAAGGUUUGCCUUACACUAGCUAUUGCCUUUAAUAACAAUCGAGUAGCCUCUUGAUAUAAAAAUUAUACUAAAACUAGAAAAGUAAUAAAUGCUCUUUAAUUAGAUUAAUUUUGGAAUGGAUAACAAUUCGAUAAUUUAUUAAUGGACUUGUACUUUUGGAAAAACAAAAAUGUUUAUUGACUAAAAUAUGAAUAUAAUAUAAACUUUGAAAAUAAGGACAUUAAUUUGAACCUUAUUUACUAUUCUAUUUGAAUGAUAUCCUUAGAUUCUAAAUGAAAUAGUGACCUAAAUAGUCAUUUUUUAUAUUAAAGUGGAGGAGAACAAGUAUAGGAACUCAAAUAGGAAGAAAAACAAGAGGGUUUAGCUAUAUAUAUAUAUUAAACAAAGAAAAAGAAAAAGAAAAACCAUGGUUCACACUAGAAAAAAAAGUGUUCACAUAACACCAAAUAUUUAUAUAACUUGAACUAAAUUUGAAAGUAGAUAUAUGAGUGGAUGUGUAAAAAGUCACAUAAUUUUAUAAAAAGUUACUUUAAUUAAAUAGCUGCUCAUUAUCACAUAAAAUGUUACAAGAACCAAGUGAUAUAGAAGAAGAGCCUUUACUUAUAUAAAAGAAAAUAUGGCUUUCCCAUACAACUUUAAUAAAGAUAAAAGAAGAGUGAUAAAUCAUUUCCAUGAAUUUGUUCGAUCAAGGCUUGGUAUUAAAGGUGUCCACAUAACUUGGAUUGUGAUUUUCACUACCAGUACUAUUAGGAGGGGAAUAUAGAUUAGAACUCAAAUAUUUAUUCCAAAGGUACAUAAACUAUAUGGUUUAUUCCAUGUUAAAGGCUAAACUCACCCAACUUAGCUUGAAUUAAUGCUAAGACCCUAGCUAUAAAUCUAUAAUGUUUAUUUUGAGUUCAAUUUCGAGUGAAAAAGGGUGAAAAUGAUACAAGGUGAUAAAGGCCAACUUCAAUCAAGGUCAGUAGAUGAGGUAAAUCACUCAAAGGAGAGAUUCAAAACUAUAAAGCAUGAUGAGAGCUUAAACAAGAGCAAAUGAAGCAAUGCACUAUGUGAAACAUGAGGAAAGAAGGUAAUAGAGAGAGUUACAGAGCAAGUAAAUGUAAGAAAGAAAGUCAUAAGUCAUACCUCAAUGUUCACAUUGGACUUAUAACUCAAAAAGUUUGAAGAAAAUUACGGUUGAUUUUGAGCUAAAUUCUAGCCUACUUUCCAAGAUUUUUUUUUUCUUAACUAAUUCAUAUAUGGUAUUAAAGCUUGAUAAUGAAUCCAACGUUUCAAAUGGUAUAUUAAUUAAAGUUGAAACAAGGAAGUUAUGGCAUCCAAACUCAUUUAAAAUUGAACUCAAGAUGCAUAUUGGAGUUUCUAACAAGAUUUGAGUUAGAAAACCAUGGGGAUUUAAAACUCACUUCGAUCUAGAUCUAAAGGAGCAAAAUUUUUGUAGAAAGGGAGUUCAAAAUCAAAUACAAACUCCCAAAAAAUAUCAUUUUUUUUAGUUCGAAAAAUUUUGAACUCCCAUUUUGAAAUCAAACUCUUCCCCAACUUCAAUAUUCGCACUAUUACGCUUUAAAACUUCAAUCUUUGGGCUUCUUAAGAAUCCAACCAAGCCCAAGAAAAGUUUGAAUGGUCUAGGAUUUGAAGAUUUAAUGCUUUUUUUGGGAAUUUCAUGUAAUAUUAGGAAUUUUUUUGCCAAUAUGGCUAAUACCAUAUGGCGAGUUUGUUCUCAUUUGUUUUAUGGUUAAUGUAGAUCUUUAGAAUAUGUUUUAAUAUUUUUGAGAAAGAAAACAUUGAAGACUUUCAAGGUUUGCUUUGUUUAUGUAAUUUAAUUUUUGGUUUUACUUUCCUUUAAUUCAAGAAUGAUGUUUUUAACUUUCUCUAUGGUUUAUGUGUGUACAACACCACCAUGAGUAGCUAGUUUCAUCUUGUGGAGUGAAGCUUGAAAACCUAGGAUUAGAAAUUGAAAGAGGAACAAUGGGUAAAUGAAAUUAAUAAUGACAUUGGUGAAGGUUUAAGUUAAAAAUGUUAAAAAUUAUAAACUCUUCAAGUUAGUUGGAACUAGGAGAUGACAUGUUAGAUCACUAUAGGAUGUUAAAGAUUCAUAUCACAACUUGAUUCUUAGUUAUCUUGGUUAUCUCUUCCGUUACCUAUCCUAUGAAAAAUCUACACUAGUAGGAUUUGUAAAAUUGAAACCUAAACCUAAAAUUAAUUUCAAUUUAUCUAAUGGUAUUUAUGUAUGAGGAUUAAGGGUAAAUUAGGGUUUGGAUGCAACUUUAAGCUAUAAAAGUUAGGUCAAUCCUAAUUGACCAUUGAACCUUAAAACCCUAAGAUCUUAAUAAAUGAACAAGUUUUCUUUGCUCUAAGCUUUAAUUCCCAAAGUUGGAUUGCGGAACCCUUAUUCUUGAACCAAUAGACUACAAACCUUUAACUAUUUUCCAUGUUAUUUAGAUUUUUUUAGUAAUUUACAAAUUUCAAAAAUCGAUCAUCUAAAUAAUUUAGUUUUAGAAUAUAUAUAUAUAUAGGUAACAUAAAAAAUAAAAUAAAAAAAUCAACUUUGACCUAGUUAAUAUUUGAAGCUAGUUUUUAAGAAUGAUACUCAGAGUACUACAAAAGCCUUGUGACUCUUUUUCUAGUUUUUCUUGACUAGAGUUGCUAUAUAAAAAGACUUAAUAUUUCGAAUAAUAGAACAGAGUAAACACACCUAGAAGUGUUGUUAUUACAAUUUGCUUAACACUUAGGCCCUUGAACCCUAAUUUAUAGUUGGCAAAGUUUAACCAUACUAGUUGCUCUUGUUCAAAAUGAAAAACUGAAAAUUGAAUUUAGUUUGAGUCAAGAUCUAUGCUCUAAACAUAUACCAUCAACCCUAAAACCAUCCUAGAUUUAAUCCUAGUAUGAUUUGACAAAUCAAUCCUUGCUAUCUAAUAUAAAUUUAGUUAUCGAAAAAAUAAGUUCAAGGCUAAUAUUAGCGCACCAAUAUUUGAGGGGAGGCCUUAGCAUAAUUCAUGAAAUUUUGUUCAAAAUAUCAAAUUUUCAUUUAUGGGUUCCUCCUCCAAAUUGGCCUCUUUUCAGUGAUUUCUAACAUGUUGGGAUUUGACUCAAAUUAUUUAUUUUAAUUUUUUUAAGAAAGUCAAUAUUUAUAGAGUUUGUAUUUUGGUAAAUUACCUUUUUAAGUUUAACUAGAACUAAGAAACUAUUGUUUUAAGGUUAACACCUACGGUUCUAUAAAUAUGUGGUUUCAUAGAGAGAGAAAAAUAAAGAAAAGAAAAAAAAGGGUAAGAAAAUAUUGAAGAGAGUUAGGUAAAGGGUGUAUUGAGUUUUGGGUAGAGAAAGGUUGAAAGAGUUUGAAGUGUGUAAUCUUGAAAAUUAUAAUAAAUUUGAUCUCCCUUUUCCCGUAGACAUAGGUGAUUACACCAAACCACGUAAAUAGUUUUGUCUUCUCUAUUUUGUUUUAUGUUUCCCAAUUGCUUUUAAGUGUUGUGAUUUUCUCACAGCGGUAUCAGAGCUANNNNNNNNNNNNNNNNNNNNNNNNNNNNNNNNNNNNNNNNNNNNNNNNNNNNNNNNNNNNNNNNNNNNNNNNNNNNNNNNNNNNNNNNNNNNNNNNNNNNNNNNNNNNNNNNNNNNNNNNNNNNNNNNNNNNNNNNNNNNNNNNNNNNNNNNNNNNNNNNNNNNNNNNNNNNNNNNNNNNNNNNNNNNNNNNNNNNNNNNNNNNNNNNNNNNNNNNNNNNNNNNNNNNNNNNNNNNNNNNNNNNNNNNNNNNNNNNNNNNNNNNNNNNNNNNNNNNNNNNNNNNNNNNNNNNNNNNNNNNNNNNNNNNNNNNNNNNNNNNNNNNNNNNNNNNNNNNNNNNNNNNNNNNNNNNNNNNNNNNNNNNNNNNNNNNNNNNNNNNNNNNNNNNNNNNNNNNNNNNNNNNNNNNNNNNNNNNNNNNNNNNNNNNNNNNNNNNNNNNNNNNNNNNNNNNNNNNNNNNNNNNNNNNNNNNNNNNNNNNNNNNNNNNNNNNNNNNNNNNNNNNNNNNNNNNNNNNNNNNNNNNNNNNNNNNNNNNNNNNNNNNNNNNNNNNNNNNNNNNNNNNNNNNNNNNNNNNNNNNNNNNNNNNNNNNNNNNNNNNNNNNNNNNNNNNNNNNNNNNNNNNNNNNNNNNNNNNNNNNNNNNNNNNNNNNNNNNNNNNNNNNNNNNNNNNNNNNNNNNNNNNNNNNNNNNNNNNNNNNNNNNNNNNNNNNNNNNNNNNNNNNNNNNNNNNNNNNNNNNNNNNNNNNNNNNNNNNNNNNNNNNNNNNNNNNNNNNNNNNNNNNNNNNNNNNNNNNNNNNNNNNNNNNNNNNNNNNNNNNNNNNNNNNNNNNNNNNNNNNNNNNNNNNNNNNNNNNNNNNNNNNNNNNNNNNNNNNNNNNNNNNNNNNNNNNNNNNNNNNNNNNNNNNNNNNNNNNNNNNNNNNNNNNNNNNNNNNNNNNNNNNNNNNNNNNNNNNNNNNNNNNNNNNNNNNNNNNNNNNNNNNNNNNNNNNNNNNNNNNNNNNNNNNNNNNNNNNNNNNNNNNNNNNNNNNNNNNNNNNNNNNNNNNNNNNNNNNNNNNNNNNNNNNNNNNNNNNNNNNNNNNNNNNNNNNNNNNNNNNNNNNNNNNNNNNNNNNNNNNNNNNNNNNNNNNNNNNNNNNNNNNNNNNNNNNNNNNNNNNNNNNNNNNNNNNNNNNNNNNNNNNNNNNNNNNNNNNNNNNNNNNNNNNNNNNNNNNNNNNNNNNNNNNNNNNNNNNNNNNNNNNNNNNNNNNNNNNNNNNNNNNNNNNNNNNNNNNNNNNNNNNNNNNNNNNNNNNNNNNNNNNNNNNNNNNNNNNNNNNNNNNNNNNNNNNNNNNNNNNNNNNNNNNNNNNNNNNNNNNNNNNNNNNNNNNNNNNNNNNNNNNNNNNNNNNNNNNNNNNNNNNNNNNNNNNNNNNNNNNNNNNNNNNNNNNNNNNNNNNNNNNNNNNNNNNNNNNNNNNNNNNNNNNNNNNNNNNNNNNNNNNNNNNNNNNNNNNNNNNNNNNNNNNNNNNNNNNNNNNNNNNNNNNNNNNNNNNNNNNNNNNNNNNNNNNNNNNNNNNNNNNNNNNNNNNNNNNNNNNNNNNNNNNNNNNNNNNNNNNNNNNNNNNNNNNNNNNNNNNNNNNNNNNNNNNNNNNNNNNNNNNNNNNNNNNNNNNNNNNNNNNNNNNNNNNNNNNNNNNNNNNNNNNNNNNNNNNNNNNNNNNNNNNNNNNNNNNNNNNNNNNNNNNNNNNNNNNNNNNNNNNNNNNNNNNNNNNNNNNNNNNNNNNNNNNNNNNNNNNNNNNNNNNNNNNNNNNNNNNNNNNNNNNNNNNNNNNNNNNNNNNNNNNNNNNNNNNNNNNNNNNNNNNNNNNNNNNNNNNNNNNNNNNNNNNNNNNNNNNNNNNNNNNNNNNNNNNNNNNNNNNNNNNNNNNNNNNNNNNNNNNNNNNNNNNNNNNNNNNNNNNNNNNNNNNNNNNNNNNNNNNNNNNNNNNNNNNNNNNNNNNNNNNNNNNNNNNNNNNNNNNNNNNNNNNNNNNNNNNNNNNNNNNNNNNNNNNNNNNNNNNNNNNNNNNNNNNNNNNNNNNNNNNNNNNNNNNNNNNNNNNNNNNNNNNNNNNNNNNNNNNNNNNNNNNNNNNNNNNNNNNNNNNNNNNNNNNNNNNNNNNNNNNNNNNNNNNNNNNNNNNNNNNNNNNNNNNNNNNNNNNNNNNNNNNNNNNNNNNNNNNNNNNNNNNNNNNNNNNNNNNNNNNNNNNNNNNNNNNNNNNNNNNNNNNNNNNNNNNNNNNNNNNNNNNNNNNNNNNNNNNNNNNNNNNNNNNNNNNNNNNNNNNNNNNNNNNNNNNNNNNNNNNNNNNNNNNNNNNNNNNNNNNNNNNNNNNNNNNNNNNNNNNNNNNNNNNNNNNNNNNNNNNNNNNNNNNNNNNNNNNNNNNNNNNNNNNNNNNNNNNNNNNNNNNNNNNNNNNNNNNNNNNNNNNNNNNNNNNNNNNNNNNNNNNNNNNNNNNNNNNNNNNNNNNNNNNNNNNNNNNNNNNNNNNNNNNNNNNNNNNNNNNNNNNNNNNNNNNNNNNNNNNNNNNNNNNNNNNNNNNNNNNNNNNNNNNNNNNNNNNNNNNNNNNNNNNNNNNNNNNNNNNNNNNNNNNNNNNNNNNNNNNNNNNNNNNNNNNNNNNNNNNNNNNNNNNNNNNNNNNNNNNNNNNNNNNNNNNNNNNNNNNNNNNNNNNNNNNNNNNNNNNNNNNNNNNNNNNNNNNNNNNNNNNNNNNNNNNNNNNNNNNNNNNNNNNNNNNNNNNNNNNNNNNNNNNNNNNNNNNNNNNNNNNNNNNNNNNNNNNNNNNNNNNNNNNNNNNNNNNNNNNNNNNNNNNNNNNNNNNNNNNNNNNNNNNNNNNNNNNNNNNNNNNNNNNNNNNNNNNNNNNNNNNNNNNNNNNNNNNNNNNNNNNNNNNNNNNNNNNNNNNNNNNNNNNNNNNNNNNNNNNNNNNNNNNNNNNNNNNNNNNNNNNNNNNNNNNNNNNNNNNNNNNNNNNNNNNNNNNNNNNNNNNNNNNNNNNNNNNNNNNNNNNNNNNNNNNNNNNNNNNNNNNNNNNNNNNNNNNNNNNNNNNNNNNNNNNNNNNNNNNNNNNNNNNNNNNNNNNNNNNNNNNNNNNNNNNNNNNNNNNNNNNNNNNNNNNNNNNNNNNNNNNNNNNNNNNNNNNNNNNNNNNNNNNNNNNNNNNNNNNNNNNNNNNNNNNNNNNNNNNNNNNNNNNNNNNNNNNNNNNNNNNNNNNNNNNNNNNNNNNNNNNNNNNNNNNNNNNNNNNNNNNNNNNNNNNNNNNNNNNNNNNNNNNNNNNNNNNNNNNNNNNNNNNNNNNNNNNNNNNNNNNNNNNNNNNNNNNNNNNNNNNNNNNNNNNNNNNNNNNNNNNNNNNNNNNNNNNNNNNNNNNNNNNNNNNNNNNNNNNNNNNNNNNNNNNNNNNNNNNNNNNNNNNNNNNNNNNNNNNNNNNNNNNNNNNNNNNNNNNNNNNNNNNNNNNNNNNNNNNNNNNNNNNNNNNNNNNNNNNNNNNNNNNNNNNNNNNNNNNNNNNNNNNNNNNNNNNNNNNNNNNNNNNNNNNNNNNNNNNNNNNNNNNNNNNNNNNNNNNNNNNNNNNNNNNNNNNNNNNNNNNNNNNNNNNNNNNNNNNNNNNNNNNNNNNNNNNNNNNNNNNNNNNNNNNNNNNNNNNNNNNNNNNNNNNNNNNNNNNNNNNNNNNNNNNNNNNNNNNNNNNNNNNNNNNNNNNNNNNNNNNNNNNNNNNNNNNNNNNNNNNNNNNNNNNNNNNNNNNNNNNNNNNNNNNNNNNNNNNNNNNNNNNNNNNNNNNNNNNNNNNNNNNNNNNNNNNNNNNNNNNNNNNNNNNNNNNNNNNNNNNNNNNNNNNNNNNNNNNNNNNNNNNNNNNNNNNNNNNNNNNNNNNNNNNNNNNNNNNNNNNNNNNNNNNNNNNNNNNNNNNNNNNNNNNNNNNNNNNNNNNNNNNNNNNNNNNNNNNNNNNNNNNNNNNNNNNNNNNNNNNNNNNNNNNNNNNNNNNNNNNNNNNNNNNNNNNNNNNNNNNNNNNNNNNNNNNNNNNNNNNNNNNNNNNNNNNNNNNNNNNNNNNNNNNNNNNNNNNNNNNNNNNNNNNNNNNNNNNNNNNNNNNNNNNNNNNNNNNNNNNNNNNNNNNNNNNNNNNNNNNNNNNNNNNNNNNNNNNNNNNNNNNNNNNNNNNNNNNNNNNNNNNNNNNNNNNNNNNNNNNNNNNNNNNNNNNNNNNNNNNNNNNNNNNNNNNNNNNNNNNNNNNNNNNNNNNNNNNNNNNNNNNNNNNNNNNNNNNNNNNNNNNNNNNNNNNNNNNNNNNNNNNNNNNNNNNNNNNNNNNNNNNNAUUGCCAUCUGUCACAGGGAUAUCAAAUCUAGUAACAUAUUGUUGGAUGAAAACCUCCGGGCAGUAGUUUCUGACUUUGGACUUUCAAGGUCAAUACCCCUUGACAAAACUCACUUAACUGCGUUGGUACAAGGGACAUUUGGUUACUUGGAUCCGGAUUAUUUUCAUUCAGGUCAAUUUACAGAUAAAAGUGAUGUGUAUGCCUUCGGUGUAGUCCUUGCUGAACUUCUGACAGGAGAACAAGCCAUUUCCUCGGAUAGAUCUGAACAAGGUCUAGCUAAUCAUUUUAGAUCAGCAAUGAAACAAAAUCGUCUGUUUGAAAUUCUUGAUAACCAAGUUGUAAAUGAAGGACAGAAGGAGGAGAUUUUCGCCGUUGCUAAGCUUGCUAAGAGAUGCCUAAAGUUGAAUGGGAAAAAAAGGCCAACCAUGAAACAAAUUGAUAUAGACCUCCAACAAUUGGGCACAUUUCAGGAGCAGUUGUCUUUUCAGAAGACAUGGAUUCAAGAACCUUCCUUGCAGCAGCAAACAUGCCAGGACUACUGCACGGUAAGUGAAACAUCCCAUUCCUACACAUUUUGUCCAGUUACAGAAGAAAUAGUUCAUGACGAUGAGGACUUGCUUUCCUAAGGAAUACAGUAUGGUAGCUUGAAGUUUCGGUUAAAUAACGGGAUGUUUAUUUAUGCUAUUGACUUCUGGAAUAAUGAUGUAAUGAAUGACUCCGAACCUUGUUUUACUUUGUUUAAUUUGUUUCAAGUAUGGUAUAC